CACAACAAAGAAGCAAAUUUUAUCUGAUUUCUAUACCCAUGCAUCUGAGUUCUCUAACAUUUUGGCUUCCUCCAAUAUACAAGCACUUCCUGCAAAGUUUUUGCAUACAUCUUAUUUCCAUAUAAUGUAUCCUAUCUCGGCAAAACUACAGUACAUAACUACUGAUAUAACUUAAGCCAUAUAGAACAGGAUAAGCAUCUCUAAACUCUAUAAUAUCAUAAGUUAUACGACUUGUCAAUAGAAGGAUCAAAUACUAAAAUUUAUCCUUCCAUAGAUGUUCCUAGUUUAACCUGAAUUAGAAACAGAUUGGUACUGCUCCUAAUGUAAACGAAAUAGCUAUAGAUCUUGUAAUUAAACAUGAACUCUUGGAGUGCCUCUCCUUCAUAUUCAUUGUGUCGAGAGGUACAAAGUAACACACGGAACAACAUCAAAUCGAGCAAGAUAGGUAUGAUCAGCUCUCUGAAAGCGGAAUCAUCUAUUGUUCUGUAAGAUAAUACUAUAUGCCACUGUUUCAAGCCUGCACGAUAAAACUGAAACUGAAAUUUAGAAUUUGCUUCCCAAUUGCAAAAGUAAAUGUACAACGCUCCAAGAAAAUAAUCAACGCUCCAAGAAAAUAAUGAGGCAAUAAACCAUUUGUAUUGUGGUACAUUUUGGUAAAGUUUGCACCUGGGAAUAAACUGCAAAUCAAGCAAUGUUGGAGAUAGCCUUCAUGUAUGCAAGCCAUUGUUCUCUUGCUGUCUAAAUGAUGAGGAGAAGCACCAAAUAUUAUGUCAAGGAAAUUCUAGUAAAAACCAAGCUACCUACUGCUACUUAACUUGUGGAAAUAAUAAAGCAAUACAUAAACAUGAUACACCUUCAAAUCAAGAUAGCUAAUGGUCUUCUGAAAAAUCAAGGUAGCUACAGCCAAGGAAUUGAAACCAGCAAUUGAAAAGGCAAGAAAGUCACAUGAGAUAGGUUACCUCAUUAGUCAUUACUCCUGUCAUAUACAUACGUGUAGGUUAACUCAGUUCAAUAACCAAGGAAAUUUCCUCAUUCAUUUUAUUUCAUAAUUAGCCCCCUGAAAUACUAAUCUCUUGAAGGUUAGUACUGUGGUACACUUCUACCAGAAAAAAUUGAAACUAAAGAAAGGAGUGUUGCCACUUUGUAACUAAUGAAACAAAUAGAUAACAACUUCAUAGCAGUACAAGUCUGUCACUGUUAUUUACAGUUAGAAGGUGGUAAAAAAUAAAAUACACAAGGUCGAUUCUUACAUCAAGAGGUGGAUCUAAAUCCUGCAGUUUGAGCCAAGGAAGUGGCAUCUUCCCUCAUCAGUGAUGCUUGGUUAAGGUCUGGAAGACAUGGAAAUUGAUGGCCUUUAGUAUAGCCGUUCCUGCUUCUUGAUAUGCAAGAACACGAGAUGGGGGCUGAGACUUGGGACAUGCACUGCGGCGGCUGCCACUGUGAAGUUAAUCGAAAGAGACCUCGCCAAAGAGACCGACGACUAUGCCAUUUUACAAAACACAACCUCAGACUUGACCGCCUCAAGCAUCAGCUCGCGGCGUCCGUGGAUCCAUCGACUCGCAUCCUCUGACUCGACCGCCUCAUGUAGCACGGCCACCUGNNNNNNNNNNNNNNNNNNNNNNNNNNNNNNNNNNNNNNNNNNNNNNNNNNNNNNNNNNNNNNNNNNNNNNNNNNNNNNNNNNNNNNNNNNNNNNNNNNNNNNNNNNNNNNNNNNNNNNNNNNNNNNNNNNNNNNNNNNNNNNNNNNNNNNNNNNNNNNNNNNNNNNNNNNNNNNNNNNNNNNNNNNNNNNNNNNNNNNNNNNNNNNNNNNNNNNNNNNNNNNNNNNNNNNNNNNNNNNNNNNNNNNNNNNNNNNNNNNNNNNNNNNNNNNNNNNNNNNNNNNNNNNNNNNNNNNNNNNNNNNNNNNNNNNNNNNNNNNNNNNNNNNNNNNNNNNNNNNNNNNNNNNNNNNNNNNNNNNNNNNNNNNNNNNNNNNNNNNNNNNNNNNNNNNNNNNNNNNNNNNNNNNNNNCCUUCACGGGCAGAUUCCACUUGUGGAGCAUCACGAGCGCGGGACAAAGAAUCACCGCUGCCUGCUCCCGCAUAGCUGGUACGCGUCUCUGUGGGAAUCACCGGCCAUGGCGGAAGAAGGGGCAGCCAUAGUUAGGUGUGCAUCCGUGGUGUAGGGGAGGGUGGGAGGAGGAGUCGAACGGCGACGGCGCUACCUGUCUCUCGUGGAACCCUACGCGCGUGAGGACGAUCGAGGGUUGAAGAGAGGAGUGGGUCGUGCGGUGCUGUCGUUUAGGGCAAAUAAAAAUCGGGGAGUGGGUAGGAAUGAACUAGGCAGGUACCGCUUCAUCUCUAUUCCUAACUAGAGUAAAACGCUUGUGUUUUGCUACGGGCUUUUUGUAUAUAACAAUAGUUUAAUAUCAGUUGUGUAUAAUAUAUAUUUUACUCUCAUAUUAAUUAUGUUUAUGCAUCAUUAUCAUUUUUUUAUGUAAAGACCCUCUUUCUCACUCCGUCUCUCAUCUUCAACACCCUUCUCUCUCUUUAUCAAUUUCCUUAUUGGGCCCUCAUCUUCUCCAUCCUCUCAAAUUCCCUCAAUCAGUUUUUUAAGUGUUCGACUAUGCACAAAAUAAUAUUUUCCAGUGUAACAUUUUCAAGACUAAGAGCAUCUUCAAUAGACAGUCCAUUUUAUAAAAAUAACCAACUUUUGAAGCUUCUGAGGCAAAAAAUAUAUCUCCAACAGAUGGUCCAUAUGUAAAAAAAUAAUUACAUUUCCGUCUUCACGAGAUAUAAAAUACAACACCUCGCGGUGCAAAUUUACAUCUCCGGAGGCAGGAGAUGUAAAAACCGCGGUCGCGCACCAACGCCCAACCGCUCUUCAGUUCUUUUCCCCCCUUCUUCCUCUAGCCCGCCUGCCGCCGCUCCGCCGCAUCUCCCCGACACCGCCCCACCGCAGAUCCAGCCCCGUCCCUACCCCCGCCGCCGAUUCCACCCCGCCUGGACCACUACCCACCGUCAUACAUGUGGAUCGGGCCAUUGUCGCACCACGCCGCCCCGUCCCCGUCCGCCUCCGCCCCGCCCCGGACCGUUCCACCUUAGCCCCGCCCUAACCCGGCCCACCUCCGCCCCACUCUGGUCUNNNNNNNNNNNNNNNNNNNNNNNNNNNNNNNNNNNNNNNNNNNNNNNNNNNNNNNNNNNNNNNNNNNNNNNNNNNNNNNNNNNNNNNNNNNNNNNNNNNNNNNNNNNNNNNNNNNNNNNNNNNNNNNNNNNNNNNNNNNNNNNNNNNNNNNNNNNNNNNNNNNNNNNNNNNNNNNNNNNNNNNNNNNNNNNNNNNNNNNNNNNNNNNNNNNNNNNNNNNNNNNNNNNNNNNNNNNNNNNNNNNNNNNNNNNNNNNNNNNNNNNNNNNNNNNNNNNNNNNNNNNNNNNNNNNNNNNNNNNNNNNNNNNNNNNNNNNNNNNNNNNNNNNNNNNNNNNNNNNNNNNNNNNNNNNNNNNNNNNNNNNNNNNNNNNNNNNNNNNNNNNNNNNNNNNNNNNNNNNNNNNNNNNNNNNNNNNNNNNNNNNNNNNNNNNNNNNNNNNNNNNNNNNNNNNNGCUCCGUCCGCCUCCGCCCCACGCUGCACGCCGCCGCCCGCUCCCUGCUCGGCCGCCACCCCAACCUCUCUCCAUCUGCCACCGCGCCGACUCGCUCCGGCCGCCGCCGCCACCCGAUGGCGCCAAAGGGCAAGUCGGGUUUCUUCGGCGUGAGGGUGAAGCCCUUCCGGGAACUUCGAAGUGGAGUUCUCCGACGCCGGGCGGUGUUGGUGGCUCGGCACGUAUCCCACCGCCGACGAGGUUGCGCGUGCCUACUACGUGGCGGUGUGGCAUGUCGGAUGGCCGAAGACGGGCCUCAACUUCCCGCAAUCGAGACCUGGGCAGUGGUGGAGUGGCUCGUGCUGCGGGACAUCUGGAUGGAGGAGAUGCCGAAGAAGAAGAAGAAGAAGAAGAAGAAGAAGAGACCGGCGGUUGUCGUCACUCCCGGUGAGAGCAACGAGGCGGCGAUGGCUCGGUUUGCGCAGGAGCAUACCAAGAAUGCCCAGGCUGAGUAGGAGUUCUACUGGAAGCGUGAUGCCGAGGAGAAGGAGGAGGAGGAGGAGGAGGAGGAGGAGGUGAAGAAGGAGGACGAGGCCAGACCCUCGACGGUGAUCCCCAUCCUCCAUCAUCGUUGGAGGAGGACGAGGAGUUCUGGGGGCUCUCGUAUGACUCCGAAGAGUCUUACUGGAUGCCCUUGGACAACGUGUAGUUCUGCUACUUUAAAUUUAUGUCAUCUAUGUUUGAACUAUGUUUGAAUUUGAUGUUUGAACUAUGUUGAGAUGAACUAGUAGGUCAUUUUUAGAAUUUUACAUCUUUGUUUUGUACCAUCUGUUGGAGUUGCCCUUUUACAUCUCCAUUUUGGACCAUCUGUCGGAGUUAAUCCUUUUUCGGAGAAGUAAAAAGCACUUUUUGGUGAUAUAAAUUUUUACAUCGCCGAUUUGGAUCAUCAAAAUAUACAUCAUCUAUUGGAGAUGCUCUAAGCAUUAUAUUUGCCACCACAACAAAAAGAAUUUCAUGGAAGUUGUUUUGGGUGAUUCGCUCUAUCCUUAAAAAAAAUUCAGGGAUCAUGAGAAAUAUUUUGUGGAGCACGACAACACACUCCACACAUAAGCUGGCGUAAUUUUUCAUUUUCUGAUAAGAAAACGAAUAUUUUUUUAUCUAUUUCUGUGAAGCAUUGUAAGCGGGAUAUUUAGGUUUGUGAGGAUGUCAUGAUACGAAUCAGAAUAUCUGUAAGUUUAAACUAUUUCUUGGAAAUAAUCUAUGUACUCUCUUUAUAAUUUAUUUUGCACUAUCAUAAACCAAGUCAUUACAAACACUACUUGCCUUGGUCCAUCAAGUAUUCUCUUAGCCCAUUGAAUAACCUUAGCAAGAAAAUUUUUACACAGAGCGAAGUGCUAAUAUUUAUACAUCAAAUACAUCAAAACUUUACCAGCCUGUAGAUUUUUCCUACAUUAAAAGCAAUUAACUCUUCUAUGAGGUAGUUAUUUCACAAAUGCAAAAUUCUUCUGAUUACCUCCAUCCCCUUAUAGUAGCACCCCUCAUAAGCACUCCUACUUCCUAUGAAGUUGAAUCUUCAUCAAAUGUUAAUGUUUCAUUUUCUUCCUUGACGUCUUAUACUAUUUAUUUUCAUGGAUAUAGGGUGCUUUGCUUUCACUGUGGUGAUAUUCUGCUAUGUCAUUUGUAAAAACAUGUCUACUUUGUAGUAUCCAAUGUAUCAUGCACUUGUGUCUUCUCGCCGUAUAGUCUCAACUGUAGAUAAGGCUUCAAAAACAACGGUCACGUGUAAGAUCUGGGCUAUUUACUUAAGUGACAUUGAUGGUAGCUAUCUGCAAGUUUUCUUCAGUCAACAGCUCCGACUGGUGUACCCACUGAUAAUUCUACCUUGGUUGUAGGCAAGUAGGCUGGUAUGUUCAUCUAUUAUCAGGAAAUCAUCUUCAUAUCUGAAUUUUGGCGGAACAACAAUUCUACUAAGACCCUGGCAUUAAAAGCAGCGCAGAAAAGACCGGCAAACAAAUUUUGUCAGAUAAUAGAAAUUUAGAAUCAUUGAGGGACAUAAUACCACUCUGCUAUCAAAUUGAGCAUAAUUGCAUCACAAAAUAUUUGAGCUAGCAUGUCUUUGAUGUCUACUACACAACCUUCUUAUUGUAGACAUUUUUGGGCCUCCAAGUGCAGAGGUUUGUAGGACAGUAGCAAAUUUCCCUCAAGUGGAUGACCUAAAGUUUAUCAAUCCGUAGGAGGCGUAGGAUGAAGAUGGUCUCUCUCAAACAACCCUGCAACCAAAUAACAAAGAGUCUCUUGUGUCCCCAACACAACCAAUACAAUGGUAAAUUGUAUAGGUGCACUAGUUCGGCGAAGAGAUGGUGAUACAAGUGCAAUAUGGAUGAUAGAUAUGAGUAUUUGUAAUCUGAAAAUAUAAAAACAGCAAGGUAACUAAUGAUAAAAGUGAGCACAAAUGGUAUUGCAAUGCUAGGAAACAAGGCCUAGGUUUCAUACUUUCACUAGUACAAGUUCUCUCAACAAUAAUAACAUAAUUGGAUCAUAUAACUAUCCCUCAACAUGCAACAAAGAGUCACUCCAAAGUCACUAAUAGGGAGAACAAAUGAAGAGAUUAUGGCAGGGUACAAAACUGUUGGGGAUCAUAGCAGAAAUUUAAAAUUUUCUACGCAUCAUCAAGAUCAAUCUAUGGAGUCAUCUAGCAACGAGAGAGAGAGAGAGCGAGAGAGAGAGAGAGAGGAGUGCAUCUACAUACCCUUGUAGAUCGCGAGCGGAAGCGUUCAAGAGAAUGGGGUUGAUGGAGUCGUACUCAUCGUGAUCCAAAUCACCAAUGAUCCUAGCGCCGAACGGACGACACCUCCGCGUUCAACACACGUACGGAGCGAAGACGUCUACUUCUUCUUGAUCCAGCAAGGGGUAGGAGAAGAUGAUGGAGAUCCAGCAGCACGACAGCGUGGUGGUGGAAGCAAUGGGAUUCCAGCAGGGCUUCGCCAAGCGCUACUGGAGGAGGAAGAGGUGUCACGGGAGGGAGAGGGAGGCGCCAGGGCUUAGGGUGCGGCUGCCCUCCCUCCCCUCCACUAUAUAUAGGGGCCAUGGGGCGCAUGCCCCCUUGGAUAUCCCAUCUAGAGGGGGCCGGCGGCCCCUUAGGGGCAACGGCCCCCUUAGGGUUCCCAACCAGGGGGCGCAUGCCCCCUCGGGGGGCAACGGCCCCCUAGGAUUUCCAACCCUAGGCGCCUUGGGCCCUUGGUUGGGGCGCACCAUCCCACCAGGGGCUGGUUCCCACGCCACUUCAGCCCAUGGGGCCCUCCGGGAUAUGUGGCCCCACCCGGUGGACCCCCAGGACCCUUCCGGUGGUCCUGGUACAAUACCGGUGACCGCUGAAACUCUUCCGGUGGCCGAAACUGGACUUCCUAUAUAUAAAUAUUUACCUCCAGACCAUUCUGGAACUCCUCGUGAUGUUCGGGAUCUCAUCCGAAACUCCGAACAACUUUCGUUUAACCGCAUACUAAUAUCUCUACAACUCCAGCGUCACCGAACCUUAAGUGUGUAGACCCUACGGGUUCGGGAGACACGUAGACAUGACCGAGACAACUCUCCGGUCAAUAACCAACAGCGGGAUCUGGAUACCCAUGUUGGAUCCCACAUGCUCCACGAUAAUCUCAUCGGAUGAACCACGAUGUCGAGGAUUCAAUCAAUCCCGUAUACAAUUCCCUUUGUCUAUCGGUACGAUACUUGCCCGAGAUUCGAUCAUCGGUAUACCGAUACCUUGUUGAAUCUCGUUAUGGCCAGUCUCUUUACUCGUUCCCGUAACACAUCAUCCCGUGAACAACUCCUUGAUCACAUUGAGCUCAUUAUGAUGAUGUCCUACCAAGUGGGCCCAGAGAUACCUCUCCGUCAUACGGAGUGAGAAAUCCCAGUCUCGAUUCGUGCCAACCCAACAGAUACUUUCGGGGAUACCCGUAGUGUACCUUUAUAGCCACCCAGUUACAUUGUGACGUUUGGCACACCCAAAGUACCCUUACGCUAUCCGGGAGUUGCACAAUCUCAUGGUCUAAGGAAAGGAUACUUGACAUUAGAAAAGCUUUAGCAGACGAACUACACGAUCUUGUGCUAUGCUUAGGAUUGGGUCUUGUCCAUCAGAUCAUUAUCCUAAUGAUGUGAUCAUGUUAUCAAUAACAUCCUAUGUCCAUGGUUAGGAAACGGUAACCAUCUAUUGAUCAACGAGCUAGUCAACUAGAGGCUCACUAGGGGCAUGUUGUGGUCUAUGUAUUCACACAUGUAUUACGAUUUCCGGAUAACACAAUUAUAGCAUGAACAAUAGAAAAUUAUCUUGAACAAGGAAAUAAAAUAAUAACCUUUUUAUUAUUGCCUCUAGGGCAUAUUUCCAACAGAAACCACCUCAAAGUUAUCCUUUCUGAUUGAUCUAUUCAAGAAUCCGUGGUAAAAUAACAUGAAGCUAUUCUUUCCGUUCAAUCUAUCAUAGAGUUCGUACUAGAAUAACAACUUAAGACACAAAUUAACCAAAACCCUAAUGUCACCUAGAUACUCCAAUGUCACCUCAAGUAUCCGUGGGUAUGAUUAUACGAUAUGCAUCACACAAUCUCAGAUUCAUCUAUUCAAACCAACACAAGGUACUUCAAAGAGUGCCCCAAAGUUUCUACCGGAGAGUCAAGACGAAAACGUGUGCCAACCCCUAUGCAUAGGUUCAUGGGCGGAACCCGCAAGUUGAUCACAAAAACAUACAUCAAGUGAAUCAGUAGAAUAACCCAUUAUCACCACGGUUAUCCCACGUAAGACAUACAUCAAGUGUUCUCAAAUCCUUAAAGACUCAAUCCUAUAAGAUAACUUCAAAGGGAAAACUCAAUCCAUUACAAGAGAGUAGAGGGGGAGAAACAUCAUAAGAUCCAAGUAUAAUAGCAAAGCCCGCGAUACAUCAAGAUCGUACCACCUCGAGAACACGAGAGAGAGAGAGAGAGAUCAAACACAUAGCUACUGGUACAUACCCUCAGCCCCUAGGGAGAACUACUCCCUCCUCGUCAUGGAGAGCACCGGGAUCAUGAAGAUGGCUACCGGAGAGGGAUUUUCCCCUCUGGCACGGUGCCAAAACGUGUCUAGAUUGAUUUUCGGUGGCUACGGAGGCUUCUGGCGGCGGAACUCCCGAUCUAUUCUGCUCCCCGAAGUUUUUAGGGUAUAUGGGUAUAUAUGGGAGGAAGAAGUACGUCGGUGGACCUCUGGGCUGUCCACGAGGCAGGGGGGCGCGCCCCCACCCUCAUGGGCAGCCCGGGACUCUUCUGGUCCAUCUCUGAUACUCCGUGGGCUUCUUGUGGUCCAAAAAUAAGUUCCGUCAAGUUUCAGGUCAAUUGGACUCCGUUUGAUUUUCCUUAUCUGCGAUACUCUAAAACAAGGAAAAAACAGAAACUGGCACUGGGCUCUAGGUUAAUAGGUUAGUCCCAAAAAUCAUAUAAAAUAGCAUAUAAAUGCAUAUAAAACAUCCAAGGUUGAUAAUAUAAUAGCAUGGAACAAUCAAAAAUUAUAGAUACGUUGGAGAUGUAUCAGCAUCCCCAAGCUUAAUUCAUGCUCGUCCUCGAGUAGGUAAAUGAUAAAAACAUAAUUUUUGAUGUGGAAUGCUACCUAACAUAUUUAUCCAUGUAGUUCUCUUUAUUGUGGCAAGAAUAUUCAGAUCCAUAAGAUUCAAGACAAGAGUUUAAUAUUGACAUAAAAAUAAUAAUACUUCAAGCAUACUAACCAAGUAAUCAUGUCUUAUCAAAAUAACAUGGUUAAAGAAAGCUAUCCCUACAAAAUCAUAUAGUCUGGCUAUGCUCUAUCUUCACCACACAAGACAAGCAAUUGUUUCAUACUUUUGAUGUUCUCAAAAAUUUUCAAUCUUCACGCAAUACAUGAGCGUGAGCCAUGGACAUAACAAUAUAGGUGGAAUAGAAUGGUGGUUGUGGAGAAGACAAAAAGGAGAAGAUGGUAUCACAUCAACUAGGCGUAUCAACGGGCUAUGGAGAUGCCCAUCAAUAGAUAUCAAUGUGAGUGAGUAGGGAUUGUCAUGCAACGGAUGCACUAGAGCUAUAAGUGUAUGAAAGUUGAACAAAAGAACUAAGUGGGUGUGCAUCCAAGUUGCUUGCUCAUGAAGACCUAGGGCAAUUUUGAGGAAGCCCAUCAUUGGAAUAUACAAGCCAAGUUCUAUAAUGUAAAAUUCCCACUAGUAUAUGAAAGUGACAACAUAUGAGACUCUCUAUUAUGAAGAUCAUGGUGCUACUUUGAAGCACAAGUGUGGUAAAAUGAUAGUAGCAUUGCCCCUUCUCUCUUUUUCUCUCAUUUUUUAUUUUUUUGGGCCUUCUCUUUUUUCAUGGCCUCUUUUCUCUUUUUUUAUUUGGGUUUCUUUGUUCUCUUUUAUUUAUUUAUUUUCAUCCGGAGUCUCAUCCUGACUUGUGGGGGAAUCAUAGUCUCCAUCAUCCUUUCCUCACUUGGACAAUGCUCUAAUAAUGAUGAUCAUCACACUUUUAUUUACUUACAACUCAAGAAUUACAACUCGAUUCUUAGAACAAAAUAUGACUCUAUAUGAAUGCCUCCGGCGGUGUACCGGGAUGUGCAAUGACUCAAGAGUGACAUGUAUGGAAGUAUUAUGAACGGUGGCUUUUCCACAAAUACGAUGUCAACUACAUGAUCAUGCAAAGCAAUAUGACAUGAUGAAGCGUGUCAUAAUAACGGAACGGUGGAAAGUUGCAUGGCAACAUAUCUCGGAAUGGCUAUGGAAAUGCCAUAAUAGGUAGGUAUGGUGGUUGUUUUGAGGAAGAUAUAUGGUGGGUUUAUGGUACCGGCGAAAGUUGCGCGGUACUAGAGAGGCUAGAAAUGGUGGAAGGGUGAGAGUGCGUAUAAUCCAAGGACUCAACAUUAGUCAUAAAGAACUCACAUACUUAUUGCAAAAAUCUAUUAGUUAUCGAAACAAAGUACUACGUGCAUGCUCCUAUGGGGAUAAAUUGGUAGGAAAACACCAUUGCUCGUCCCCGACCGCCAUUCAUAAGGAAGACAAUCAAUAAAUGAAUCAUGCUUCGACUUCAUCACAUAACGGUUCACCAUACGUGCAUGCUACGGGAAUCACAAACUUUAACACAAGUAUCUCUCAAAUUCACAACUACUCACUAGCAUGACUCUAAUAUUACCAUCCUCAUAUCUCAAAACAAUCAUCAAGUAUCAAACUUCUCAUAGUAUUCAAUGCACUUUAUAUGAAAGUUUUUAUUAUAUCCCUCUUGGAUGCCCAUCAUAUUAGGACUAAAUUCGUAACCAAAGCAAAUUACCAUGAUAUUUAGGACUCUCAAAAUAAUAUAAGUGAAGCAUGAGAGAUCAAUUAUUUCUAUAGAAUAAAACCACCACCGUGCUCUAAAAGAUAUAAGUGAAACACUAGGGCAAAUGACAAACUACUCCGAAAGAUGUAAGUGAAGAUAAAUGAGUAGUCGAAUAAUUAUGCAACUAUGUGAAGACUCUCUAACAUUUAAGAAUUUUAGAUCUUUAUACUUUAUUCAAACAGAAAGCAAAACCAAAUCAAAUAAAUUGACGCUCCAAGCAAAACACAUAUCAUGUGGUGAACAAAAAUAUAGCUCCAAGUAAAGUUACCGAUGAACGAAGAUGAAAGAGGGGAUGCCUUCCAGGGCAUCCCCAAGCUUAGGAUUUUGGUUCUCCUUGAAUAUUACCUUGGGGUGCCAUGGGCAUUCCCAAGCUUAGGCUCUUGCCACUCCUUAUUCCAUAGCGCAUCGAAUCUUUACCCAAAACUUGAAAACUUCACAACACAAAACUUAACAGAAAACUCGUAAGCUCCGUUAGUAUAAGAAAAUAAAUCACCACUUAGGUACUGUUGUGAACUCAUUAUUUAUUCAUAUUGGUGUAAUAUAUACUGUAUUACAACUUCUCUAUGGUUCAUACCCUCUAAUACUACUCAUAGAUUCAUCAAAAUAAGCAAACAACACAUAGAGAACAGAAUCUGUCAAAAACAGAACAAUCUGUAGUAAUCUGUAGGUUUCGAAUACUUCUGUAACUCCAAAAAUCCUGAGAAUUUAGGAAGUCCUAGGAAAUUUGUUUAUUAAUCUACUGCAAGUGGAAUUGGUAUUUUAUCGCCCUCUGGUAAGAAAUGAAAAUUAUUCUCGUGAGCGCAUACUUUCUUUUUUUUACAGCAAGAUCAAAUAACAAUCACCCAAGAAGAUCCUAAAGGCUUUACUUGGCACAAACACUAAUUAAAACAUAAAACGACAUCUAAACAUAGGCUAGAUGAAUUAUUUAUUACUAAACAGGAACAAAAAGCAAGGAGCUAAAAUAAAAUUGGGUUGCCUCCCAACAAGCGCUAUCGUUUAACGCCCCUAGCUAGGCAUGAUGAUUUCAAUGAUGCUCAUAUAAAGGAUAAGAAUUGAAACAUAAAGAGAGCAUCAUGAAGAAUAUGACUAGCACAUUUAAGACUAACCCUCUUCCUAUGCAUAGGGAUUUUGUGAGCAAACAACUUAUGGGAACAAUAAUCAACUAGCAUAGGAGGGCAAAACAAGCAUAACUUCAAAACUUUAAGCACAUAGAGAGGAAACUUGAUAUUAUUGCAAUUCCUACAAGCAUAUAUUCCUCCCUAAUAAUAAUUUUCAGUAGCAUCAUGAAUGAAUUCAACAAUAUAACCAGCACCUAAAGCAUUCUUUUCAUGAUCUACAAGCAUAGAAAUUUUAUUACUCUCCACACAAGCAAAAUUCUUCUCAUGAAUAAUAGUGGGAGCAAACUCAACAAAAUAAUUAUCAUGUGAGGCAUAAUCCAAUUGAAAACUAAAAUCAUGAUGACAAGUUUCAUGGAUAUCAUUAUUCUUUAUAGCAUACAAGUCAUCACAAUAAUCAUCAUAGAUAGCAACUUUGUUCUCAUAAUCAAUUGGAACCUCUUCCGAAAUAGUGGAUUCAUCACAAAAUAAAGUCAUAACCUUUCCAAAUCCACUUUCAUCAAUAUAAUCAUCAUCAAUAGGAGGCAUGCUUUCAUCAUAAUAAAUUUGCUUAUCAAAACUUGGGGGACAAAAAAUAUCAUCUUCAUCAAACAUAGCUUCCCCGAUCUUGUGUCUUUGCAUAUCAUUAGCAUCAUGUAUAUUCAAGGAAUUCAUAGUAACAACAUUGCAAUCAUGCUCAUCAUUCAAAUAUUUAGUGCCAAACAUUUUAAUGCAUUCUUCUUCUAACACUUUGGCACAAUUUUCCUUUCCAUCAUACUCACGAAAGAUAUUAAAAAGAUGAAGCGUAUGUGUAACACCCACGAUGCGGCUAUAUCUCCCACGUGUCGGAGCACGACUUAGAGGCAUAGCCGCAUAGUAGGCAUGUCGCAACAGGGGUAAUCUUUACACAUCCCAUGUACUGAAUAAGAAAGAGAUAAAGAGUUGGCCUACAAUCGCCACUUUAAACAAUACAUAAAUAUAGAAUUACAUCAUCCAGAAUACAAUCAAGGUCCGACUACGGAACCAAAAUAAAGACAACCCCAAAUGCGAUAGAUCCCCGAUCGCCCCAACUGGGCUCCACUACUGAUCGUGUCGUGGAAUUGUCACGGCAGAUGUCCUAGAGCAAGGACUUAGUCAUAGGGCCAUCGCACUAGGAAGCUUAAAGGGGUUAAUCGGGACAAAGGACACGAGAGGGUUUUAUACUAGUUCGGCCCCUUAUGAUGAAGGUAAAAGCCUACGUCUAGUUGGGAUUGGUAUUGCUGGGGUAUCGAUCACCAAGAGGCUCAACUUGCCGGCUUGGUUAUCGAAUUGUUGUUUCUUGCCCUAAGCCGCCACUGGGUUGUCCCCUUAUAUACAUGGGUUGACGCCUGGUGGCCUAUAGAGUCCCGGCCGGCUCAUAAUUGUGUCCGGCUCGGUGACUUUCUUUACAUGCCUUUCUUUAUAAGUCUUUCCUUACAUACGGCGGUUCACAAUAUCAGGCCUUAAACCGCCUUCAGGCCUUUGGGCCUUCUAUAAGAUUUAAUAAACUAUAAUGUUGAAUGUUUACUGGGCUUCUUAUGUAACCCGCCAUUGGGGCUGACACGGCCCCUCCUGGGCGGGUCAUAACUGAUAGUAAUAUCCCCAACAUUAGGCCCCAGGUUGACUUUGAACUUUGUUCUUUGUCAAUCUUCAAUACUUAGACAAAAAUCCAUCUUCUUAUCUUCGCUGAAAUUUUCUUGUAACUCACCAUGACAUCAUCUCUUGAAAACGCAAAAAACUUUCAUGACAUCAUCUUCCAACGGAUCUUUUAACUUUAAUGUUUCCCGAGAAUCGAGGCGCCUAUAUAGCUGGAUAACCAUUAUUCGGCUCUCCCUUGAUUUUCGCGCCCGUCUGUUCACAUCUUUUCCUUAUAAAUAGGCAUGCCUCGGCCUUCUCAUUCUCCUCUCUCGCCCAUCUUCUUCCUCUCGCAAACCCCCUGCUGCUCGAGCUUCGCCACCGCCGCGCUUCACCUGUGUCUUCGUCGAUGUUGGCCGCUGCAUCAACCCGAACCGAUCCAGAGAACAGCGGCGACCUUCGCAGGAGAUCCGCAAUUGUAAGUGUCUCCCUUUUUACUUCUCAGAUCCUCAUUUUAGGGUUUCCAAGCUCCUGCGUGUUCUUCAUAGCUCAUCAUAGUUCAUCGUAGUUCUUCCACCGCCAGCCUUUUCUGAUCCAAAAGGUUAUAUAUAUGCCCGCGCGGUAGUGUUUUUGUACCUCUUCUUGAUCCAUAGAUCCCUUUCUCUGAUUAAAAGGCUGCUUCAGAACUUACCGACUCCUCUGUACUGAACUUUUUAGGUCUAGAAUUGUUUUCAUUUUGAAUAUCCAUUUGAUCUGGAAUAAUACCAAGCAAUGUAGGAAACUUGUUUGUCUCAAUACUUAGCUGAAUUUGCCUUCUUCAAAUAUCUGUAGUCAUGGCGGCUUAUCAUGCCGGCUUAAUUUUCCUUAUAUGUCAUUAGCCCUUAACUAAGCUGCCAUUACUUGUUUGCAUCUUCAUCACUUAACUGUCAAUCUCACCAUUAAACUGAACCGGCAUGUUGCUUUUCUUUUCAGUUCUUUGCGCAUCAUGCCGUCCAAAACACCAACCAUCUGUAACUGGGUUCCCUCAACCAUAACUGGGGAACGUUUAAAAGAAUUCUUCACCAUAGAAUUUCUGCCAACGAAAACUGUCAUGUGUUACCGUGCCCCUGGCCUGGAAGAAGAACGGCCCAAUCCAAGAGACGGUGAGGUGAUCGUUUUUACUGACCACAUGAACCGUGGCUUCUCACCGCCCGGCUCAAAGUUCUUCGGAGAGGUCCUCCACUUUUUCAAGCUCCACCCUCAAGAUAUCGGGCCCAACUCCAUAUCUAACAUCUGUAACUUCCAAGUGCUAUGUGAGGUAUAUCUUCAACAAGAGCUGACCGUGGAGUUGUUUAGAGAAUACUUUUAUCUAAACCGGCAGAAGAGUGCACCAACAGCCUUAGGUUAGAGCUUGGAGGCAUAUCAAUUCAGCGCCGGCAGGGUGCCGUCUUCCCCCUCAUUGUCUUACCAAGUCACCCAAAGGACUGGAACCAGACUUGGUCCUACUACCAUGACACUUCACCAGCAAACGAGAAGCCACUGCCGGGUUAUCGCCUCGAUCAUCUUGACUCCAAGUUUGCGCCUCUAUCAAAAGGAUCAAUGCUCUGCUGGGGAACGGGUUAACUGGAGUUGAUCUGACCCGCUGCUGGAUCUCAUGGCGGGUCAUCCCUUUGAGCUGCCGAUCAAAGCUGAUGUAUGAGUAUGGUGGAGGCCCGGAUGACUUUCUUCGUCACAGCCCUGUUCAAUUGACAGAAGAAGAUAUUGUCUCAAUGUCAACUCUUCUGGUGAAUGGGAAAUAUGAAGAUUGCAGUGUCGCCGGGUUAAACCCCUUCUGCCAGCUUAACCCAGUGCCAGAAGUAAGGAUGUCGUUAUUUCUCUCUUUUGUAUUUUCCCAGCCGUAUUGUUUUAAUACUUGCCUGACUCUUUAUCUUGUUUUUACCUGUCUGCAGGCCAACUCUGACUUCUGGAAAGUUAAGUAUGACCACGAGGCUGCCAAGAAAGCGAAAUCCGCCGCCAUAAAUGCCAAGAAAACGACUCGGAGGUCGAAAAAGAAGAAAAAGAGCACUACUGAAGAUUUGAUGAAGCUUGAUGAUACAUCUGACUCGGAGGUAGCCCUUGAUUCCCUUGGCCAAUUUUUUAACAAUCUUAUUGACACUGAUCAUUACCAGGAUGACACUGGGGCCAGUCAGGCUAUGGAAGCAGAGGUAACUAUCAUUUCCUCCUACUCAGAGCCCUUGCCAAGACAAAAAGUUCGACGAGUGACCCGUAAAGUAAGGUUUUCUAACCCUUUAGCUCACAUGGAUCCCAACUUUCGUUUGAAAAAUCAGCAACAUGAAAGCCGCUAUCAAGCUUGGACUGAAGAUGAGCCGGCUGUCGUUCUUCAACAAACUCCUCAGAAGCGUCCGAAUGAGGUUUACUUCUUUCUGUCUUUAACUCUUUUUAAUGGAUCCUUCCCCUUGUAUUACUUUUAACUCUAUUUUAUCCUUUCAGGAGGUGUCUCGCUCUUCUGGCGACUCAUCGCAUACGCAAUUUCCGGCCUUCAAGACUGCCCCUAGGUAAUGAAAAAUCCUCAUAUUUCCGGGUUGUUCAAAUUGUAUCUUUAUACUGAUGAUCUUGCAACAUUUUUCUUAGUGGCCAAGCUAAAUCCAAGAAAGCGAAGGUAGCUAAACCGGUGGAAGACCCGCCAGUGCUUGCAUCUGACCCAGCCAGGCCAUCUUCUCCAUUAACUGACGCUCUAACAGACCCGCCUGUUGAUGCAGAAGCAAAUCCUCCUGAGCCGUCGUUUGAUGAGACCACUGUGAACCCUUCUGCUACUGGACCAUCAAGCUCAGCCAAUCCGCCAUCACCGCCUACACAAGACGUUCAGAUCACAUGGAGCCGCUUUAUUGAACCAGGGAAUCCAACUGUGCUGGCCCGGUGUACUGCGAAACAAGAGGCAUUAGAGAGGCAGAAAGUUCGCUUUGACGUUGCCAACUAUGACCAUCUAAAUGCCAAUCAUAUUUUAUCCGGCUAUCUUAGGCAUGUACACUCCAGUCGCGACUCUGAGAUUGAAAUGGUCAAACAGCUGUAGUUGAAAUACGAGGUACAUUCUUCCGGCUUAUCUAUAUUCCUUCAGCCCCCAAGUCUUCAGAUUAUGAGAGAACCAGAAUGAUCUGUAGACUUUAAAAUAUAGGCCGAGACCUUUACCUUUGAAACUUUUCUUGAAUUCAAUAGAACAAAGCUUCACCUGUAGUCCCCAAGGGCCGGUUCAUUUUGAUCAUAAAUGAGCCGAUACUUUAAAUUGCCUGGUACCGUAUUCAAAGGACAUAAUACUCCGGCUUAACCUUGAGAAACUUGCUGAACUGCAUACAUUAGCCCCCAGGUGCCAAGUGUUGUUACUUUGUAAGGUACUUGGGACUUAAAGUAUGUCUUUAGAGUCAUAAAAAAUUGAUUUGGCAUACAUUAGCCCCCAAGUGUCAAGUGGUUUUUUGUAAAGUACUUGAGACUUGAAUCUUGAUUUUUGAAAUUGAAGCAAAAUCUUGACUCAUCUGAAUGUUUUGCAGAAUGCCUUAUCUGAAUUGAACUCGCAAUUGAUUGAUGCAAAGACCCGGCUAGCGAGUCAGGAGGCAGAAAUCAAAUUUGCUAACGCCAAACUACAAAUAAGUCUCUCUGAGACGGAAAAUUUAAAGACCAGCUUCGCUGCCAAGAAGAAAACUUGGGAAGAGGAAAAAACGCUUUUGACCCAACGUGCUAAGAAGUCCAAAACAACCCUUGAAGAGAUUUCAACAGAGCUGAACGGUUUAAAGGGCUGGGUGUCUCAAAUGGUGGCUGCCAUCUUUGGUAAGCCGUCCAACUUUAAUUUUGUGUGCUUUUUGCUGAUCCGGAGUAUAAGCCGCCAGCUGACUUUGUGUAUAAAAUAUGUGCAGGCCCUCGAAGCAAAAAUCUGAGCCAAUACCCUUUGAUUAAACUGAAGGCAGUGUAUACUUUGGCAGAACAACUGUAUAUUGGUGCACAACGGGCUCUUGCCGCCAUCUCUCCUGCCAAUCAAGGACCCAACCGGCUCAUCGACGUCCUGAAGAAACUAUCAAUCCUGCCUGCCAGGUUUCAAGAAGUGAAACACUCCUGCGUGCGAGCCGGAGCUUUGACUGCCCUGAGCCGCUCCAAGGCUUGGGUGCCAGACCUAGACCCGACGGAUGUGGCCAGAGGCUAUCCCACCGUGAAGGAAGAUGGUUCUCCUUUUCAGCAGGAUGACUUCAUGGCCUGCGUGCAUGGAGUCCAACCUCAGGCAACUACCCUUGGAGAUGACACCAAUAUUGACAAAUACCAGCCGGGUUUUGAUGCUGAAAAUAAGAAGAUGGCGACUCCCUCGUACAAGGUGACGGAUUUGAUCCCGCCUAUAAGAGAAAUCACAUUUGCCCCAGAGGUUGACCCGGCAGGCCUGAUCGAUGAUGAAGCAGAAUUCAUCGCCGUGAAUGGUUUUGACUGGUCAAAACCCAACUUCCAGCCAAUAGAGGGCGGUGAACCGGCGAGGGAGGAAUAGUAACCAUCUUCAUUUGGCUUAUCAAAAGCCAUGUAAUAGUUUAGCUAUGAAAACACUGAAUGCAUUGCUUAUGCCAUCGUGCAUAAAACACCGUAUGUGACUCCGUGUUUCCUGAUGGCAAUAUAUGCAUUAUAUUUGAUGAUCGUUUCUGCAACACUUUAAAUCUAUACCCUAUAGAGACAAGAAAAGACUGGCCUAGCGGCUUAGAAUCGAACGGGUUAAAACACCCGGCUUAUAUCCAAUAUGUUUAUCAUAAUAGAAAAAAAAGAAAGCAGAUAUAAAUAAUGGACAUGGGCUGAAACUAACUCUUUAGUUAAUGCAGCAGGCAAUUUAUAUAUAAAUAAUAGCCAUAUUUGUACCUUUGAUCCUUAGACCACCGGCUUGAGUAACCCGGGUAAUGAAUUUGAUAACUCAAUCUUUCUGAGAAAUCAAUACCUUUGAAUACUUCAAUCAUUAUUAUACCUUGGUAGCCAUGUUGUCAAAUAGACAAACCGGCGAAGAAGAUCAUGCUAAUUAUUUGCAACAAGAAACUCAAAGAGAAAUAACAGUUAACAAGUAUGAUUUAACCUUAUAUUUAAAGGUUGGUGGCUCCUGAUUCGAAUACGAUCAGUAAACCGGUCCAAAGGGGUUAAGAUAAGGUUCGAAUACAACGAUAUAGCCCCCAGUGGCUCCUUAAUAGUCAUUUGAGAAUAAGAAAUAACAAAGAUGCAUAAUCUUUGAAAAGAAAAGAGAACGAUGGUAUUACUUUAUUACUUAUCAUGGUAUAUACAAUGUUAAAGUAUGUACAUGAUGAGAGCCGGUAGCUUAGGUGUCGUAUGGCCGAAGUUGAGCAAUGUUCCAUGGACGGCGGGUCUCCUCCUCCGAAUUACGUGAAUCUUUGUGUUCUCGAACGCCAAUGAUGUAAUACGACCCGUUGUUUAAAUUCUUGCUGACCACAAAGGAUCCUUCCCAAGGUGGGGAUAGCUUGUGCGCAUUUGACAGAUCCUGGAUGAGCCGGAGCACCAGGUCGCCUUCUUGAAAAGUCAUGGUUUUGACCCGACGGCUGUGAUAACGGCGCAAGUCCUGUUGAUAAAUUGCUGACUGGGCCGCUGCUAAGUCUCUUUAUUCAUCCAACAAGUCAAGUGCAUCCUGUCUGGCUUGUUCAUUAUUAGCAUCAACAUAAGCCGCCACACGGGGCGAAUCAUGAUGAAUGUCACUAGGCAACACUGCUUCUGCUCCAUAAACCAUGAAGAAAGGUGUGUAACGUGUAGACCUGUUAGGUGUGGUGUUGAUACUCCACAACACCAAGGGUAAUUCCUCUACCCAACAACCCGGUGUUCGUUGUAAAGGAACCAUUAGCCGGGGUUAGAGACCUUUCAAAAUUUCCUGAUUGGCUCUCUCAGCUUGACCAUUGGAUUGAGGAUGAGCUACAGAAGAAAAUGCCGGAUGUGCUCUCGUUGACAAAACUCCUCCAUAGCCCCUUGAGACAGAUUAGUGCCAUUGUCAGUGAUAAUGCUGUGUGGAAAACCAAAAUGGAAAAUCACCUUUUUCAUGAACUAAACCGUCGUGGCCGCGCCACACUUACUCAUAGGCUCUGCCUCAACCCACUUAGUGAAUUUAUCAACUGCCACCAAGAGAUCUGUCUUUUUAUCCUUAGACCUUUUGAAAGGUCCCACCAUGUCAAGCCCCGAGACCGCAAAUGGCCAAGUGAUUGGAAUCAUCCGGAGCUCUUGAGCCGGCACAUGCGCUCACCAUGCAAACUUUUGACAUCCAUCACAUCUGCUGACCAGAUCCUCUGCAUCAGCGUGAGCCGUCAACCAGUAAAAACUAUGAUGAAAAGCCUUGGCCACCAGAGAUUUUGACCCGGCGUGAUAACCACAAUCGCCUUCAUGGAUCUCACGAAGUAUUUCUUGACCUUCUUCGGGGGAAACACAUCGCUGAAACGCUUCAGAGACACUGCGAUGGUAUAAUUCUCCAUCCGAAAUCGUCAUUGACUUAGACCGCCGGGUUAUCUGUCGAGUCAGGGCCUUAUCCGCUGGCAACUCUCCCCGGGUCAUGUAAGCCAAGAACGGUACUGUCCAAUCCGGGAUGACAUGAAGAGCUGCCACCAACUGUGCCUUCGGGUCGGGAACAACUAAAUCUUCUUCUGUGGGCAACUUGACAGACGGGUUAUGUAAAACAUCCAAAAAGGUGUUAGGUGGUACCGGCUGACGUUGAGACCCCAACCAGCUUAAAGCAUCAGCCGCUUCGUUCUUUCGACGGUCAAUGUGCUCCACCCGAUAACCUUUAAAAUGCCCUACAACAGCAUCAACCUCCCGGCGAUAAGCCGCCAUGAGAGGGUCUUUGGAAUCCCACUUGCCUUAUACCUGUUGAGCCACUAGAUAUGAGUCGCCAAGACAUUUAAUUUGGCUCAAACUCAUCUCUUUUGCUACUCGAAGACCAUGGAGCAAGGCUUCAUACUCUGCUACGUUGUUAGUGCAAGGAAACAUCAACCGUAACACAUAACAAAAUUUGUCACCUCGCGGAGAGGUUAACACAACUCCAGCCCCCAAGCCUUCCAACUGUCUGGACCCAUCAAAAUGAAUAGUCCAAUACAUGUUGUCUGGUUUCUCUUCUGGCAUCUGCAUAUCUGUCUAGUCAUUAAUGAAGUCAACCAGUGCUUGAGAUUUGAUCGCGGUACGUGGCGCAUACUUCAACCCAUGAGACCCAAGCUCAAUUGCCCACUUGGCGACUCGCCCAAUGGCUUCUCUGUUUUGAAUGAUGUCUCCCAAAGGAGCAGAGCUAACCACGGUGAUGGGAUGUCCCUGAAAAUAAUGCUUAAGCUUCCGGCUUGCCAUGAACACCCCAUACAUGAGCUUCUGCCAAUGUGGAUAUCGUUGCUUGGAUUCAAUUAACACCUCACUCACGUAGUAAAACGGCCGUUGAACCGAAUGCUCCUUGUUAGCCUCCUUGCGCCCUACCACAAUAGCCACACUAACAACUCGUGAGUUAGCGGUCACGUAUAACAGCAACGACUCUUUCUCAACUGGAGCAGCCAGGACCUGCAGCUCAGCAAGCUGUGUCUUCAAAUCUUCAAAAGCAGAGUUUACAGCAUCGCUCCAAACAAAAUCAUAUGUUUUCUUCAUCAUCUGAUACAGAGGCAUUGCCUUCUCCCCUAACUGGCUCAUGAACUGGCUCAAAGCAGCAACACGGCCCGCGAGUCGUUGAACCUCAUUGAUGCAUGUUGGCUUGCCCAUGGAUGUAAUUGCCUUGAUUUUCUCCAGGUUAGCCUCAAUACCUUGGUUAGACACAAAAAAACCCAAGAGCUUGCCGGCUGGGACUCCAAAAACACACUUGGCCGGGUUAAGCAUCAUUUUGUAGACCCAGAGAUUAUUGAAAGUCUCUUUCAGAUCUGUGACCAAGGUUUCCUCUUUAUUGGAUUUUACCACUAUAUCAUCCACGUAAACAUGAACAUUACGCCCAAUUUGAUCGUGAAGACAAUUCUGCACACACCGUUCGUAAGUCGCCUGGGCACUCUUAAGCCCAAAAGGCAUAGACACAUAGCAGAAAGCUCCAAAAGGAGUGAUAAAAGUCGUCUUCUCCUGAUCCUUGACUGCCAUCUUGAUCUAAUGAUAACCGGAAUAAGCAUCCAAGAAACUCAAACAUGCGCAACCCGCCGUAGCAUCAAUGAUCUCAUAAAUACGGGAGAGGGCAAAAGGAUCAGCCGGACAAGCCUUGUUUAGAUCGGUGUAAUCCACACACAUACGCCAGGUGCCAUUCUUUUUGAGUACAAGCACCGGGUUGGCUAACCACUCUGGGUGAAAGACUUCUAUAAUGAAACCAGCUGCCAAAAGCCGGGCCACCUCUUCUCCAAUGGCCUUGCGCCUUUCUUCAUUGAACCGUCGGAGAAAUUGUCUGACAAGUUUAAACUUUGGAUCAAUAUUGAGAGUGUGCUCAGCGAGUUCCCUCGGGACACCCGGCAUGUCUGAAGGUUUCCAUGCGAAGAUGUCCCGGUUCUCAUGGAUGAACUCGAUGAGCGCACUUUCCUAUUUUGGAUCCAAGUUAGCACUGAUGAUGAACUGCUUGGAUGAGUCGCCAGGCACAAAGUCAACCAUCUUGGUGUCAUCAGCUGAUUUGAACUUCAACACCGGCUCAUGCUCUGUUGUUGGUUUCUUUAAUGACGUCAUGUCUGCCGGGUCAACAUGAUCUUAGUGAAAUUUUAACUCCUCUGUUGCACAGACAGAUUCAGCAUAGGCAGCAUCACCUUCUUCAGACUCCAAGGCUAUUUUCCAGCUCCCGUGUAUUGUGAAGGUGCCCUUAUAACCCGACAUCUUAAGCUGCAAAUACACAUAACACGACCGAGCCAUGAAUUUGGCAUAAUCCGGCCGUCCAAACAGAGCAUGAUACGGGAUUUUGAUCUUAACCACCUCAAAGGUUAAUUUUUCUGCUCUGGAGUCAUACUCAUCCCCAAAGGCUACUUCCAGUUCAAUCUUACCCACUGGGUAUGCCAACUUGCCAGGAACCACACCGUGAAAAACAGUGUUGGAUUGUUUAAGACUCUUAUCAGUCAAUCCCAUCCGGCGGAACGUCUCAUAAUAGAGGAUGUUGAUGCUGCUGCCUCCAUCCAUGAGUACUUUAGUGGAUUUGUAUCCACCAACCUGAGGUGCCACCACCAAAGCCAGAUGACCCGGAUUACCGACCCGGGGUGGGUGAUCCUCUCUGCUCCACACAAUAGGCUGCUCUGACCAACGUAAGUAACGUGGAACCACCGGCUCAACGGUAUUGACGGCCCUCUUGUGAAGUUUCUGGUCUCUCUUACAUAAGCUAGUGGUGAAUACAUGGUAUUGCCCACUAUUCAGCUGCUUCGGAUUGCUCUGAUAUCCGGACUGCUGCUGCUGAUUACCUUGGCCGGGUUGCGGAUUAUACCCUCCUUGGUUACCAGGAUGGCCCUGACCGUGGAAUCCUCCUCCACCUAAGCCGCCGCCCGGGCCUUGGAAACCGCCUCCACCUGAGCCGCCACCUGGGCCGUGACCUCCAUCAAACACGUUUGAAUUUUUAAACGCCUUCAUGAUCGUACAAUCUUUCCACGGGUGGGUGGCUGGCUUCUCCCGGGUACCAUGUUUUGGACAAGGCUCAUUCAAUAAUUGCUCAAGGGUGGGACCUGACCCACCCGACCGAGGGGGCUGUCGACCCUUGCGCCGUUGAUUUCCGCCUUGUGUACUGGUGUUAGCAACAAACUCAUCAGCCUUACGUUUAUUACCUCCUUGAUUCACCGGGUUAUGCUGGUGACCCUUGCCAUUGUCGUUUUUCUUUCCCUUCGUUGCCCUUUGUUCGUCAGACACCGGGUCCUUGGUAGUGUCAGAAUCAGCAUACUUGACGAGAGCCGCCAUCAACGUUACCAUGUCAUUACAGUCACGCUUGAGCCGCCCCAGCUUCUGCUUCAGAGGUUCAAAACGGCAAUUUUUCUCCAACAUCAAGAUUGUUGAGCCGGCAUCCAUCUUAUCAGAUGAAUGUAUUAUCUCCUUGACCUGGCACACCCAAUGGGUUGUGGAUUCACCACCCUCUUGCUUGCAAUUGGUCAGGUCCACAAUCGACAUGGGCUGCUUACAUGUGUCUUUAAAGUUCUGGAUGAACUGGGCCUUUAACUCCGCCCAUGAGCUGAUAGAAUUAGGUGGCAAUCCCUUCAACCAAGUACGAGUUGUUCCAUCUAACAUCAUAGUGAAAUACUUGGCCAUUGCUAAUCGCUGACCUCCAAUAACUCCAUAGACAUCUCAUAACUCUCAAUCGAAGCCCUGGGAUGUAAGUCAGCUGUGUAAUUAGGCACCUUACAAGGCCCCUUAAAGUUCUUUGGCAAACGCUCAUUACGUAUGGCCGGCACCAAGCAAGGAACGCCUCCGGUUCUUGUGGCCACUCCUGCCUCAACCGAGGUUGCUAGAUAAGCCGGAAAAGUUUGAUGAGCCGCCUGAUCCGCUGCCAUUUGAGCUGCUCGUUCCACCUCUUGACUAAUCCUCUCCUGAUCCGCCAAGUUGAGGGCCCCAGCCCGCACCGGCUCAUACCUGUAUGGCCGGUUGCGGCGUUGAGCGUUGCUUGACAUAUCUGCGGAUUCCAUAUGCCUACUGUAACUCGGGCUCCGGCUUGGGCGAGGAGUUGAAUGGAUCUUGUCUCGACUGUAGGAGUAUGCAUCCUGCUGCGCCAGAGAUGUUUGAAGAAGUUCUCUUACCCUCCGUGUUUGAAUUGCCGCCGGUGAGUCACCUUCCAUCGGAAGAGCCGCCAGACGAGCCGAUGAUGCGAUGAGGUUAUCCAAAGGGUUGGAGAGGUGACCCGGCGGCGUUGGGACGUAAUGAGGCGGAGCGGUAAUUAUACGAGGUGGAUCCAUGGCGCGCGGCUGGAUCGGUGCGCCGGGUGUUGUAAUCCGGGGUGCCUCCGGUGGGUUACUUCCCCCGGCUCCGGGUGUGUGAAAAAGAUUCCUAGGAUCGAGCGUAAGAGGCAGACGUGAUUGGGUUUUCUGAUGCCUCCUCCUCAUGACCUCAUUCGACGCGUUUAGAUCCACCGAGAGCUGGAAGGUCUCCGCUUGAAGCUGUUGAGCACGAACGUCCAAAGCCGCCCACUCUGCUGCCAUCCUGACUUCCUCUGCGGCUAGAUUUUCCUUAGAUUGCACCAUCUCUACACGUAUGCGUGCCACCUCUGUGUCAUGCUGGGCUUUAUCCGCCGGCUCUACCACGGCAGUCAACAGAGUCGUCAGUUUAUCCAUGAGGUCCAUCAAGAUCUGAGCCGGGGGGCACGCGGGGUCUCCUGACCCGGCCGCAGCCGACCUGGUAGCUGUCGCCGCUGCUGCUGUAGUGUUCUGCCCGGGUUGUGUCCCUGCCAUGAAGACUCCGGCCCAAUUCGGCGGCUCAAGAGGGUCCGAAAUACUGCUGCCAUCGGAACAGCCCCCGAGCAUGCUGUCCUCCAGCCGAUACAAAGAAUCCGUCUUGCCCGUUGAUGAAGCAGUAUCUGAACAGACGGCCGUCUCACCGCCCUCCACUGAUCCUUCAGAGUAUUCACCACCGUGGACCCAGCCUACGAAGGCAUGCUUCACGGCAGAUUGAACACGAGUGGUCCUCGUGCGCUGAGCUGUUUCAAUGAGGUUGCUGUGGACGUCCGGCUCAGGACCUGACUCACCGAUCUGGCCUAUGAAGACAUGAAUUCCGCCGAAGGGGACCCGAUAUCCGUACUCAAUUGAGCCGGCCUCCGGGCCCCAGCCUUCGUCGUCGAUGUAGAGCUUGCCGCGACGACUCUUAGUCAUCCGGCCCACAGCGUAUCCCUUGAGCCCUUCGAAGUUGCCCUUCAAGAACUCAAAUCCACCAUGCGCUGGCCCCACGGUGGGCGCCAACUAUCGUGGAAUUGUCACGGCAGAUGUCCUAGAGCAAGGACUUAGUCGUAGGGACAUCGCACUAGGAAGCUUAAAGGGGUUAAUCGGGACAAAGGACAUGAGAGGGUUUUCUACUAGUUCGGCCCCUUACGAUGAAGGUAAAAGCCUACGUCUAGUUGGGAUUGGUAUUGCUAGGGUUUCGAUCACCAAGAGGCUCAACUCGCCGACUUGGUUAUCGAAUUGUUGUUUCUUGCCCUAAGCCGCCACCGGGUCGUCCCCUUAUAUACAUGGGUUGACGCCUGGUGGCCUACAGAGUCCCGGCCGGCUCAUAAUCGUGUCCAGCUUAGUGACUUCCUUUACAUGCCCUUCUUUAUAAGUCUUUCCUUACAUACGGCGGUUCACAAUAUCAGGCCUUAAACCGCCUUCAGGCCUUUGGGCCUUCUAUAAGAUUUAAUAAACUAUAAUCUUGAAUGUUUACCGGGCUUCUUGUGUAACCCGCCAUUAGGGCUGACCCGGCCCCUCCUGGGCGGGUCAUAACUGAUAGUAAUAUCCCCAACAGAUCGUCUGGAAAGGAAACAUAGUAACGUCCUGAAUCCUCGAUGAACUGCCACUUGAGUUCGGUCGCAUCCCCUGGACUGGCAUCAUCGGCACCUGCAUCUAGUUUUGGAAGUAAUCUGUGAGUCACGGGGACUCAGCAAUCUCACACCCUCGCCAUCAAGACUAUUUAAGCUUAUGUGUAGGAAAAGGUAUUGAGGUGGAGCUGCAACAAGCACUAGCAUAUAUGGGGGCUAACUUACGCAAAUGAGAGCGAGAAGUGAAGCAAAGCACGGUCGAGAAACUAUAAUGAUCAAGAAGUGAUCCUGAAACUACUCACGUUCAAGCAUAACACGAGACCGUGUUCUCUUACCGGACUCUGCCGAAAAGAGACCAUCACGGCUACACACGUGGUUGAUGUAUUUUAAUUAAUUUAAGUGUCAAGUUAUCUACAACCAGACAUUAACAAAUUCCCAUCUGCCCAUAACCACGGGCACGGCUUUUGAAAGUUCAAAACCCUGCAGGGGUGUCCCAACUUAGCCCAUCACAAGCUCUCACGGUCAAAGAAUGAUAUUCCUUCUCCCAGGACGACCCGAUCAGAGUCGGAAUCCCAGUUACAAGACAUUUCGACAAUGGUAAAACAAGACUAGCAAAGCCACCGGAUGUGCCGACAAACCCCGAUAGGAGCUCCACAUAUCUCGUCCUCAGGGCACACCGGAUUGUCCAAACUUCCGGUAGGCCAACCCAGAGUUGCCCCUGGUGGCCACCGGCGGCUGACAAGUUGGACCAACACUCAGAGGAGCACUGGCCCGGGGGUUUAAAAUAAAGAUGACCCUUGAGUCCGCGGAACCCAAGGGAAAAAGGGCUUAGGUGGAAAAUGGUAAUACCAAGGUUGGGCCUUGCUGGAGGAGUUUUAUUCAAGGCGAACUGUCAAUGGUUUCCCAUUAUAACCCAACCGCGCAAGGAACGCAAAAUCAAGGAACAUAACACCAGUAUGACGGAAACUAGGGCGGCAAGAGUGGAACAAAACACCAGGCAUAAGGCCGAGCCUUCCACCCUUUACCAAGUAUAUAGAUGCAUUAAAGUAGACAAGACAUAAUAAUGAUAUCCCAACAAUAAUCAUGUUCCAAUGAGGAACAAACUCCAUCUUCACCUGCAACUAGCAACGCUAUAAGAGGGGCUGAGCAAAGGGUAACAUAGCCAGACAACGGUUUGCUAGGACAAGGUGGGUUAGAGGUUGACAUGGAAAUAUGGGAGGCAUGAUAAAGCAUGUGGUAGGUAUCGCAGUAUAGCAAAAGAGCGAGCAACCAGCAAGCAAAGAUAGAAGUGAUUUCGAGGGUAUGAUCAUCUUGCCUGCAAAGUUCUCUGAAUUGACGUAAGCUUGAUCCUUGUAAGCAUACUCAACUGGUUCCUCGAUCACGUACUCGUCUCCUGGCUCUACCCAAGGCAAGAACACAAGCAAAGGAAACAACAAUCAACCAUGGUGCAAUGCGCAAGCAAGAUGAUGGAAACAUGUCAUGAUAUGCGGGAUGUGAAAUGCAAUGCAUAUGCAUGCUCCGGAAGGAAAAGAUUGAACCAUGCCUCAACUUGGCAAACCAAGAGUUCCGCUGGAAAGAUGAGUUGAUUUCGGUCGAAAUCGAUAUAAAGAUCACCGGAAUCGGAUGCAUAGUUUGCAAAUGGCAAGCAAAACAAGAAUGGCACAAUUCUGCGAUUAACAGCACGAUGCCAUCUAGAAUGCAACAAGAAACUAAGCUACUGCACUCUAAUAUAGCAAGAAAGCACAUGGCAGUGAUCUACUCAAGAUGCUUGACAAAAUAUGAACACUGAGAUAUGGCUAAAUCACACAAUAGAAGAUUCAAACAACCAUGGCAAAAGUGCAAAAGAUAACAUCAUCACAGACUUAGUGAAAAUACUAACAUGUCAGGAAUUAACAUCAGGAAGCAAUGUUUAGAGAAAGAUAACAACAUGCUACAGGAACAUAUCAUAGCAAAGAAAGGCAUCACAUGAAUAUACUCAAAGCAUAUAACAAAAGUCCCUUACUGACAAUAAGCCAAAAGGGCACAGAAAAUAUGAUGGCACCCAUGUAAACAUAGCAAGUUCCGUUAACAAAAUCAGACUUAGCAGAAAACUGGACAUGGCAAAAACAGAAAUAUGAAGGCCUCUUUGCGAGCUCGAUUCACUCAAUACAAGGCAUUGCAUGACAAACUAAGCAUACUACCAGUAAGAAGGCAUGUUCAAGAAGCUAACCAAGGCAAGAAAAAUCUCAUAGCAUGCAUGGAUCAACUACAACAACCUUGGCAAAAUUGAUUAACAUGUAAACAAUCUGCCAGGAACAUUUUAUAGCAAAAGUAGAGCAAGAUUGAACCCUGCUAGGGUACUCCAUAAAUGCAAAAAGGGACAUGGAUGGAUAGAGCAUAACCAUCUGUCAAAAUCAUCCUUACUGAACAUACUCAAAAGAAGCAUUGAUCACUCUCUAGCAACAUGAAUACAUCGCAUUAAAAUAACAACAGGGAAAUGACUUCGUGAACUUCUAAGUCCCUGAAAUCAGCAAUAUCACGAGAGCUACUUUGCAUGCUUGUGCUAGUCACCACAUUGAUCACAAAAAUACAUGGCAUACACCCCUAUAAACAUGGCAUGGCAUAGCCCAAAACACAUGUAGAGCUCAUGACCAUAUGCAUCACACAAUAAUCAUGACAAAAAUGACAAAUGCUCAAGAUCUGAUAAGAAACAGGAACUAACAUUAUGAAGCCCUCUUGCAAUAGUCAUUAGGGCAUCAAGAUAUACUCAAACAAGCAUGGCGCAAUGGAACAAAAUGAAGAGGACAACAAGAUGAACAUUUCGAUAUAUGGCACGCUCAAAACGGAGCUACGGGCAGAGAGUUAUGAUGCAAUGAACAGGGGCUCAGAAUGUAAGAAAAAAUGACUUAGAGAUAUUUCGGGGUCAACCUAGGGUUUGACCAGAUCCAGAUCUAGGUGCGGAAGUCGAGGCUCGUCAGAGAGGACGGGUCCGGGACGGAUCCCGCCGGAUCUAGUCGGGGGGAGGCCGUGUUGGAAAUAUGCCCUAGAGGCAAUAAUAAAAGUGUUAUUAUUAUAUUUCUUUGUUCACGAUAAUAGUCUUUUAUUCAUGCUAUAACUAUAUUAUCCGAAAAUCAUAAUACACGUGUGAAUACAUAGACCACAAUAUGUCCCUAGUAAGCCUCUAGUUGACUAGCUCGUUGUGAUCAACAGAUAGUCAUGGUUUCCUGGCUAUGGACAUUGGAUGUUGUUGAUAACGAGAUCACAUCAUUAGGAGAAUGAUGUGAUGGACAAGACCCAAUUCUAAGCAUAGCACAAAGGUCGGUUAGUUUGUUUGCUAGAGCUUUUCCAAUGUCAAGUAUCUCUUCCUUAGACCAUGAGAUCGUGUAACUCCCGGAUACCGUAGGAGUGCUUUGGGUGUACCAAACUUCACAACGUAACUGGGUGACUAUAAAGGUGCAUUACAGGUAUCUCCGAAAGUGUCUAUUGGGUUGACACGGAUCGAGACUGGGAUUUGUCACUCCGUAUGACGGAGAGGUAUCUCUGGGCCCACUCGGUAAUGCAUCAUCAUAAUGAGCUCAAUGUGACCAAGUGUUUGGUCAUGGGAUCAUGCAUUACGGUACGAGUAAAGUGACUUGCCGGUAACGAGACUGAACGAGGUAUUGGGAUACCGACGAUCGAGUCUCGGGCAUGUAACGUACCGAUUGACAAAGGGAAUUGCAUACGGGGUUUGAUCGAAUCCUCGACAUCGUGGUUCAUCCGAUGACAACAUCGAGGAGCAUGUGGGAGCCAACAUGGGUAUCCAGAUCCCGCUGUUGGUUAUUGACCUGAGGUCAUCUCGGUCAUGUCUGCAUGUCUCCCGAACCCGUAGGGUCUACACACUUAAGGUUCGGUGACGCUAGGGUUAUCAGGAAGACAAGUAUGUGAUUACCGAAUGUUGUUCGGAGUCCCGGAUGAGAUCCCGGACGUCACGAGGAGUUCCGGAAUGGUCCGGAGGUAAAGAUUUAUAUAUGGAAAGUGGUUAAACGGACACCGGAAAGUUUCAGUGGCAUACCGGUAUUGUACCGAGGCCACCGGAAGGGUUCCGGGGUCCACCGGGUGGGGCCACCCCUCCCGGGGGGCCACAUGGGCUGUGUGGGAGAGGGAGCCAGCCCCUAGUGGGCUGGGCGCGCCUCCCCACCUAGGCCCAUGCGGCUAGGGCAAGGGGAGGGGAAACCCUAAAGGGGGCGCCCCCCUAGCUUGGGGGGCAAGCCACCCUUUUCCCUCUCCCUUUGGCCGCCGCCCCCCUCUAGGGUUUCCCCUAGAGGGCCGGCCCCCUUGCCCCUCUCCUCCUAUAUAUAGAGGGGUGAGGGGAGGGCUGCUGUAGACAACUCAAGGCGCAGCCCCUCCCCUCCCCAACACCUCUCCUCCACCGUACGUGCUUGGCGAAGCCCUGUCGGAGUACUUCUGCACCAACUACACCACGCUGUCGUGCUGCCGUUGGAGCUGCCUUCCUCAACCUCUCCUUCCUCCUUGCUGGAUCAAGACGAAGGAGACGUCGUCCGUCCCGUACGUGUGUUGAACGCGGAGGUGCUGUCCGUUCAGCACUUGGUCAUCGGUGAUCCGAAUCACAACGAGUACGACUCCAUCAUCACCAUCCCCUUGAACGCUUCCGCACUCGAUCUACAAGUGGUAUGUAGAUGCAAACUCUUCCCCUUGACUCGUUGCUUAGAUGAACUCAUAGAUGGAUCUUGGUGAAACCGUAGGAAAUUUUUUAAUUUUCUGCAACGUUCCCCAACAGUGGCAUCAUGAGCUAGGUCUAUGCGUAGUUCUCUUUGCACGAGUAGAACACAAUUUUGUUGUGGGCGUGGAUCUUGUCAACUUACUUGCCACUACUAGUCUUUUCUUGCUUCAACGGCAUUGUGGGAUGAAGCGGCCCGGACCAACCUUACACGUACGCUUACGUGAGACCGGUUCCACCGAUUGACAUGCACUAGUUGCAUAAGGUGGCUGGCGGGUGUCUGUCUCUCCCACUUUAGUUGGAGCGGAUUCGAUGAAAAGGGUCCUUAUGAAGGGUAAGUAGAAGUUGACAAGAUCACGUUGUGGUUAUUCGUAGGUAAGAAAACGUUCUUGCUAGAACCCAAUUGCAACCACGUAAAAGAUGCAACAACAAUUAGAGAACGUCUAACUUGUUUUUGCAGCAAUUGUCAUGUGAUGUGAUAUGGCCAGAAGUUGUGAUGAAUGAUGAAUGAUAUAUUGUGAUGUAUGAGAUCAUGUUCUUGUAAUAGGAAUCACGACUUGCAUGUCGAUGAGUAUGACAACCGGCAGGAGCCAUAGGAGUUGUCUUUAUUUUGUAUGACCUGCGUGUCAUUGAAGAACGCCAUGUAGACUACUUUACUUUAUUUGCUAAACGCGUUAGUCAUAGAAGUAGAAGUAGUCGUUGGCGUGACAACUUCAUGAAGACACGAUGAUGGAGAUCAUGAUGAUGGAGAUCAUGGUGUCAUUGAAGGAAAUAUGCCCUAGAGGCAAUAAUAAAGUUAUUAUUUAUUUCCUCAUUUCAUGAUAAAUGUUUAUUAUUCAUGCUAGAAUUGUAUUAACCGGAAACAUGAUACAUGUGUGAAUACAUAGACAAACAUAUAGUCACUAGUAUGCCUCUACUUGACUAGCUCAUUAAUCAAAGAUGGUUAUGAUUCCUAACCAUUGACAUGUGUUGUCAUUUGAUUAAUGGGAUCACAUCAUUAGGAGAAUGAGGUGAUUGACAUGACCCAUCCCGUUAGCUUAGCACUUGAUCGUUUAGUAUUCUGCUAUUGCUUCCUUCAUGACUUAUACAUGUUCCUGUAACUAUGAGAAUUGUGUAACUCCCGUUUACCGGAGGAACACUUUGGGUACUACCAAACGUCACAACGUAACUGGGUGAUUAUAAAGGAGUACUACAGGUGUCUCCGAAGGUACAUGUUGAGUUAGCAUAAUUCGAGAUUAGGUUUUGUCACUCCGAUUGUCGGAGAGGUAUCUCUGGGCCCUCUCGGCAAUGCUCAUCACCUAAGCCUUGCAAGCAUGUAACUAAUGAGUUAGUUAUAAGAUGAAGUAUUACAGAACGAGUAAAGAGACUUGUCGAUAACGAGAUUGAACUAGGUAUUGGAUACCGACGAUCGAAUCUCGGACAAGUAACAUACCGAUGACAAAGGGAACAACGUAUGUUGUUAUGCGGUUUGACCGAUAAAGAUUUUCGUAGAAUAUGUAGGAACCAAUAUGGGCAUCCAGGUCCCGCUAUUGGUUAUUGACCAGAGAUGUGUCUCAGUCAUGUCUACAUCGUUCUCGAACCGUAGGGUCCGCACGCUUAAGGUUUCGAUGACAGUUAUAUUAUGAGUUUAUGUAUUUUGAUGUACCGAAGGUUGUUCGGAGUCCCGGAUAUGAUUGCGGACAUGACGAGGAGUCUCGAAAUGGUUGAGACAUAAAGAUUGAUAUAUUGGACGGAUAUAUUUGGACACCGGAAAGGUUCCGGAGAAGUUUGGAGCCCCGGGAGGUUACCGGAACCCCCUGGGAGGUAUAUGGGCCUUAUUGGGCCCAUGUAGGAAGAAGAGAGAAGGAGCAAGGGAGGGGGGCGCCCCCCCAAGCCCAAUCCGAAUUGGGGAGGGGGGCCGGCCCCCCCUUUCCUUUCUCCUUCCCCUCUUCCUAUUACUACUACUAGUACUACUUCCUAAUACUAGUACUCUUUCCUUCCCCCUCCAAAUAAGAUAAGGAAAAGAGAGGGAAACCUACUUGGAGUAGGUUUCCCCCUCCUCAUGGCGCGCCCCCCUAGGGCCGGCCACCUCCCUCCCUCCUUUAUAUACGGGGGUAGGGGGGCACCCUAGAACACACAAGUUGAUCAUUGAUCGUUCCUUAGCCGUGUGCGGUGCCCCCCUCCACGAUAUUACACCUCGGUCAUAUUGUAGCGGUGCUUAGGCGAAGCCCUGCAACAGGAGAACAUCAAGAUCGUCACCACGCCGUCGUGCUGACGGAACAUCCCCUCGGCACCUCUACUGGAUCGGAGAUCGAGGGUGCGUCAUCGAGCUGUACGCGUGUCAAGAACUCGGAGGUGCCGGAGUAACGGUACUUGGAUCGGUUGAACCGGAGGACGUACGACUACUUCCUCUACGUUGCGUCAACGCUUCCGCUUCGGUCUACGAGGGUACGUAGACAACACUCUCCCCUCGUUGCUAUAUCAUCACCAUGAUCUUGCAUGUGCGUAGGAAUUUUUUUUGAAAUUACUACGUUCCCCAACAGUGGCAUCCGAGCCUAGGUUUUAUGCGUUGAUGUUAUAUGCACGAGUAGAACACAAGUGAGUUGUGGACGAUAUAAGUCAUACUGCCUACCAGCAUGUCAUACUUUGGUUCAGCGGUAUUGUGAGAUGAAGCGGCCCGGACCGACAUUAUGCGUACGCUUACGCGAGACUGGUUUCACCGUUACGAGCACUCGUGCUUAAAGGUGGCUGGCGGGUGUCUGUCUCUCUCACUUUAGUUGAACCGAGUGUGGCUACGCCCGGUUCUUGUGAAGGUUAAAACGGAGUCUAUUUGACAAACUAUCGUUGUGGUUUUGAUACGUAGGUGAGAUUGGUUCUUGCUUAAGCCCGUAGCAGCCACGUAAAAUUUGCAACAACAAAGUAGAGGACGUCUAACUUGUUUUUGCAGGGCAUGUUGUGAUGUGAUAUGGCCAAGACAUGAUGCUAUAUUUUAUUGUAUGAGAUGAUCAUGUUUUGUAACCGAAGUUAUCGGCAACUGGCAGGAGCCAUCUGGUUGUCGCUUUAUUGUAUGAAAUGCAAACGCCCUGUAAUUGCUUUACUUUAUCUCUAAGCGGUAGCGAUAGUCAUAGAAGCAAUAGAUGGCGUAACAACAAUGAUGCUACGAUGGAGAUCAAGGUGUCGCGCCGGUGACAAUGGUGAUCACGACGGUGCUUCGAAGAUGGAGAUCACAAGCACAAGAUGAUGAUGGCCAUAUCAUAUCACUUAUAUUGAUUGCAUGUGAUGUUUAUCCUUUUUGCAUCUUAUCUUGCUUUGUUUGAUGGUAGCAUUUUAAGAUGAUCUCUCACUAAUUAUCAAGAAGUGUUCUCCCUGAGUAUGCACCGUUGCAAAAGUUCUUCGUGCUGAGACACCACGUGAUGAUCGGGUGUGAUAGGCUCUACGUUCAAAUACAACGGGUGCAAAACAGUUGCACACGCGGAAUACUCAGGUUAUACUUGACGAGCCUAGCAUAUACAGAUAUGGCCUCGGAACACGGGGACCGAAAGGUCGAGCGUGAAUCAUAUAGUAGAUAUGAUCAACAUAGAGAUGUUCACCAUUGAAACUACUCCAUCUCACGUGAUGAUCGGACAUGGUUUAGUUGAUUUGGAUCACGUAAUCACGCAGAUGACUAGAAGAGAUGUCUGUCUAAGUGGGAGUUCUUUAGUAAUAUGAUUAAUUGAACUUAAAUUUAUCAUGAACUUAGUACCUGAUAGUAUUUUGCUUGUCUAUGUUUGUAUGUAGAUAGAUGGCUCAUGCUAUUGUUCCAUUGAAUUUUAAUGCGUUCCUUGAGAAAGCAAAGUUGAAAGAUGAUGGUAGCAAUUACACGGACUGGGUCCGUAACCUGAGGAUUAUCCUCAUUGCUGCACAGAAGAGUUACGUCCUGGAAGCACCGCUGGGUGCCAGGCCUGCUGCUGAUGCAACUGACGACGUUAAGAACGUCUGGCAGAGCAAAGCUGAUGACUACUCUAUAGUUCAGUGUGCCAUGCUUUACGGCUUAGAACCGGGUCUUCAACGACGUUUUGAACGUCAUGGGGCAUAUGAGAUGUUCCAGGAGUUGAAGUUAAUAUUUCAAGCAAAUGCCCGGAUUGAGAGAUAUGAAGUCUCCAAUAAGUUCUACAGCUGCAAGAUGGAGGAGAAUAGUUCUGUCAGUGAGCAUAUACUCAAAAUGUCUGGGUAUAAUAAUCACUUGAUUCAACUGGGAGUUAAUCUUCCGGAUGAUAGCGUCAUUGACAGAAUUCUCCAAUCACUGCCACCAAGCUACAAGAGCUUUGUGAUGAACUAUAAUAUGCAAGGGAUGAACAAGACUAUUCCCGAGCUCUUCGCGAUGCUGAAAGCCGCGGAGGUAGAAAUCAAAAAGGAGCAUCAAGUGUUGAUGGUCAACAAGACCACUGGUUUCAAGAAAAGGGGCAAAGGGAAGAAGAAGGGGAACUUCAAAAGGAACAGCAAACAAGUUGCUGCUCAAGUGAAGAAACCCAAGUCUGGACCUAAGCCUGAAACUGAGUGCUUCUACUGCAAGCAGACUGGACACUGGAAGCGGAACUGCCCCAAGUAUUUGGCGGAUAAGAAGGAUGGCAAAGUGAACAAAGGCAUAUGUGAUAUACAUGUUAUUGAUGUGUAUCUUACUAAUGCUCGCAGUAGCACCUGGAUAUUUGAUACUGGUUCUGUUGCUAACAUUUGCAACUCGAAACAGGGACUACUGAUUAAGCGAAGAUUAGCUAAGAACAAGGUGACAAUGCGUGUGGGAAAUGGUUCCAAAGUCGAUGUGAUCGCGGUCGGCACACUACCUCUACAUCUACCAUCGGGAUUAGUUUUAGAGCUGAAUAAUUGUUAUUUGGUGCCUGCGUUGAGCAUGAACAUUAUAUCUGGAUCUUGUUUGAUGCGAGACGGUUAUUCAUUUAAAUCAGAGAAUAAUGGUUGUUCUAUUUAUAUGAGUAAUAUCUUUUAUGGUCAUGCACCCUUGAAGAGUGGUCUAUUUUUAUUAAAUCUCGAUAGUAGUGAUACACAUAUUCAUAAUGUUGAAGCCAAAAGAUGCAGAGUUGAUAAUGAUAGUGCAACAUAUUUGUGGCACUGCCGUUUAGGUCAUAUCGGUGUAAAACGCAUGAAGAAACUCCAUACUGAUGGACUUCUGGAAUCACUUGAUUAUGAAUCACUUGGUACUUGCGAACCGUGCCUCAUGGGCAAGAUGACCAAAACACCGUUCUCCGGAUCUAUGGAGAGAGCAACAGAUUUGUUGGAAAUCAUACAUACAGAUGUAUGUGGUCCGAUGAAUGUUGAGGCUCGUGGCGGAUAUCGUUAUUUCCUCACCUUCACAGAUGAUUUGAGCAGAUAUGGGUAUAUCUACUUGAUGAAGCACAAGUCUAAAACAUUUGAAAAGUUCAAAGAAUUUCAGAGUGAAGUAGAAAAUCAUCGUAACAAGAAAAUAAAGUUUCUACGAUCUGAUCGUGGAGGAGAAUAUUUGAGUUACGAGUUUGGUUUACAUUUGAAACAAUGUGGAAUAGUUUCGCAACUCACGCCACCUGGAACACCACAGCGAAAUGGUGUGUCCGAACGUCGUAAUCGUACUUUACUUGAUAUGGUGCGAUCUAUGAUGUCUCUUACCGAUUUACCGCUAUCGUUUUGGGGUUAUGCUUUAGAGACGGCCGCAUUCACGUUAAAUAGGGCACCAUCAAAAUCCGUUGAGACGACGCCUUAUGAACUGUGGUUUGGCAAGAAACCAAAGUUGUCGUUUCUCAAAGUUUGGGGCUGCGAUGCUUAUGUGAAGAAACUUCAACCAGAUAAGCUCGAACCCAAAUCGGAGAAAUGUGUCUUCAUAGGAUACCCAAAGAAGACAAUUGGGUACACCUUCUAUCACAGAUCUGAAGGCAAGAUUUUCGUUGCUAAAAUCGGAUCCUUUCUAGAGAAGGAGUUUCUCUCGAAAGAAGUGAGUGGGAGGAAAGUAGAACUUGAUGAGAUAACUGUAUCUACUCCCUUAUUGGAAAGUAGUUCAUCACAAGAACCGGUUCCUGUGACAACUACACCAAUUAGUGAGGAAGCUAAUGAUAUUGAUCAUGAAACUUCAGAUCAAGUUUCUACUGAACCUCGUAGGUCUACCAGAGUAAGAUCCGCACCAGAGUGGUACGGAAAUCCUAUUCUGGAAGUCAUGUUACUAGACCAUGAUGAACCUACGAACUAUGAGGAAGCGAUGAUGAGCCCAGAUUCCGCAAAAUGGCUAGAGGCCAUGAAAUCUGAGAUAGGAUCCAUGUAUGAAAACAAAGUAUGGACUUUGGUUGACUUGCCCGAUGAUCGGCAAGCCAUUGAGAAUAAAUGGAUCUUUAAGAAGAAGACUGACGCUGAUGGUAAUGUUACUGUCUACAAAGCUCGACUUGUUGCAAAAGGUUUUCGACAAGUUCAAGGGGUUGACUACGAUGAGACUUUCUCACCCGUAGCGAUGGUUAAGUCUGUCCGAAUCAUGUUGGCUAUUUCUGCAUUUCAUGAUUAUGAAAUUUGGCAAAUGGAUGUCAAGACUGCAUUCUUGAAUGGAUUUCUAGAAGAAGAGUUGUAUAUGAUGCAACCUGAAGGUUUUGUUGAUCUAAAAAGUGCUGACAAAGUGUGCAAGCUCCAACGUUCCAUUUAUGGACUGGUGCAAGCAUCUCGGAGUUGGAAUAAACGUUUUGAUAGUGUGAUCAAAGCAUAUGGUUUUAUACAGACUUUUGGAGAAGCCUGUAUUUACAAGAAAGUGAGUGGGAGCUCUGUAGCAUUUCUAGUUUUAUAUGUUGAUGACAUAUUAUUAAUUGGAAAUGAUAUAGAAUUUCUGGAUAGCAUAAAGGGAUACUUGAAUAAAAGUUUUUCUAUGAAAGACCUCGGUGAAGUUGCUUACAUAUUGGGCAUCAAGAUCUAUAGAGAUAGAUCAAGACGCUUAAUAGGACUUUCACAAAGUACAUACCUUGACAAAAUUUUGAAAAAGUUCAAAAUGGAUCAGGCAAAGAAAGGAUUCUUGCCUGUGCUACAAGGUGUAAAGUUGAGUCAAACUCAAUGCCCGACCACAGCAGAAGAUAGAGAGAAAAUGAAAGAUGUUCCCUAUGCUUCAGCCAUAGGCUCUAUCAUGUAUGCAAUGCUGUGUACCAGACCUGACGUAUGCUUAGCAAUAAGCUUGGCAGGUAGGUACCAAAGUAAUCCAGGAGUGGAUCACUGGACAGCGGUCAAGAACAUCCUGAAAUACCUGAAAAGGACUAAGGAUAUGUUUCUCGUAUAUGGAGGUGACAAAGAGCUAGUCGUAAAUGGUUACGUCGAUGCAAGCUUUGACACUGAUCCGGACGAUUCUAAAUCGCAGACCGGAUACGUGUUUUUAUUAAACGGUGGAGCUGUAAGUUGGUGCAGUUCUAAACAAAGCGUCGUGGCGGGAUCUACAUGUGAAGCAGAGUACAUAGCUGCUUCUGAAGCAGCAAAUGAAGGAGUCUGGAUGAAGGAGUUCAUUUCCGAUCUAGGUGUCAUACCUAGUGCAUCGGGACCAAUGAGAUCUUCUGUGACAAUACUGGUGCAAUUGCCUUGGCAAAGGAAUCCAGAUUUCACAAGAGGACCAAGCACAUCAAGAGACGCUUCAAUUCCAUUCGGGAUCAAGUCCAAGUGGGAGACAUAGAGAUUUGCAAGAUACAUACGGAUCUGAAUGUUGCAGACCCGUUGACUAAGCCUCUCUCACGAGCAAAACAUGAUCAGCACCAAGACUCCAUGGGUGUUAGAAUCAUUACUAUGUAAUCUAGAUUAUUGACUCUAGUGCAAGUGGGAGACUGAAGGAAAUAUGCCCUAGAGGCAAUAAUAAAGUUAUUAUUUAUUUCCUCAUUUCAUGAUAAAUGUUUAUUAUUCAUGCUAGAAUUGUAUUAACCGGAAACAUGAUACAUGUGUGAAUACAUAGACAAACAUAUAGUCACUAGUAUGCCUCUACUUGACUAGCUCAUUAAUCAAAGAUGGUUAUGUUUCCUAACCAUUGACAUGUGUUGUCAUUUGAUUAAUGGGAUCACAUCAUUAGGAGAAUGAGGUGAUUGACAUGACCCAUCCCGUUAGCUUAGCACUUGAUCGUUUAGUAUUCUGCUAUUGCUUCCUUCAUGACUUAUACAUGUUCCUGUAACUAUGAGAAUUGUGUAACUCCCGUUUACUGGAGGAACACUUUGGGUACUACCAAACGUCACAACGUAACUGGGUGAUUAUAAAGGAGUACUACAGGUGUCUCCGAAGGUACAUGUUGAGUUAGCAUAAUUCGAGAUUAGGUUUUGUCACUCCGAUUGUCGGAGAGGUAUCUCUGGGCCCUCUCGGCAAUGCUCAUCACCUAAGCCUUGCAAGCAUGUAACUAAUGAGUUAAUUAUAAGAUGAAGUAUUACAGAACGAGUAAAGAGACUUGUCGAUAACGAGAUUGAACUAGGUAUUGGAUACCGACGAUCGAAUCUCGGACAAGUAACAUACCGAUGACAAAGGGAACAACGUAUGUUGUUAUGCGGUUUGACCGAUAAAGAUUUUCGUAGAAUAUGUAGGAACCAAUAUGGGCAUCCAGGUCCCGCUAUUGGUUAUUGACCAGAGAUGUGUCUCAGUCAUGUCUACAUCGUUCUCGAACCGUAGGGUCCGCACGCUUAAGGUUUCGAUGACAGUUAUAUUAUGAGUUUAUGUAUUUUGAUGUACCGAAGGUUGUUCGGAGUCCCGGAUAUGAUUGCGGACAUGACGAGGAGUCUCGAAAUGGUUGAGACAUAAAGAUUGAUAUAUUGGACGGAUAUAUUUGGACACCGGAAAGGUUCCGAAGAAGUUUGGAGCCCCGGGAGGUUACCGGAACCCCCCGGGAGGUAUAUGGGCCUUAUUUGGCCCAUGUAGGAAGAAGAGAGAAGGAGCAAGGGAGGGGGGCGCGCCCCCCAAGCCCAAUCCGAAUUGGGGAGGGGGGCCGGCCCCCCCUUUCCUUUCUCCUUCCCCUCUUCCUAUUACUACUACUAGUACUACUUCCUAAUACUAGUACUCUUUCCUUUCCCCUCCAAAUAAGAUAAGGAAAAGAGAGGGAAACCUACUUGGAGUAGGUUUCCCCCUCCUCAUGGCGCGUCCCCCCUAGGGCCGGCCACCUCCUCCCUCCCUCCUUUAUAUACGGGGGUAGGGGGGCACCCUAGAACACACAAGUUGAUCAUUGAUCGUUCCUUAGCCGUGUGCGGUGCCCCCCUCCACGAUAUUACACCUCGGUCAUAUUGUAGCGGUGCUUAGGCGAAGCCCUGCAAUAGGAGAACAUCAAGAUCGUCACCACGCCGUCGUGCUGACGGAACUUCCCCUCGGCACCUCUGCUGGAUCGGAGAUCGAGGGUGCGUCAUCGAGCUGUACGUGUGUCGAGAACUCGGAGGUGCCGGAGUAACGGUACUUGGAUCGGUUGAACCGGAGGACGUACGACUACUUCCUCUACGUUGCGUCAACGCUUCCGCUUCGGUCUACGAGGGUACGUAGACAACACUCUCCCCUCGUUGCUAUAUCAUCACCAUGAUCUUGCAUGUGCGUAGGAAUUUUUUUGAAAUUACUACGUUCCCCAACAGUCAUGCCGGUGACAAGAUGAUCAUGGAGCCCCGAAGAUGAAGAUCAAAGGAGCUAUAUGAUAUUGGCCAUAUCAUGUCACUACUUUAUAUAAUUGCAUGUGAUGUUUAUUAUGUUUAUGCAUCUUGUUUACUUAGAUCGACGGUAGUAAAUAAGAUGAUCCCUUAUAACAAUUUCAAGAAAGUGUUCCCCCUAACUGUGCACCGUUGCUAAAGUUCGUCGUUUCGAAGCACCACGUGAUGAUCGACUGUGAUAGAUCCUUACGUUCACAUACAACGGGUGUAAGACAGUUUUACACAUGCAAAAACACUUAGGGUUAACUUGACGAGCCUAGCAUGUACAGACAUUGCCUCGGAACACGGAGACCGAAAGGUCGAACACGAGUCGUAUGGAAGAUAUGAUCAACAUGAGAAUGUUCACCGACGAUGACUAGUCCGUCUCACGUGAUGAUCGGACACGGCCUAGUCGACUCGGAUUGUGUAACACUUAGAUGACUAGAGAGAUGUCUAAUCUGAGUGGGAGUUCAUUCAAUAAUUUGAUUAGAUGAACUUAAUUAUCAUGAACUUAGUCUAAAACCUUUUGCAAAUAUGUCUUGUAGAUCAAAUGGCCAACGCUCAUGUCAACUUGAACUUCAACGCGUUCCUAGAGAAAACCAAGCUGAAAGAUGAUGGCAGCAACUAUACGGACUGGGUCCGGAAACUGAGGAUCAUCCUCAUAGCUGCCAGGAAACAAUUUGUCCUAGAAGGACCGCUAGGUGACACUCCCGUCCCAGAGAACCAAGACAUUAUGAAUGCUUGGCAGUCUCGUGCUGAUGAUUACUCCCUCGUUCAGUGCGGCAUGCUUUACAGCUUAGAACCGGGGCUCCAAAAGCGUUUUGAGCAUCACGGAGCAUAUGAGAUGUUCGAGGAGCUGAAACUAGUUUUCCAAGCUCACGCCCGGGUCGAGAGAUAUGACAUCUCCGACAAGUUCUAUAGUUAUAAGAUGGAGGAAAAUAGUUCUGUCAGUGAACACAUACUCAAGAUGUCUGGGUUGCACAACCGUAUGACCCAGCUGAAUAUUAACCUCCCUGAUGAGGCAGUCAUUGACAGAAUCCUUCAGUCGCUCCCACCAAGCUACAAGAGCUUUGUGAUGAACUACAAUAUGCAGGGGAUGGUAAAGACCAUUCCUGAAGUAUUUUCUAUGCUGAAGUCAGCAGAGGUUGAAAUCAAGAAAGAACAUCAAGUGUUGAUGGUCAAUAAGACCACUAAGUUCAAGAAGGGCAAGGGUAAGAAGAACUUCAAGAAGGACGGCAAAGAGGUUGCCGCGCCUGGUAAGCCAGUUGCCAGGAAGAAGUCAAAGAAUGGACCCAAGCCUGAGACUGAGUGCUUUUAUUGCAAGGGGAAGGGUCAUUGGAAGCGGAACUGCCCCAAAUACUUAGCGGAUAAGAAGGCCGGCAACACUAAAGGUAUAUUCGAUAUACAUGUAAUUGACGUGUACCUUACCAGUACUUGUAGUAACUCCUGGGUAUUUGAUACCGGUGCCGUUGCUCAUAUUUGUAACUCACAGCAGGGGCUGCGGAAUAAGCGGAGACUGGCGAAGGACGAGGUGAUGAUGCGUGUCGGGAACGGUUCCAAGGUCGAUGUGAUCGCCGUCGGCACGCUACCUCUACAUUUACCCACGGGAUUAGUUUUGAACCUUAAUAAUUGUUAUUUAGUGCCAAGUUUGAGCAUGAACAUUGUAUCUGGAUCUCGUUUAAUACGAGAUGGCUACUCAUUUAAGUCUGAGAAUAAUGGUUGUUCGAUUUAUAUGAGAGAUAUGUUUUAUGGUCAUGCUCCGAUGGUCAAUGGUUUAUUCUUAAUGAAUCUCAAGCGUAAUACUACACAUAUUCAUAGCGUGAAUACCAAAAGAUGUAAAGUUGAUAACGAUAGUCCCACAUACUUGUGGCACUGCCGCCUUGGUCACAUUGGUGUCAAGCGCAUGAAGAAGCUCCAUGCUGAUGGACUUUUAGAGUCUCUCGAUUAUGAAUCAUUUGACACAUGCGAACCAUGCCUCAUGGGCAAGAUGACCAAGACUCCGUUCUCCGGAACAAUGGAGCGAGCAACCAACUUGUUGGAAAUCAUACAUACCGAUGUGUGCGGUCCAAUGAGUGUUGAGGCUCGCGGAGGAUAUCGUUAUGUUCUCACUCUCACUGAUGACUUGAGUAGAUAUGGGUAUGUCUACUUAAUGAAACACAAGUCUGAGACCUUUGAAAAGUUCAAGGAAUUUCAGAAUGAGGUAGAGAAUCAACGUGACCGAAAGAUAAAAUUCCUACGAUCAGAUCGUGGAGGCGAAUACUUAAGUCACGAAUUUGGUACACACUUAAAGAAAUGUGGAAUCGUUUCACAACUCACACCGCCUGGAACACCUCAGCGUAACGGUGUGUCCGAACGUCGUAAUCGCACUCUAUUGGAUAUGGUGCGGUCUAUGAUGUCUCUUACCGAUUUACCGCUAUCAUUUUGGGGAUACGCUCUAGAGACAGCUACAUUCACUUUAAAUAGGGCACCGUCUAAAUCCGUUGAGACGACACCGUAUGAAUUGUGUUAGAGGGUGACGCAAAAAUAAACCGAUGAAGUGGGGGAGGGGAGGAAAAAAAUAUACGAAAAAAAACCUACAAAAAAACCAGCGAAAGUGGGAUGGGAUGAAAAAAAACCCGGAACGGAGACUACCAACUGCUGUAUUAGGAGUAGAGAUGUCUUAGUUGGUAGUCUCCAUUUCACGGUUAUUUUUCAUCCCACCUUUCCUGGAUUUUUUUCGUCCUCGCCGGCCUCCCCCGAUCCGAUCCGAUCUGCGGUAAAAAACGGACAACGAUGACUAGCGAUUCUCUUUGCACGAACAAAAAAUCGGACGACGCCCUAGCCUCCCUCGCAUGAAAAAACCCUCCUCUCGAUCCACCCCUCUCGUGCGACCGCUCUCUUUCCCUCUCCUCCCGAUGCGCCGCUGUCCCCAUCUCUUGCUCCACUGCCGCCGCCGCCCUGCCUCCCUCCCACUCAGCCGCCUCCACCGCUCCCACCCUUCUCCCCAUUGUUGGAUCCGUUUGCAUAUCAUCAAGGUUAGGGGCGAAGCUCCAUGUCCGCGACGCGCACAUGCUCAUCAAGGAAGCGGCUCCCGGAUCUGAGGUCGCGCGGCCAUGACGGAAGGUGCUCGAGGUGGCCGCCGAAGACCAAUCCCCCACCAUGUCUAGAAUCGCUUCCUCUGCCAUGUUCCACUGAGGAAGGAGGGGGCGGCACAGAGAGGUUCCUCACGCAGCUGUGCGGUCGACCACUAGGAGGCGGUUGUGUGGUGAGUGCCCUCAAACGCCGCACUCCCGGGCCGGAGGGAGUCCAGAUCCGGCACCUCACUAGGAUCACCGCAACACGGUGAGCGCACAUGCCUUGGGUCUCGGUCGCAGUGCAGUGUGUCACGCCCUGCAUUUUGUAAUAUGUCAUUUGCAUUAAUAAAGCAUGAAAAUUUGGACCAACAAAAACUUUUGAAUUAUUUGGCUUUUAUUUUGGAGUUGGUUUUCUCUGUGUGGUUUUUCAUGUGCUCUCUAAAGUCAACUACUCCACCUUAUAUACUUCAUCUCCCUACCCCAAACUUCUGCCCAAUGAUCAUGCCAUGUGUAUAGUUCAAUAUAGUAUUUUCUUACAAAAAUAAUUUGGCCAAAUAGUAUUUUCAAAAAAUUGUUUUCCAAAACCCCCUGAAUUGAGGUUUGCACUACAAGUACUUGAUUUGGGUAUGAAAAAUAUUUCAAAGAGUAUAAUUGAAACCUAUUAGAUAUAGGACUCCCAUAAACCACAAAAAUAUAAUUUAAGAAGUAAUUUCCCUAUUUUAUUUAAAGGCUUUUUAUUUAGGCCGAAAAUGGUCUUUAAUAGGUUAAAAUUAUUUAAAAGCUUCAAAAAUAUUUGAGAAAAAUCAGGGAAACUCAGUGGACAUAUAUUUUCCAUAUAUAAGAGUUUCAACACAUGGUAAUGUUCAAACUAUUGGACAAAAGCUCCCAAAACCAUUUCUACCCAUUUCAAGGAUUUGAAAUAUUUCUACAGGAAAUAUUUUCAUAAAAAUCCAAGGAAAAUCUAGCAAGUCACAAAUGCAUAUUGUGAUCACCUUGCAAAGCCUGGUCUCAAUUAAGGUCAUUUUGGUACCCAAAACCCUCUCUGUCCAAAAUCAAAUUUGAACAACUUUGUACUACCAACUUUCUCUCUUUGACCCCAACUUUCGUGAGCAUGUUCACAUGACCAAAUGAGGCUACCACACCAAGUGGUGCAUCAAGGGGAAGUGAUUUUCUCAGCUAGAUCUACACAAGUUCAUUUCUGCUAAUUUCUAGGGUUUACAAUAGUUGCAUUGGCAACUUUGCCCAAAUGAGCUCAAAAUUGGUGGAAGGCCCUAAUUAUAUGUGCCAUUUCACCGUGUGGAGUCUCAUGACAAAUGGAUAUCAUCUACUUGCCCAAACCAGUAUCAAACACCUUCUACAAUUUACCAAAAUGUCAUUUUGACAUCUUCCACUAAUCUCCAUUGGCUCAACUUUGUAUCACAGCUGCUCCUGACCCUCUUCUACCUCCAGUAACUUUCCCCUGGCCAUUGCUCAAUGAUUGAGGGGUGAAACACCCCCAUUUACCUCCCUGUAUAGCAGCUUCUCUCUCUCCCUCAACCUCCCUCCUCACUCUAGUGGCCACCCAGGGCAUCCAAAGCCCCUCCCCCUUUAUUUACUACACCCUAGAGCCACCAGACAUAUUUGGCCGCCCCCACCUGGCCUAAAAAAUUGUCGUGCCAGCCAUUUGCACGCUCUGGAGCGCGCUACAAUGCGCUCUGGCACUAUAGCCGCCCAUGGCCGAGUGCUUCCGGCCACCUCGGCUCUCCCCCUCACGCCCGACGAUGCUCCUCGACGUCUGCGUCACGCCACAGCCUGGCCCCCCUCCUCCUUCUCCCUCCUCUCACCCCAGCUCACACGCGCGACGACUGCCCAAGCGCACCAGUGAGCGUGCUCACACGUGCGGCACCUCUGACCCCCUGCUCCCUCUCUCUUCACUCCUCUCGCCCUAAACCAACCCCACGAGUACCCCAGACACCUCAUUGCGAGCCCCUGUGACCCGUAGCAACCGCAACAGGCUCGCUGGCGCAUGGGUCCUCGGUGGACCAUCACCCGCCUAUUUAAGGGCCUCCCUGAGCCCCCCUCUCCUCACCACUCGCUCUCUCACUCCCCUAAUCAUCCCCUUGCACCCCCAGUUCCUUUCCAGAGCCGCCCGAGCUCGAGCUCGAGCUCCACCGCUUCGGCUCACUAGAGUUCGUGAGGUAUAGGCCGUCCCCGCCUCUCCUUCCUCUCAAUCUGGAACCGCUGUAGCUCGCUGAUCCUUUCCCCCUUGUUUCCCCUCUCUGUAGCUGCUAGAAACGGCUGGAACCGCUGCCGCCCUAAGCCCUCCGCUGCGUGACCUUGUUGCCGGCGAACCAGGCCACCCCGACGACCGGUUACACCUCCACCCAAACGGCGACAUCACGCUGAGUCCGUCCCCGCCCUUGCCCAAGCUCGGCGUGCCCUGCAUCGUCACCGGUAAGCCUUGCCGCCGUCGGACGAGGGUUGACGACGACCCUGACAAGAGCCCCCGCUCGUCAGCCUCUCUAUCCUCUCCCUCUCCCGUGCCCUCUCUCACUGACGCUGGUCCCCCCCGUCAGGUUUAAAAACCUAGCGCGCGCGUGCGUCGGUUCGGCUGGGCCGCCACGCUGGCUGGGCCACUUCCAUGUGGCUUUCUGGCCCAGCAGGCACAGUGCCCCUUUUUCCUUUUUCUUUUCUGGUAAAUUCCCCAAAAUUCCACAGAGAUGAAUAUUUGUCCAAAUAAAUUAAUUCCAACUCCUAAAUUCCUGAAAUAUUACAACCUAUUUAAUGGGGCAACUUUCAUUCAAAUCCAACAAUCUUUUCUUCACUAUAAAUAUUUAAAUGUGACUUUUAGCAUUUAAAUAUACCUUUGUAAAUCCUUAGCACUGUUUCCACAACUCCAAACUUGAAACUAAUAAUUUUCCCCUUCUUAUUUUUCACCCUAGUAUUUAACAAAAAUGAGUUGAUAUUUUUCUGAGCACUUUGCUUUCUAUUUUAUUAUUGCCUUAUUUUUCUCGUUAUUAUUUUGCGACGAUAGAUUGCGUUGUUGACGAAGGAGUUGGACCAGAAGACUUUGAAGACCCAGAAGACUUUGCUGAGCCAGGCAAGCAGCCCUUUGACCAUGUCUAAGAAACCCUUUUUGUGCAUGUCAUAUGGCACUUUUAUUGCUUGCAUCAAAGUCAUAAUAAUGUGGUGACCGCUUGAGGUGGUUUGCCUCCGUGCUUUUCUCGUUGACACUUGCAUGAUGCAUGACCCUAUCUUUCUAUGAGGGUUAUGCGAGUGGGUGUACUUAGGGUGCUAAGUAGCUGCUACGCAAAUGGGAUGGGUAUAUGCAUGGUGAAGGAAACCAAGUUGUUUUCAAAGACUUUCAAAAACCCCGUCGGGUGCCACUAAUGCCCGAGGGAGAUGGUGAGCUAGGUUACCACUUGAUAAAGAAGUGGUGUACCGGAGCAAGUUGUGUGGGAGUGUUUUCGAAAACGGAUUAGAUUUAAGAUUUGUCGACUGUACCAACCUUACAUGCGCAACCACUCUACCCUUAUAUGGGAAAGGGCAUUAUUGAUUACCUAGGCCGAUACUAGCUUGGAGCCCACAUUACUAGUGACGGGAGAGUCGUUGUUGCGCUCUCUCAGGACAUAGUCGUGCCAGGUAGGGCGGCCAUGACUAUUUUUAUAGGGCACCGGACACACCGUUGGUACCCCGUGCCAGUGGUAUGUUAUGAAUAUGGGAGCGAGGCUCCACAAUUUUAAGAUGUGAAAUGUUGGGCACGGGGAUUACUGCCAAUCGAGUGGACUCUAUGUUAGUGUCGACUAGGGAAAGAUAGUGAUCGGGUGCUUAUCCCGGGUACUUGAGGUACCGCGGGUCAUGGAUGACAUGGAAGUUCCCCGGAUCUUGUGGGUAAAGUGUGCAACCUCUGCAGGGUGUAAAACUAUUCGAAUAGUCGUGUCCACGGUCAAGGACAGUUGGGCGGUGCUGCUUAAAAAGUGUCUAGAGUUUUACAAACCGUGUGUGUGUGUGUGUGUGUUGAUGCAAUGAUCAAGUUGGAAUGGUGUCCAACUCUGUUCAUGUUGAUAUCUGUAACUUGUUCAUACGGAUAUCUGUACUCUCAUGAUGCAUACUUUACAUGUUGAUAGAUCAUUUCAUUGCACUCAAAACUAGCUUUCUACAAACUACCUACUUGGUGCUAUAUCAUUGCAUUAUUGUGCCUUGUUCCAAUCAUGGGUUGCUUGCGAGUACAUUCAAAGUACUCAUUGGCUUGCCACUGGUUAUUUAAUUGGCCAGGCAUGGAAGAACAGGAGUUCAAAGAAGAGUUCUUUGGAGACGAACAUGCGAACUAGGACGUUUCCCAGUCAGAAUGCAUGUAGGGUUAAGGCAGAUGGCAUGGGUUCUAAUUAUCGACGAAGAUUUCCACUGCUUAAGUUUAUUUGGUAUUCAACCCUUGUGGCUUUAUCUAUGUAAGACUUGACCAUAAUGGUCAUAAUUUGUGUAAGACGGUAUGUAUGGAUGUAAAACUCUUGUUAUUCAACUUCUGUGUGUUCAGUGAGCAUUAAUCUCUGGGAUCACUGUACACGUGCAUUCAGUGAUCAUGACUCAUGAGUCGGGGUCCCCACAGAGCUGGUAUCAGAGCCAUCCUGACUAUAGGAAGCCUUAGUUAGCAUGGCCGUUAGUUAGGAUAAAACCCGUUUUGCAAAACCCUCUAUACUCCUCUUCUUUUCUAAGCUUACCAAACCCAGGAUAUAUUUCCAAAUUGACCUCUCCCAUUCAACCUUUGUAGAUGGCUAUCGUACCCAAAGACUUCCUGACCACCGGAUUUCUCGUGCUUCUCGAGGAUAGCCUCAAGAAGUGCCAUUUUCACCGAGCCCCCAUUUUCACCUACCAUGAGCAUUGGGUCAAUGACACCGAAACGGAGUAUCAUGUGGAAGUGAUCGUGAAGGCUAAUGACUCUCCAACAAGAUGGUUCUUCGAGGGACCCUAGAUGGCAACACUGGUUCUUGUCGUCGAGAUGGCAACCCUCAAGGCACUCACCCACCUCCGAGACCUUCUUCCCGAGAUGGCGGACGAGUUGGCAACCCGCUUCUUGCCUUAUCGGAAGGAGGGUGAGGAUGAGAGCAGCGCACCAGCUCCACCAUUGGAGGAAGGUCUUCCAUUCCGAUUCCAGACCUACUUCAGCCUUUGUGCCGAUAGUUUGGCACAACACUUGGCCUCGGAAUUAAUGGAGCGCAGAAAGGAACUUCAUGAGACCAAGGAACUUCUUUGCCAAGCACAAGGGAAGGCGGAUAGGAUCAAGAAAGAAGGUGCUCCCCAUGGACAACCCGUAGUCGCAUACCGAGGCGGAAGACCCCCAAAGGAUGGAGAACCACCACAUCAGCACCGCAUGAGCGCAAGGGAUUACCGCAAGCUCUUCACACCACCGGCAAAGAAACACCGUGUUGAGCUCCUCCACCCCCCACUCCUUCGAGCAAUGAAGGAAGUCAUGCUACUGAUGACGAGGAGGAGGACCCAGAAGAGCCAGACUACGCGACCGAGCAUUCCACCACUUAGGCAUCAUUUGCAACUCGGAUAUGCCAGUUCGUAAACCCUACAGUAGGAUAGGCCGUGUACCCCCUAUGUGAAGUCGAGUCCUUGUAAUGGUUUAGAUGAAACCAUGUAGUGUUGUGUUUGCUUUUGAUGUGUUUGAUGAACGUCGUACUUUCCUUUAGGAACUUGUAAGCGACUACAUCACCAUUUGGAUUUUAAUGAAUGUGUUUGGCCUUUUGGCCCUUGCAUGAAAACAAUUAGUGUCAUAUCGACCCCCUUCCUAGGCAUCCCAUCUAUAUUGCUUCCCCUCAUCUUUCCCAAUCAUGAGACCUUGACCGCUCCAACAGGAUACAUGUUGUAACACGUACUGGUACCUCUACCCAGCAGCAAGAAGCUGGAGCAGGAGCCAGUCAGGACCAAACCCAAGGACAAGCUCCGCCACCGCCACCACCUCCAAACAUGGACAUGGCUCAGCUUCUCCAAGCCUUUCGAGAGGAACGCCAAGCCAACACUGCAGCCCUCCAGAUGAUUGCUCAAGCUGUCAACCGCCAGCCGGCGGGGAACGGCAAUGGACGUUCCAUGUUGGCGGAGUUCAAGAAGCAUGCACCACCCACCUUCAUCGAGAGUGCUGAACCCCUGGAUGCAGACGACUGGGUCCGCACCAUUGAGGAUCUGCUGGAACUAGUCGUCUGCACUGAGGACCGUGAGAAAGUGGCAUAUGUUGCUCACUGUCUCGGGGGAACUGCUGAUACGUCUCCAACGUAUCUACUUUUCCAAACACUUUUGCCCUUGUUUUGGACUCUAACUUGCAUGAUUUGAAUGGAACUAACCCGGACUGACGUUGUUUUCAGCAGAAUUACCAUGGUGUUAUUUAUGUGCAGGAGCAAACGUUCCCGGAAUGACCUGCAACUUCACGGAGCCAAUUUUCAGAAAAUAAGAAAAAUACCUGCAAAAGAUGAAGGCCAGGGGCCCCACCACUUCUCCACGAGGGUGGGGGCGCGCCUGCCCCCCUAGGGCAUGCCCCCCUACCUCGUGGGCCCCCUGUUGCCUCUCCGACUCCAACUCCACCUCCAUCUAUCGAGUUUCGGGGAGAAAAAAAUAAGAGAGAAGAAAUCAUCGCGUUUUACGAUACGGAGCCGCCGCGAAGCCCUAAAACCUCUUGGGAGGGCUGAUCUGGAGUCCGUUCGGGGCUCCAGAGAGGGGAAUCUGUCGCCAUCAUCAUCAUCAACCAUCCUCCAUCACCAAUUUCAUGAUGCUCACCGUCGUGCGUGAGUAAUUCCAUCGUAGGCUUGCUGGACGGUGAUGGGUUGGAUGUGAUCUCUCAUGUAAUCGAGUUAGUUUUGUUAGGGUUUGAUCCCUAGUGUCCACUAUGUUCUGAGAUUGAUGUUGCUAUGACUUUGCUAUUCUUAAUGCUUCUCACUAGGGCCCGAGUGCCAUGAUUUCAGAUCUGAACUUAUUAUGUUUUCAUCAAUAUAUGAGUGUUCUUGAUCCUAUCUUGCAAGUCUAUAGUCACCCAUUAUGUGUUAUGAUCCGUUAACCCCGAAGUGACAAUAAUCGAGAUACUUACCGGUGAUGACCGUAGUUUGAGGAGUUCAUGUAUUCACUAUGUGUUAAUGCUUUGUUCCGGUUCUCUAUUAAAAGGAGGCCUUAAUAUCCCUUAGUUUCCAUAACGACCCCGCUGCCAUGGGAGGGUAGGACAAAAGAUGUCAUGCAAGUUCUUUUCCAUAAGCACGUAUGACUAUAUUCAGAAUACAUGCCUACAUUACAUUGAUGAACUGGAGCUAGUUCUGUGUCACCCUAGGUUAUGACUGUGACAUGAUGAACCGCAUCCGGCAUAAUUCUCCAUCAUUGAUCCGUUGCCUACAAGCUUUCCAUAUAUUGUUCUUCGCUUAUUUACUUUCCCGUUGCUAUUGCUAUCAUCACUAUAAAAUACCAAAAACAUUGUUUUACUACCAUUACCUUUUGUUACCGUUAUCACUAUUAUCAUAUUACCUUGCUACUAAACACUUUGCUGUAGAUAUUAAUUUUCCAUGUGUGGUUGAAUUGACAACUCAGCAGCUAAUACUUGAGAGUAUUCUUUGGCUCCCCUUGUGUCGAAUCAAAAAAUUUAGGUUGAAUACUUUACCCUCGAAAACUGUUGUGAUCCCCUAUACUUGUGGGUUAUCAAGACUAUUUUCUAGCACCGUUGCCAGGGAGCAUAGCUCGAGUCACUUGGGAUUUAUAUCUGCUUAUCAUUAUGAAGAACUUGAGAGAUCCAAAAACCAAGAUCUAUCUCUCAACUACGAGGGGAGGUAAGGAACUGCCAUCUAGCUCUGCACUUGAUUCACCUUCUGUUAUGAGUAAGUUUGCGACACCUACACCUGCUUCUGCUAUUCGUUCUGAUAUGUCACAUGUUAUUGAUGAUGCCACUUCUGCUAUGCAUGAUACUUAUGGUGAAACUACCUCUAUGCCUGAUACUACUAUGCCACUUAGUGAUUUUCUUGAUGAACAACUUGCUAGGGCUAGAGAAAUUGAAAAUAUUGAAUCUGAUGAUACUGAUGAAAGUGAUGAUGAAGAAUCACUUGUUAUUCCUAAGGGUUAUGUUUUUGAUCAAGAAGCUUAUUUAGCUAUUUUAGCUUGUGAAAAUAGAAAUGAACUCAAAAGAUUAUUAGCUAAAUGGAGUAAGCAAUCUCUAAAUGCUAGAAUGAAACCCGACCCUGCUUUUGCUACUUCACCUAUCUUUGUUACUGAUAAGGAUUAUGAAUUCUCUGUUGAUCCUAAUAUAAUUACUUUGGUUGAAUCUGAUCCUUUUCAUGGUUAUGAAUCUGAAACUGUUGUGGCACAUCUCACAAAAUUGAAUGAUAUAGCCACCCUGUUCACUAAAGAUGAGAGAACUCGCUACUUUUACAUCCUUAAAAUGUUUCCGUUCUCAUUAAAGGGUGAUGCUAAGAUAUGGUUUAAUUCUCUUGAUCCUGGUUGUGUGCGUAGUCCCCAGGAUAUGAUUUAUUACUUCUCUACUAAAUAUUUCCCUACUCAUAAGAAACAAGCUGCUUUAAGGGGUAUAUAUAAUUUUGUGCAAAUUGAAGAAGAGAGUCUCCCACAAGCUUGGGGGGGGGGGCUUCUCCAAUUACUUAAUGCUUUGCAUGAUCAUCCUCUUAAGAAAAAUGAAAUACUUGAUAUCUUUUAUAAUGGACUAACCGAUGCCUCCAGAGAUUACCUGGAUAGUUGUGUUGGUUCUGUUUUCAGGGAAAGAACACCAGAUGAAGCUGAAAUUCUAUUGAAUAAUAUGUUGACAAAUGAAAAUAAUUGGACACCUCCGGAGCCAAUUCCUGAGACUAUCCCUAAACCAACUCCGAAGAAGAGGGGUAUUCUAUUUCUCAGUCCUGAAGAUAUGCAAGAGGCAAAGAAAUCUAUGAAAGAAAAAGGUAUUAAAGCUGAAGAUGUUAAGAAUUUACCUCCUAUUGAAGAAGUACAUGGUCUUAAUUUACCGCGUGUUGAAGAAACAUAUAAUCUUAAUCCAUUACCUAUUGAAGAACCUCAUGGUCUUGAUAAUCCGACACAGGUAGUAAAGGUAAAUUCUCUCUAUAGAUAUGAUAAAGCUGAAAUCCCAUUUACUAAGUUUGCUAGACCAUGCUUAGAUGAGUUUGAUAAAUUUAUGGCUAAGCAAGAAGAAUUUAAUGCUUAUUUUGGUAGACAAUUGAAAUACAAUUCAAAUAUGCUUGAACACUUGGGUGAUUAUAUGGCUAAUGUUAAAAGUGAACUUAAACUUAUUAGUAAACAUGCUUCUAUGGUUACCACUCAAGUAGAACAAGUACUUAAAGCUCAAAAUGAUUUGCUCAAUUAAUUGAAUAGUAAAGAUAAUGAUAAUGUUGUUAGAGUGGCUACUAGAACUGGUAGAAUGACUCAGGAACCUUUGUAUCCUGAAGGCCGUCCUAAGAGAAUUGAGCAAGAUUCUUAGAGAAAUAAUAUAGAUGUACCUAGUUCUUCUAAAAAGAAGAAAAAGAAAAAUGAUAGGACCUUGCAUGCUUCUAGUGAACCUAUUGUUGAAACACCUGAGAAUCCAAAUGAUAUUUCUAUUUCUGAUGCUGAAACUCAAUCUGGUAAUGAACCUGAAACUAGUGAUAAUGUUAAUGAUAAUGUUCAUAAUGAUGCUCAACCUAGUAAUAAUAAUGACAUAGAAAUUGAACCUGCUGUUGAUCUUGAUAACCCACAAUCAAAGAAUCAACAUUAUGAUAAAAAAGACUUUGUUGCUAGGAAACAUGGUAAAGAAAGAGAACCAUGGGUUCAGAAACCCAUGCCUUUUCCUCCCAAACCAUCCAAGAAAAAGGAUGAUGAGGAUUUUGAGCGCUUUGCUGAAAUGAUUAGACCUAUCUUUUUGCGUAUGCGAUUAACUUAUAUACUCAAAACAAAUCCUUAUGCUAAGUACAUGAAAGAUAUUAUUACAAAUAAAAGAAAGAUACCGGAAGCUGAAAUUUCCACCAUGCUUGCUAAUUAUACUUUUAAGGGUGGAAUACCAAAGAAACUUGGAGAUCCAAGAGUACCCACUAUACCAUGCUCCAUUAAAAGAAACUAUGUUAAAACUGCUUUAUGUGAUCUUGGAGCCGGUGUUAGUGUUAUGCCUCUCUCUUUAUAUCAUAGACUUGAUUUGAAUAAGUUGACACCUACUGAAAUAUCUUUGCAAAUGGCUGAUAAAUCAACUGCUAUACCUGUCGGUAUUUGUGAGGAUGUGCCUGCUGUAGUUGCAAACAUUACUAUUUUAACAGACUUUGUUAUUCUUGAUAUUCCCGAGGACGAUAGUAUGUCUAUUAUUCUUGGAAGACCCUUUUUGAAUACUGCAGGGGCUGUUAUUGAUUGCACUAAAGGAAAUGUCACUUUUCAUGUUAAUGGUAAUGAGCACACGGUACACUUUCCGAGGAAUCAACCUCAAGUACAUAGUCUCAACUCUAUUGGAAAAAUUCCAUCGAUUAUAUUUGGAGGUUUUGAAUUUCCUCUUCCUACUGUCAAGAAGAAAUAUGAUAUUCUUAUUAUUGGGGAUGUGCAUAUCCCCAUUGAAGUAACAUAGUGUUAUUCAAAAUUUCUCUGGUUCCAUGUUAUUCGGAAUGAGUUCGUUAACAAGACUUGAUCAACCUUCUUAGUGGAUUCCUUUUGAUGAUCAUGAGAUGGAUGAAACUAGAAGGCACAACCUUCUGUACCCCACUUUUACUUUCUGUUGUUUAUAUUAAAUAAAAUAAAAAUAAAUAUUUUUCUGUUUGUUAUCUGAUUAUUCGUGCAAUAUAAAAAUACCUCGAAAAUAAAAGUUCUCCAAAUGCCCUGAAAUUUAAAUAUGAUUUUUUUCUAGAAUAUUUGAGAAUAUUUGGCACUAAGAACACAGCAGGGGGUCAACCACCUGCCCACGAGGGUGGAGGGCGCGCCCUACCCCCCUGAGCAUGCCCCCUGCCUCGUGGGCCCACGGUGGCCCUCCUCCACUUAUCCUUUCACACAUACACUUCUUCUUCCUCCCCCAAACACGAAUAUCCAGCUCAAGCACGAGUUCUAACUCACUCUGCUGCCACUUUCGAUCUCCUUGCUCAAAGCACCUCUCACAAAACUGCUUGGGGAGAUUGUUCCUUGGUAUGUCACUCCUCCAUUGGUCCAAUUAGUUUUUGUUCUAGUGCUUUAUUCAUUGCAAAUUUUUGCUGCUUAGGUGACCCUGUUCUUGAGCUUGCAUGUCUAAUUUAUAUGGUCUAAAGUAGUUUUGAUGCAUGAUAUAGGCCCUAGGCACUUGUAGGAGUAGUUGCUAUCAAUAUUAUUGAGUUUGGUUUACUUUUAUUUUGAAGUUACUAAGAAUUUUCAGAAUUUUUCAGAUAAAGAAAAAUGCUUAGGAAAAUGUUCUAAGGUGGUUCUUCAAGGAAGUAAGGACCCAGGCUUGGAAUGCGUGAUGCUGAUGAAGAGCCACCAAGAGACGCUCCAGUGCGUCCUUGUGAAUGGCCUUCUGAGAACUUUAUGGAUCGAGUGGGAAUUAAGGAAAAAUUCAACACAUAUUUGCGUAACGCUGAUCUUGUGAGCUUCGAGGAAGAGAAGUGCAGCCAGUAUCACAACAUCACCAGUACCUUUGUGAGAGGUUUGAAUUUUCAACUUCAUGUAAUUCUCCAACUGUCAUGUUUGAUCUUUAUGAUAAAUCUCACACUAUGGACUUAGAGGAUUUUACCACUGCAUGCAAACUUCCACAAUGGGGUAGUAUAAGGGAUCCUCGCAAAUCUGAAUUUAGAGAUUUUCUUGCUAGCAUAACUGUGGGAGAAUCUAGAGAUAUUACACAAGCUAACAUAGGGAGCAUCCACUUUCCUGCUACACAUUAUUUUGCUCUCUUCAGAGGUAGAUGCAUAAAUGGUAAAGAUGAGGCAUGUCACAUGUGUGUCCCCGAUCUCAGUAUUCUUAGGAGUGCUGUGUCAGGAGACAAAUCAUAUAAUUUGGGAGCCAUUGUUGCACGUAGGUUGCAUCUUAACAGACUUAAUGGAGAUUUCUUUGGUGGAAUCAAUGCAACCCGCAUAGCUAAUUUUCUUGGUAUAGCCAUACGCGAAGAUGAUAUUGAAUUACCUCCUGCUUAUCUAGAUUUUAAUGCUAUGGUUCACCACCAGUUUGUCGAGAGGAACAAAUCACCUCUCCAGUAUCGACUAAUCUUUGACAGACGCCGUGUUGUCCGUAUUACUCUCCCUGCCCCUGCCUUCUUUGAUUAUCAGGCAAGGGGAGGAUAUACUAUUACCAGAGAGGAGGCAGAUGAGUACGAGAGGAGAGAGGAGGCCGCUCGUCGCCACGCUGCAACUCAGCAGGCGAUAGCCGCUGCAUCUCAGUAUGACCCCAGUUACUAUUAUGGAUAUCUGCCAGGCCAGUCGUGGCCAUAGACCAACUUAGGCCAAAAGCCUAAGCUUGGGGGAGUACGUAUUUCCCACCGACAUUACAUUUAUGUUCACACACUCAUUGCUAGAUGUCGGUGCUCAUACUUUUUCAUUGUAUCAUCCAUGCUAGUUUAUUUUCCUUUUUUAUGCUUUCUUCUUGUGUGUUUAAUAAACCUUAAGAAAAAACAAAAAAAAUUAGUUGUAGCUUUUAAUCAGUUUAAUUUCCAUGCUUGUAGUAGUAAUUAAAAAGAAAACCCAAAGAUAUUUCAUGUUCUUCUUUUGCUUGUUGGGAGCUUUCCCGUGUAAAUAGUUUUAUUUAUUUUCUUUUCUUUGGGGGUCGAUAGGAGAAGACCAUGAUUAAAUUGUUGAAGUGGAUCUUAUAUGCAUUAUUGUUUAUCUGACAAAAGAGCCCGUAUUGCCUUGUCUUCUCCUGUUUAUUGAAUGCUUGCAGAUUCCAGCUUAGUCUAAUGCACGUGCACUAUUAUUAUUAUUCGCAUCGUUCGGUCGUUCAAGUGAAAGGCAAUUAUGAUGAUAUAUGAUGGACUGGCUGAGAUGAGAAAAGCUGGUAUGAACUCGACCUCUUUUGUUUUUGUAAAUAUGAUUAGUUCAUCAUUCCUGAUUCAGCCUAUUAUGAAUAAACAUGUUUGAAAUGACAAUUAGAGAUCAUAGUUUCUUGUGCCAUGCUUGAUUAGCUAUGAGUUAUAAUGGUUUACCUUGCGUGCCAACAUGCUAUUAAAAUGGUUAUGAUGUGGUAUGAUAGGUGGUAUCCUCCUCUGAAUGAUUUAAGUGACUUGACUUGGCGCAUGUUCACGCAUGUAGUUAAAACAAAAUCGACAUAGCCUUCACUAUAUUUAUGUUCAUGGUGGAUUAUAUCCUACUCAUGCUUGCAUUCGGUGUUGAUUAAUUUUAAUGCAUGUUCAUGAUUGUUGUCGCUCUCUAGCUAGUUGCUUCCUAGUCUUUUGCUAGCCUUCACUUGUACGAAGCGGGAAUACUGCUUGUGCAUCCAAUCCCUUAAACCCCAAAUUUAUUCCACAUGAGUCCACUAUACCUACCUAUAUACGCUAUCCACCUGCCGUUCCAAGUAAAUUUGUAUGUGCCAAACUCUAAACCUUCAAAUAAAUAUCCUGUUUUGUAUGCUCGAAUAGCUCAUGUAUCAACUAGGGUUGUCUGUAUCUUCCAUGUUAGGCGGGUUAUUCUCAAGAGGAGUGGACUCCGCUCCUCACUCACGAGAUAAAUGGCUGGUCACCGGGAUGCCCAGUCCCAUGCUUUAUGCAAACUAAAUCAAAAUAAUUGCAAACAAAACUCCCCAUGGGACUCUUGUUAGUUGGAGGCACUCGUUGUUUCGAGCAAGCCAUGGAUUGAUGCUUGUUGGUGGAAGGGGGAGUAUAAACUUUACCAUUCUGUUUGGGAACCGCCUGUAAUGUGUGUAGCAUGGAAGAUAUCCACAUCUCUUGGUUGUUAUAUUGACAAUGAAAGUAUACCGCUCAAAAUAUUAUUCACCUCUGUUUCAAAACCGAGCUCUGGCACCUCUACAAAUCCCUGCUUCCCUCUACGAAGGGCCUAUCUAUUUACUUUUAUGCUGAGUCAUCAUCCUCUUAUUAAAAAGCACCAGUUGGAGAGCACUGCUGUCAUUUGCAUUCAUUAUUGUUAGUUUACAUUGAGUAUGACUUGACUGGAUCUCUUUUACCAUGAAUUACAAUGUCUAGUCAGUCCUUGGUCUUUAAAGGUGCUUUGCAUUUAUGUUUUGCGGUCUCAGAAAGGGCUAGCGAGAUACCAUCUUGUUAUAUCAUAUUAUGAUUGUUUUGAGAAAGUGUUGUCAUCCGAGAUUUAUUAUUAUUGCUCGCUAGUUGAUUAUGCUAUUGAUAUGAGUAAACUUGAGACCUAUGCGUUAUUGUGAAUGUGGUUAGUCAUAAUCUUUGCUGAAAACUUGAAUGCUGGCUUUACAUAUUUACAAGAACAAGAGCAAACAGAGCUUGUAAAAGUUUUUCUUUAUCACUUUCAGUUUGUCAACUGAAUUGCUUGAGGACAAGCAAAGGUUUAAUCUUGGGGGAGUUGAUAUGUCUCCAACGUAUCUACUUUUCCAAACACUUUUGACCUUGUUUUGGACUCUAACUUGCAUGAUUUGAAUGGAACUAACUCGGACUGACGUUGUUUUCAGCAGAAUUACCAUGGUGUUAUUUAUGUGUAGGAGCAAACGUUCUCGGAAUGACCUGAAACUUCACGGAGCCACCUUUCAGAAAAUAAGAAAAAUACCUGCAAAAGAUGAAGGCCAGAGGGCCCACCACCUCUCCAUGAGGGUGGGGGCGCGCCUGCCCCCAGGGCACACCCCCUACCUCGUGGGCCCCCUCUUGCCUCUCCGACUCCAACUCCACCUCCAUAUAUUGAGUUUCGGGGAGAAAAAAAUAAGAGAGAAAAAAUCAUCACGUUUUAUGAUACGGAGCCGCCGCCAAGCCCUAAAACCUCUCAGGAGGGCUGAUUUGGAGUCCGUUCGGGGCUUCAGAGAGGGGAAUCCGUCGCCAUCUUCAUCAUCAACCAUCCUCCAUCACUAAUUUCAUGAUGCUCACCGCCGUGCGCGAGUAAUUCCAUCGUAGGCUUGCUGGACGGUGAUGGGUUGGAUGGGAUCUAUCAUAUAAUCGAGUUAGUUUUGUUAGGGUUUGAUCCCUAGUGUCCACUAUGUUCUGAGAUUGAUGUUGCUAUGACUUUGCUAUGCUUAAUGCUUGUCACUAGGGCCCUAGUGCCAUGAUUUCAGAUCUGAACCUAUUAUGUUUUCAUCAAUAUAUGAGUGUUCUUGAUCCUAUCUUGCAAGUCUAUAGUCACCCAUUAUGUGUUAUGAUCUGUUAACCCCGAAGUGACAAUAAUCGGGAUACUUACCGGUGAUGACCGUAGUUUGAGGAGUUCAUGUACUCACUAUGUGUUAAUGCUUUGUUUCGGUUCUCUAUUAAAAGGAGGCCUUAAUAUCCCUUAGUUUCCAUAAGGACCCCGCUGCCACGGGAGGGUAGGACAAAAGAUGUCAUGCAAGUUCUUUUCCAUAAGCAAGUAUGACUAUAUUCGGAAUACAUGCCUACAUUACAUUGAUCAAUUGGAGCUAGUUCUGUGUCACCCUAGGUUGUGACUGUUACAUGAUGAACCGCAUCCGGCAUAAUUCUCCAUCACUGAUCUGUUUCCUACGAGCUUUCCAUAUAUUGUUCUUCGCUUAUUUACUUUCCCAUUGCUAUUACUAUCAUCACUACAAAAUACCAAAAACAUUGCUUUUACUACCAUUACCUUUUUUUACCGUUAUCACUACUAUCAUAUUACCUUGCUAAUAAACACUUUGUUGUAGAUAUUAAGUUUCCAGGUGUGGUUGAAUUGACAACUCAGCUGCUAAUACUUGAGAGUAUUCUUUGGCUCCCCUUGUGUCGAAUCAAUAAAUUUGGGUUGAGUACUUUACCCUCGAGAACUGUUGCGAUCCCCUAUACUUGUGGGUUAUCAACUGCCUGAGCCUGGUGGGAUGGAUCCAAGGUCAUGCAUGGUGGGCAAAACAUCACUUGGAAUGACUUCAAGGCAGAAUUCCGCAAGGCCCACAUUCCUUCCGGAAUUAUGGCCAUCAAGAAGUGUGAGUUCCAAGCCUUGAAGUAAUGAAGUAGCACUAUCAAGGAGUACAUGCAGAAGUUCAGUGUUCUGUCAAGGUAUGCUCCUGAAGAUGUCAGCACAGAUGCUGCCAAAAGAGAGCGCUUCAUGGAAGGCCUUAACCAGACUCUGCAGUACUCGCUUGUUGUGUGUGACUGCCCAACCUUUCCGGAUCUGGUGAACAAGGCACUCAUGCUUUAGGACAAGCGACAUGCUUUGGAUGUUACCCGUAAGCGCAAGAUGAUCAACAAGGGUAACUUGUAACACCCCGGAUGUAACUUUCCCAAUUUGUACUCCAACUCUUGCCGUUUCCGGCAUUAAGUUAUUUUAUUUUCUCGGGUUCGGGUUUUUGUCUCCGUGUGUUGUAUCGUUGUCAUGCAUCUCAUAUCAUGUCAUCAUGUGCAUUGCAUUUGCAUACGUGUUCCUCUCAUGCAUUCGAGCAUUUUCCCCGUUGUCCAUUUUGCAUUCCGGCGCUUCGUUCUCCUUCGGUGGUCAUUUCUACCUUUCGAUCGUGUGUGGAGAUUAAACAUUUCCGGAUUGGACCGAGACUUGCCAAGUGGCCUUGGUUUACUACGGGUAGACCGCCUGUCAAGUUUUGUACCAUUUGGACUUCGUUUGAUACUCCAACGGUUAACCGAGGGACCGAAAAGGCCUCGUGUGUGUUGCAGCCCAACACCCCUCCAAUUUGGCCCAAAACCCACCUAAACCUGCUCCAUCAUCUAGAGCGUUCGAUCACGAUCGCGUGGCCGAAAACCGCACCUCAUUUGGACUCUCCUAGCUCCCUCUAUGCCUAUAUAAAGGCCUCUCCCCGAAAUCCGGAUCCCCCUCGUUCUAAACCCUAAAAAAUCUACCGCGCCGCGCCGGACAUGUCCGUGCCGGCCGGACAAGCAGCCACUACCGCCCGCGGCGAACCAGGGCACGCCACGUGGCGGCUCCUGCCCACGCCACCGCCGAGGCCCGCCGGCCCGAAGCCGGCCCUCUCCCCGCACCAACCGGGCCGCGCCCCGCGCCCGCUAGCGCCGCCNNNNNNNNNNNNNNNNNNNNNNNNNNNNNNNNNNNNNNNNNNNNNNNNNNNNNNNNNNNNNNNNNNNNNNNNNNNNNNNNNNNNNNNNNNNNNNNNNNNNNNNNNNNNNNNNNNNNNNNNNNNNNNNNNNNNNNNNNNNNNNNNNNNNNNNNNNNNNNNNNNNNNNNNNNNNNNNNNNNNNNNNNNNNNNNNNNNNNNNNNNNNNNNNNNNNNNNNNNNNNNNNNNNNNNNNNNNNNNNNNNNNNNNNNNNNNNNNNNNNNNNNNNNNNNNNNNNNNNNNNNNNNNNNNNNNNNNNNNNNNNNNNNNNNNNNNNNNNNNNNNNNNNNNNNNNNNNNNNNNNNNNNNNNNNNNNNNNNNNNNNNNNNNNNNNNNNNNNNNNNNNNNNNNNNNNNNNNNNNNNGCCGCCUCGCCGACCGCCGCCACAUCGCCGACUUCCGCCUCGGCCGAGCCCCGCCUCCGCCGUCCACCUUGUCGCCGGUGGAAGUCCGGCCACCGCCCCGCUCCGGCCACUUCUUCCUCGCCCGCCGCCGCCGUCUAUAGGGAUCCCGGCGAGUCUCCGGCGAGAUCCGCCGCCGCCUCGGGAAGCGUGCGAUCCAGAUCUGAGUUUUAUCUCCUCGGGCUGACGUUUUCUCCCGAAACCCUAAUCCAUAUGCCCAUGUUCAUCGUGUCGUAUCUCCGCAUCCGUACCUCCGUUUUUGGCAUAUAGCAUAUCAAAGUGUUCAUCUCAGAGAGUACAUCAUUUCAUUCCAUUGCAUCAUUUUCAUUUGAGUUCAUCUUGAUGCCCGAAAUACUGUUAGAAGAGGGCUACUUGAGAUAAUUGUCAGAUCUGCUACUCCAUUUAGAUAUUUGUCAUUUUUGCCAUGAUUAUUGUGUGCAUGAUAUGCCCAUGGGUUCUACAUAUGUUUUGUUUAGGGUUUUGUCAUCUUUCCAAAGGUGCAACCCAUGUAUUUUUGUGAUGUGUGUGUUGACUAGCACAAGCUUGCCAAGUGGUGCACUUGAUAAUGAUGAUUUCAGGGACUUAGCAUUUCCACUAAGUCCUUGAUCUGAUUGUCUCAUGUUGUCAUAUGUUCAUGUUGUUUCCUAGCGAUCCGUGCCUCUUUUGAGGAUGAUCAGUAAGGAUGUUUUGUUAAUCUUGUAGUGCUCUAUCCAUCCAUGUCUUUGUUUGCAAUUAUGGAGCACCCUAGCUUGAGUCAAUCGAGCUCUACUUUUGGCUACUUUGUGAAUCUGGGCAGAUUGUCAACUUGUUUGCAAUUUUGCCGAUGAUGUUGUAGUUGAUCCAUGCAUGCUAUGCUAUUGAUAUUGCCAUGUCUAGCUUGCAUUUUGUGUUUUCUUGAUAGAUGUAUGCUUAGCUUAUCAUGACUUGCUCCAUGUUGAGUGCAUCGAGCUCGUAAACAUGCCUACUUGAGAUCUGUUUUCAGCAUGCUCCAGUUUUCACUAAGUCUGUGAUCUGAUUAUGUUUUUGCCAUGUUCACAUGCUUGUAAUUGUAUUUUCUCAACCCUUUUGGCUCAAGGUCACUAAGGGACUUUUGUUAAGCGCUUUGAGUAGCUCCAUUUCAUGCUUUACUUUGCCAUGUUCAGGUCCUGUAGCAUGUAGUUUUGUGGCUCCGAAGUGUGCUACCUGAUCUGAAAUUCCAGACAAGUGUUAAUUUCAGUAAGUCUGAGAUCUGUUUGUCAUAUGCAUUUUUGCCAUGCUUGUUUGAACCUGUUAAUGGAUGAAUUGGCCGUAGGUCAGUGCUAGACUUUUGUUAAGCAUCUUGGAUGCAUCCCUGCUAUGUAUUUUGUUGCCAUGUUUGGGUGCUGUAGCAUGUUCAUCUCAUUGCAUUUAGAUGGCUACUUGCUAUAAAUCGCAGACCGGUGCCAUAUUUGAAUCGCUUGCCAUUUCCAAACCGUAACUCCGUUUCUGACGUUGUUUAUAUCGUUUUCAAGCGCUUUCAUCUCAUCUUUCCAUUGUCACACUUGGAUUCCCAAGUUGAGGCCAGGAUCAUGCGUUCUUUGUCAAAUCUUGCAUAUGCAUCCCGCAUCGCAUCCCGCAUAGCAUAUCAUCAUUGCAUCAUAUUGUUUGAUCCUUGCACGUGGUUGAUUGUGUCCUUGUUGAUUGUUUGUCUUGUUUGGGUAGAGCCGGGAGACGAGUUCGCUAACGAGGAGCCCGUUGAGUUUGCUUUUGAGGAUCCAGUCAACUCUGACAACUGUGCAGGCAAGAUGAUCAUACCCUCAAAAUCACUACUAUCUUUGCUAUGCUAGUUUGCUCGCUCUUUUGCUAUGCCAAUGCUAUGAUGCCUACCACUUGCUUUCAAGCCUCCCAAAUUGCCAUGUCAAGCCUCUAACCCACCAUGUCCUAGCAAACCAUUGAUUGGCUAUGUUACCGCUUUGCUCAGCCCCUCUUAUAGUGUUGCUAGUUGCAGGUGAAGAUUGAAGGCCGUUCCUUGGUGGAACUUUUAUUUACUUGUUGGGAUAUCAUUAUAUUAUCUUGUUAUCUUAAUGCAUCUAUAUACUUGGUAAAGGGUGGAAGGCUCGGCCUCUCGCCUAUUGUUUUGUUCCACUCUUGCCGCCCUAGUUUCCGUCAUAUCGGUGUUAUGUUCCUGGAUUUUGCGUUCCUUACGCGGUUGGGUUAUAAUGGGAACCCCUUGAUAGUUCGCCUUGAUUAAAGCUUUUCCAGCAAUGCCCAACCUUGAUUUUACCAUUUGCCACCUAGCCUCUUUUUCCCUUGGGUUUCCAGAGCCCGAGGGUCAUCUUAUUUUAGCCCCCCCGGGCCAGUGCUCCUCUGAGUGUUGGUCCCACCGAGCGAUGUCUGGGGCUACCAGGGGCAACUCUGGGCUGGCCUACCCGACGUCUGGCUCAUCUGAGUGUGCCCUGAGAACGAGAUAUGUGCAGCUCCUAUCGGGAUUUGUCGGCACAUUCGGGCGGUGUUGCUGGUCUUGUUUUAACCUGUCGAAGUGUCUUGAAUAACCGAGGUACCGAGUCUGAUCGGAACGUCUCGGGAGGAGGUCUAUUCCUUAGUUGACCGUGAGAGCUUGUCAUGGGCUAAGUUGGGACUCCCCUGCAGGGAUUUGAACUUUCAAAAGCCGUGCCCGCGGUUAUGGGCAGAUGGGAAUUUGUUAAUGUCCGGUUGUAGAUAACUUGAACCUUAACUUAAUUAAAAUGAAUCAACUGAGUGUGUUACCGUGAUGGCCUCUUCUUGGCGGAGUCCGGGAAGUGGACACGGUGUUGCAGUAAUGUUUGCGCGGGUUGUCCUCUAGUUUCUCGCUCGCGCUUUGCCUCCUCUUCUCGCUCUCUUUUGCGAAUAAGUUAGCCACCAUAUUUUCUAGUCGCUUGCUGCAGCUCCACAUAUAUUUGUACCUUGCCUUACCUAUAAGCUUAAAUAGUCUUGAUCGCGAGGGUGCGAGAUUGCUGAGUCCCUGUGGCUCACAUAUUAUUAUUACACCAGAUGUAGGGCCUAAUGAUUCUGCUCCAGGAGACGCGUUUGAGCUCCAGUGGGAGUUCGACGAGGACUCUCAACGUUACUAUGUUUCCUUUCCUGAUGAUCAGUAGUGGUGCCCAGUUGGGGGUGAUCGGGACCGUGUCACUUGUUGGGUUAUCUUUUAUUUUGGCGCUGUAGUCGGGCCAUGAGUGUUUGGUUGAUGUAAUGUUAUUUAUGUACUUGAUUGACGUGGCGAGUGUAAGCCAACUAUGUUAUCUCCCCUUUUAUUAUCUAUAUUACAUGGGAUGUUGUGAAGAUUGCGUAACUUGUGACAUGUGCCUUCAAUGCGAUUAUGCCUCUAAGUCGUGCCUCGACACGUGGGAGAUAUAGUCGCAUCGAGGGUGUUACAUAACUCCAGCAACCAGAAGCCUUACCCGUGGCAGCCAGCCCCGGUCAAACCAACCUAUCAGCAACCAAGAGCCCUUUUGCACCCCGCACCAACUAUCAGCCUUAGCAGUAUGCCAACCCCAGGCUAGCUUACAACAACCCCAAUAACAAUGCCGUCAAUAGCAGCAACCCCAAUCAAGCCACUUGCUUUGGAUGUGGUCAGCCAGGACACUAUUCCAAGAAUUGCCCCAACAAGAAGCCCGAUGCCCCGCGCCCCAAUACGCAGAACCCAGGACAAGGCCGCGGAAUGCCACCAAGGAACCAAGCUCCCCGCAACGCGCCCAACAAUGGCAAGGGUCGUGUGAAUCAUGUCACUGCAGAAGAAGCCCAGGAAGACCCGGACAUCGUGUUGGGUACGUUCCUUGUUAACUCAACACCUGUAACUGUCUUGUUUGGUUCUGGAGCCACGCAUUCCUUUGUCACCCAAGAGUUUGCAUUAAAAAGUGGCAUGACCCCUACACCCCUGAAUAACCCUAUGGUGGUACAAACCCCCGGAGCAGAGAUGAGAGCCAAGGUAGGCUGUAAGGGAGUCAGAAUCGUCAUUAACGGGGUAGACUUCCUAGAAGACCUUAUUGUCUUAAGAUCACAAGGCUUGGAUGUGAUCUUAGGAAUGAAUCGGCUCAUCAAGCACCAAGGCUUGUUAGAUUGUGCCAACCGGACUGUCACUGUGACCAAUGACCAAGGAGUCGAAGUUAAAUUUGCCUCCAACCCCUCCUCUGCUCAAGCCACCCAAGUCAACUGUCUGCUGAAGUUGGAUUGGAGCAAGUGCCGGUAGUAUGCGAAUACCCCGAUGUCUUUCCUGAUGAGCUACCGGGAAUGCCUCCUGACCGAGACAUUGAGUUCAUCAUCGAGCUCAUGCCCGGAGCAGGACCCAUCUAUAAGAAGCCUUAUAGAAUGGGAUCAAAAGAGUUAGCAGAGUUGAAGAAGCAACUGGAAGAGCAGUUGAGGAAGGGAUUUAUCCGUCCUAGUGCCUCCCCUUGGGGAUCACCUGUUUUGUUUGUGGCAAAGAAGGACGGUACCAUCCGCUUGUGUAUUGACUACUGCUACCUCAAUGAAGUAACAAUCAAGAACAAGUAUCCACUUCCCAAGAUUGAAGAUCUGUUUGAUCAACUCAAUGGGGCCAAGGUGUUCUCCAAGAUCAACCUCAGAUCUGGGUACUACCAACUGAAAAUCAGACCCCGAGAUAUUCCUAAGACGGCAUUUGUAACCCGAUAUGGCAUGUAUGAAUGCACCGUCAUGUCCUUUGGAUUGACCAAUGCCCCAGCUUACUUCAUGUAUCUCAUGCAUAAGGUCUUCAUUGAAUAUUUAGACAAGUUUGUUGUCGUCUUCAUUGAUGGCAUUCUUGUCUUCUCAAAGACAGAAGAAGAGCACGAGGAACACUUGAGGAUGGUCCUAGACAAGCUUCGAGAGCACCAAAUGUACGCCAAGUUCAGCAAGUGCGAAUUUUGGCUGCGUGUAGUUGGAUUCUUGGGUCAUAUUUUGACCGAAGAAGGAUUGUCGGUCGAUCCCGCCAAGAUUGAAGUCGUGACUGAAUGGCAAUCCCCAAGCAAUGUGAAGGAAGUCAGAAGCUUCCUCGGACUCGCAGGAUAUUACUGAAAGUUCGUUGAAGGAUUCUCAAGCAUUGCCCGACCCAUGACCCAGCUCUUGAAGAAGGACAAGACGUUUGAAUGGACGCCGAAGUGCGAAGAAAGCUUCCAGGAGCUAAAGAAGAGAUUGUCCACCGCCCCAGUUCUGGCCACACCUGCUAUUCACAAAGAAUUUGUGAUAUAUUGUGAUGCCUCACAAACCGGACUAGGAGGUGUUCUGAUGCAAGAGGGCAAAGUUGUAGCUUACCUUUCAAGACAACUACGGCCUCAUGAGGAGAACUAUGCUACUCAUGAUCUUGAGUUAGCAGCAGUAGUUCAUGCCCUGGAGACAUGGUGACAUUACCUCCUAGGGAAGCGGUGUGAGAUAUACACGGAUCACAAAAGUCUGAAGUAUAUUUUCACUCAGAAGGAAUUGAACAUGAGGCAGAGAAGAUGGCCAGAACUGAUCAAGGAUUAUGACCUCAGUGUUCAAUACCACCCUGGGAAGGCUAAUGUGGUAGCAGAUGCGUUAAGCAGAAAGGCUUGUUCCUUGAAUGCUAUGAUUAAGGAAACGCUACCCGCCUUGUAUGAAGAACUUGAAAGCUUCGGGUUGGAACUGGUUGCACCAGGAUUCUUGGCCAACCUCGAAGUUAGGCCUACCCUGAUGGAUGAUGUUAAGGAAGCUCAGAAGGGACACGAGAGUAUUGAAGGCAUCAAGAGGAAGAUCAAGGAAGGCCCCAGGAUUCUCAGAGGAUGAGAAAGGAAUUGUGUGGUUUAGGAAUCGCAUUUGCGUACCCAACAAGGUUGAGCUCAAGAACUUCAUCUUGCAAGAAGCUCAUGACACCCCGUAUUCCAUCCAUCCUGGAGGGACCAAGAUGUAUCAAUACCUGAAGGAAAGAUUUUGGUGGCACUCGAUGAAAAGAGAGAUUGCCACCUAUGUUGCAAAGUGUGAUGUAUGCCAAAGGGUCAAGGCUGAUUAUCAGCGACCUGCUAGAUUGCUCCAACCACUCAAGGUUCUCAAGUGGAAAUGGGAUAAAGUCGAAAUGGAUUUCAUCACUAGACUACCUAGGUCAAACAAGGGACAUGACUCCAUCUGGGUCAUAGUCGACCAUUUGACCAAAGUAGCCCAUUUCAUUCCUGUUAAGACUACCUAUGAUGGCAACCGGCUGGCAACUCUAUACAUCAACAGAAUCGUAAGCCUUCAUGGUGUUCCAAGGAGAUUGUGUCAGAUCGAGGAACCCAGUUUACCUCAAGGUUCUAGAAGAAGUUCCAAGAGGCCAUGGGAACCAAGUUGUCCUUUAGCACUACUUUCCAUCCACAGAACGGAGGUCAGACGGAACGAGUGAAUCAGAUACUCGAAGACAUGCUCCGAGCCUGUGUCUUAGCAUAUGGAGCUAAGUGGGAAGAUUGCCUACCCUUCACCGAGUUCUCCUACAACAACAGCUACCAGUCCAGUCUUCAGAUGGCACCGUUUAAGGUGCUAUAUGGAUGGAAGUGCCGCACUCCCCAAAUUGGUCCAAGACCGGAGAAGGACUAGUCUUUGGGCCCGAUAUCCUCCAUGAAGUGGAAGAGCAAGUCCAACUUGUUAGAGAGUGUUUGAAGACUGCCAAGUCAAGACAGAAGAGCUACGCCGACUCACGUCGUCGAGACAUGACCUUCCGAGUUGGAGACCAUGUCUAUCUCCGGGUCACACAUCUCAAGGGAACCCAGCACUUCCAUGUCAAAGGAAAGCUCGCACCAAGAUAUAUCGGCCCCUUUAAGAUCACUGAACGGCAAGGAGAAGUGGCUUACCAGUUGGAACUGCCACCUGAACUAUCUGAUGUGCACAACGUAUUCCACAUGCCACAACUCCGGAAGUGUCUCCAAGUUCCAGACAAGCCUGAUCUUUACAAGGACGUCGAUCACCAAGACAUUGACCUUCAGCCUAAUUUGACCUACCGUGAGAGGCCCAUCUGCAUUUUGGAUGAGGCUGAACGACGCACUCGAAGCCGCACCAUCAAGUAUUUCAAGGUCCAGUGGAGCAACCACACUGAAGCAGAAGCAACCUGGGAACGUGAAGACUACCUUAGAUCCGAGUUUCCCGAUCUCUUUUAAAGCCUAGUUUAGGAACCUCGGGGACGAGAUUGUUGUCAGGGGGGUAGGUCUGUCACACUCUGCAUUUUGUAAUAUGUCAUUUGCAUUAAUAAAUCAUGAAAAUUUGGACCAACAAAAACUUUUGCAUUAUUUGGCUUUUAUUUUGGAGUUGGUUUUCUCUGUGUGGUUUUUCAAGUGCUCUCUAAAGUCAACUACUCCACCUUAUGUACUUCAUCUCCCUGCCCAAACUUCUGCCCAAUGAUCAUGCCAUGUGUUAGUGCAAUGUAGUCUUUUCUUACAAAAAUAAUUUGGCCAAAUAGUAUUUUGAGAAAUUAGUUUUCCAAAAACCCCUGAAUUGAGGUUUGCACUACAAGUACUUGAUUCGGGGUAUGAAAACUAUUUCAGAGUAUAUUUGAAACCUAUUAGAUAUAGGACUCCCAUAAACCACAAAAAUAUACUUUUAAAAGUAAUUUCCCUAUUUUAUUGAAAGGCUUUUUCUUUAGGACGGAAAUGGUCUUUAAAAGGUUAAAAUUAUUUAAAAGCUUCAAAAAUAUUUGAGAAAAAUCAGGGAAACGCAGUGGACAUAUAUUUUCCAUAUAUAAGAGUUUCAACACAUGGUCAUGUUCAAACUAUUGGACAAAACCUCCCAAAACCAUUUCUGCCCAUUUCAAGGAUUUGAAAUAUUUCUAAAGGAAAUAUUUUCAUAAAAAUCCAAGGAAAAUCUAGAAAGUCACGAAUGCAUAUUGUGAUCACCUUGCAAAGCCUCAUCUCAAUUAAGGUCAUUUUGGUUCACCAAAAUGACCCAAAACCCUCUCUGACCAGAAUCAAAUUUGAACAACUUUGUACUACCAACUUUCUCUCUUUGACCCCAACUUUUGUGAGCAUGUUCACAUGACCAAAUGAGGCCACCGCACCAAGUGGUGCAUCAAGGGGAAGUGAUUUGCUCAACUAGAUCUACACAAGUUCAUUUCUGCUAAUUUCUAGGGUUUACAAAAGUUGCAUUGGCAACUUUUUCCAAAUGAGCUCAAAAUUGGUGGAAGGCCCUAAUUAUAUGUGCCAUUUCACCCUAUGGAGUCUGAGGACAAAUGGAGAGCAUCUACUUGGCCAAACCAAUAUCAAACACCUUCUGCCACUUUACGAAAAUGCCAUUUUGACCUCUUCCACUAAUCUCCAUGGGCUCAACUUUGUACCACAGCUGCUCCUGACCCUCUUCUACCUCCAGUAACUUUCCCCUGGUCAUUGCACAAUGAUUGAGGGGUGAAACACCCCCAUUUACCUCCUUGGACAGCAGCUUUUCUCUCUCCCUCAACCUCCCUCCUUACUCCAGUGGCCACCCAGGGCAUCCAAAGCCCCUCCCCCUUUCUUUACUACACCCUAGAGCCACUAGAUAUAUUUGGCCGCUCCCACCUGGCCUAAAAUAAUUGCCGUGCCAGCCGUUUGCACACUGUGGAGCGUGCUACAGUGUGCUCUGGCACUGAAGCCGCCCACGGCAGAGCGCUUCCGGCCACCUCGGCUCUCCCUCUCACGCCCGACGAUGCUCCUCGUCGUCUGCGUCACGCCACAGCCUGGUCCCCCUACUCCUUCUCCCUCCUCUCGCCCUAGCUCGCACGCGCGACGACCGCUCGAGCGCACCAGUGAGCGUGCUCACACGCGCGGCGCCUCUGACCCCCUGCUCCCUCUCUCUUCACUCCUCUAGUCCUAAACCAACCCCACGAGCACCCUAGACACCUCUUUGCGAGCCCCCGUGACCCGUAGCAACCGCAACAGGCUCGCCGGCGCACGGGUGCUUGGUGGACCGUCGCCCGCCUAUUUAAGGGCCUCCCCGAGCCCCCCUCUUGUCACCACUUGCUCUCUCACUCCCAUAAUCAUCCCCCUACACCCCCAGUUCCUUUCCAGAGCCGCCCGAGCUCGAACUCCGCCCCUUCAGCUCGCCGGAGUUCAUGAGGUACAGGCCGUCCCCGCCUCUCCUUCCUCUCAAUCUGGAACCCCUACAGCUCGAUGAUCCAUUCCCCCUUAUUUCCCCUCUCUGUAGUUGCCGGAAUGGCUGGAACUGCCGCCGCCCGAAGCCCUCCGCCGCAUGACCUCGUCGCCGGUGAACCAGGCCACCCCGACGACUGGUUCCACCUCCACCCGAACGGCGACAUCACGCUGAGUCCGUCCCUGCCAUUGCCCAACCUCGUCGUGCCCUGCAUCGUCGCCAGUAAGCCUCGCCGCCGUCAGACGAGGGUUAACAACGACCCUGACAAGGGGCCCCGCUCGUCAGCCUCGCUAUCCUCUCCCUCUCCCGCGCCCUCUCUCACUGACGCCGGCCCCCGCCCUUUAGGUUUAAAAACCUGGCGCGCGCGCACAUCGGCUCGGCUGGGCCGCCUCGCCGGCUGGGCCACUGCCCUAUGGCCGUUUUGGCCCAACAAGCAUAGUGCCCCUUUUCCCUUUUUCUUUAUGGUAAAUUCCCAAAAAAUCCACAGAGAUGAAUAUUUGUCCAAAUAAAUUAAUUCCAACUCCUAAAUUCCUGAAAUAUUACAACCUAUUUAAUGGUGCAACUUCCAUUCAAAUCCAACAACCUUUUCUUCAAUGUAAAUAUUUAAAUGUGAUUUUAAGCAUUUAAAUAUACCUCUGUAAAUCCUUAGCACCUUUUCCACAACUCCAAACUUGAAACUAAGAAUUUUCCCCUUCUUAUUUUCACCCUAGUAUUUAACAAAAAUGAGUUGAAAUUUUUCUGAGCACUUUGGUUUCUGUUUUAUUAUUGCCUUAUUUUUCUCGUUAUUAUUUUGCGACGAUAGAUUGCAUUGUUGACGAAGGAGUUCGACCAGAAGACUUUGAAGACCCAGAAGACUUUGCUGAGCCAGGCAAGCAGCCCUUUGACCAUGUCUAAGAAACCCUUUUUGUGCAUGUCAUAUGGCACUUUUAUUGCUUGCAUCGAAGUCAUAAUAAUGUGGUGACUACUUGAGGUGGUUUGCCUCCGUUGCUUUUCUCGUUGAAACUUGCAUGAUGCAUGACCCUACCUUUCUAUGAGGGUUAUGCGAGUGGGUGUAGUUAGGAUGCUAAGUAGCUCCUACGCAAAUGGGAUGGGUAUAUGCAUGGUGAAGGAAACCAAGUUGUUUUCAAAGACUUUCAAAAACCCCGUCGGGUGCCACUAAUGCCCGAGGGAGAUGGUGAGCUAGGUUACCACUUGAUAAAGAACUGGUGUACCAGAGCAAGUUGUGUGGGAGUGAUUUCGAAAAUGGAUUAGAUUUAAGAUUUGUCGGUUGUCCCAACUUUACAUGCGCAACUACUAUACCCUUAUAUGGGAAAGGCCAUAUUGAUUACCUAGGCCAAUACUAGCUUGGAGCCCGCAUUUCUAGUGACGGGAGAGUCGUUGUUGUGCUAUCUCAGGACGGGGUCAUGCCAAGUAGGGCGGCCGUGACUGCUUUUACAGGGCACCGGACACACCGUUGGUACCCCGUGCCAGUGGUAUGUGAUAAUAUGGGAGCGAGGCUCCACAAUUUUAAGAUGUGAAAUAUUGGGCGCGUGGGUUACUACCAAUGGAGUGGACUCUAUGUUAGUGUCGACUAGGGAAAGAUAGUGAUCGGGUGCUUACCCCGGGUACUUGAGGUACCGCGGGUCGUGGAUGACACAGAAGUUCCCUGGACCUUGUGGGUAAAGUGUGCAACCUUUGUAGAGUGUAAAACUAUUUGAAUAGCCAUGUCCACGGUCAAGGACAGUUGGGUGGUGCUGCUUAAACUAUGUCUAUAGUUUUACAAACCGCGUGUGUGUGUUGAUGAAACUAAUUGGGUUAAGUCAGAUGACUUGACGCAAUGAUCAAGUUGGAUUGGUGUCCAACUCUGUUCAUGUUGAUAUUUGUAACUUGUUCAUACGGAUAUCUGUACUCUCAUGAUGCAUACUUUACAGGUUGAUAGAUCAUGUCAUUGCACUCAAAACUAGGUUUCUGCAAACUACCUACUUAGUGCUAUAUCAUUGCAUUAUUGUGCCCUAAUCCAAUCAUGGGUUGCUUGUGAGUACAUUCAAAGUACUCAUUGGCUUGCCAGUAGUUAUUUAAUUGGCCUGGCAUGGAAGAAUAGGAGUUCGAAGAAGAGUUCUUUGGAGACGAACAUGCGAACUAGGACGUUUCCCAGUCAGAAUGCAUGUAGGGUUAAGGAAGAUGGCAUGGGUUCUACUUAUCGAUGAAGAUUUCCGCUGCUUAAGUUUAUUUGGUAUUCAGCCCUUGUGGCUUUACCUAUGUAAGACUUGACCAUAAUGGUCAUAAUUUGUGUAAGACGGUAUGUAUGGAUGUAAGACUCUUGUUAUUUAGCUUAUGUGUGUUCAGUGAGCAUUGAUCUCUGGGAUCACCGUACACGUGCAUUCGGUGAUCACGACUCAUGAGUUGGGGUCCCCACAAUACGUGUUCUUGGCCUGCGCGUCAUACGCAUGGAUUGUGUCCGCACUAGAGGGUGCGCACGAGGAGAUGAGAUGAUAUCAGUUUGGCACAGUAUAAUCCUCAGUUCAGACUUCGAGCUCCAGCUCGACUGGAAAAUGGGACGCAAGAAAUGCCCUCAUUAGCAGCCCGGCACGGCGGUGGUUUCCUUGCCUAAGGAAAUCAGGCGUGGGGUACGGUGUUCCAUUUACGUAUUCAUAUUUCAGUGUAAUUAGCAUCCAUGUUCUUAAUUCUUAUUUCUCCAUUUACAAAUAGUUUUAGGGAAUAACUAAAUACUACUGAUUUUGAAACAAAUAAAAUUAUUUAAACUAAGACCAAGUGUAGCUUGAUUCUCCUUUUAGUUUCUAACAGAGCAAGGAAUUAGUUUUGUAUGUAAAAGCAGAAUAAUCAGACUUGUAGAACCAUACACAACAUAGAAAUAAUAACCAUACAUUUAUAACCUGGGGAAAAUAACCAUUCAUUUAGUUUUGUACUUCUAUCACUUUACUCGCUCACAAUUUAUUUUAGCCGUAAACAAGUUUUCUAGGUUUCUAACCGAGCUGACAUGGUGAUUCUUUAUAUAAUGCUUUCUACUUCUAAAGAAGGGGAUUUCUUAGGCCCUUUCAGUCGUUGUCGGGGAUAUACCCUACACCCGGCCAGACUUGGCGACUCACUAAUGACCCGCCCUGACUUGGCGACUCACGAAGUGACCCGCCCGGAUCUCUCGACUCAUUGAAGACCCGGCUAGGCCUAGUCACUUAUUGGUAACCUAGCAGUCGGGUCAGAGGAGCGACAAGACCCUUUGGCCCAGAAGGCAGCUCAAGGGAAGGCCGACUUAUGUUCUUGUGGGCCGACUUAAGAUGAAAGCAUAAGGAAUAUUCUCCUACAAAGGAAGCAAGACUAGGAGUCCACUUGCAAUAGAGUAAUCCUAAUCCUACUAGGACUAGUCAUGUAACCCACCCCUUCAACUUAUAUAAGGAGGGGCAGGGCACCCCAAGAGGGAUAGGUUUUCACAAGUUAGGGUUAGACAGACAAGUCUAUAGCUCUUGAGAUAGAGCACCCUUGUAACCGUGAUCAUCAUCAUCAAUAUCAAUGAAGAAGGAUGUAGGCUUUUACCUCCACUGUGAGGGGCCGGACCUAGGUAAAACCUCGCGUCUCUCGAUUUCGACAAACUCCUUCAAGCUACUACAUAGAUGCGUUGGCCUUACGACUAAGUCCGGACACUAAGGACAUCUGUCUUGACAAUUUCAUGACAGUUGGCGCCCACCGUGGGGCCUGCGCACGGUGGUGCUGAGUUCUUGGAUGGAUUUCUCUCACGGAUUGAGAAGUUUGCAAUUUUUCCAAUGAAGAAGAGCUAGUUUGAAAGGAUCUACCUCAUAAGUUAGGGUUUCGUCGUAAGCGCCGCCGCACACGUUUGUGGUGAUCCAUCCAAGGAUGAAUCGAUAUCUGCUACGGCCGAGACUGUCGUUUUCUCCAGAAACCUAUUUCGCCAGUGCUGGUACACUGAGGCAUGAGCCACAAGUUGUUCUUCGACGAGAUCAAGACCAAAUUAUUUCCGACCAUGUACAUCUACCUGGAAAUCUGCUUGCUGUCAAUUCCGAGGUUGGAGGACCGGCGAGUGUCCGCUGCGGCAUAAAAAAGGAAAAAAAGGGGGAAGACCAUGACCCGCAAAAGGACGUGGACAUGGGUACGGUUUCGGCCCUAUCUAGAGUCGCCCACGCCUCUCCCUCCUACGGCAGCUCGGCCACAAGCCGGCCUCGCCGGCCGCCGCUGUUCGCCUUCGACACCUCCGUCUCCGCCGCCUUAGCAGUAGCGGGCUGAGCCGCCGCCUGCCACGACUCGCCUGUACUGCCGCCUCGCUCUCCAUGGCCCUGCCUGCGCUCCGCCGCGGCCGGCUCCGCGUCGCUGCUGCUCCGGGCCAGGUUCCGCCUCGCGCGCCCUGCACUACAUCAUGCUUCAUCACGCCCGCAUCGUUUCAGCCGAUUUGGCGCGUUCUGCUCCGCUUGCUGGCCUCCCCAUCGCCAUCGGGUCGGCGUGUACCCCAGCACUGCCCACUAGCUCGCACGCACGCCCUCUUCGCUAGCGCCGCCGCUGGAGAACCUCCCUACGCUGUGAGCCGCCAAGGCUCCUAUUUCAAGCUGGGCCGCCAGGUCACCGCCGACAUCGUGCUUUUGCCUCUACCUCGUGAGCCGUAGCCUCCAUCGCCGGCUGUUUUUGUCGCUGUGCCUGCGAGCUCCCCCUCUCUAUGUGCUUAAAAUCUUGAAGUUUUGCUUGUUUUACCUUCCUAUGCUAGUUGAUUCUUGUUCCCAUAAGUUCUUUGCUCACAAAAUCCCUAGGCAUAGGAAGUGGGUUAGGUUUAAAUGUGCUAGUCAUAUUCUCCAUGAUGCUCUCUUUAUGUUUCAAUUCUUAUCUUUUAUGUGAGCAUCAUUGAAAUCAUCAUGCCUAGCUAAAAGGCAUUAAAGAAAAGCGCUUGUUGGGAGACAACCCAAAAUUUACCCUUACUGUUUUUGUGUGUUCACAUGAUUAAGUUACUGUAGUAAUCAUGUAGUAUAGAUUUUUUUUUCAAUAAAGUGUCAAGUAAGACCUUUGGGAAGACUUGGGUGAAAGUUAAUGUGAUCUUGCUGUAAUAAACAGAAACUUUGCGCUCACGAGAUUAGCUGUCAUUAUUUACAGAAGAGUGAGUUUGAGUUGCUUCUUUUUUCAGAAGAUUAAUAGACAAAUUCCUCACGUCCACCAAUUUAUUUCAUAAUUUGUGGAGUAGCAGAAGUAUGGUUGCUGUUCAGAUCAUUACAGACUGUUCUGUUUCUGACAGAUUCUGUUUUCAUUGCAUAGUUUGCUUGUUUUCUAGUUUCUAUGGCUUAUAUUUCUCAAUAUAAAUUGUAGAAAUGAUAUGGUACAGUAGGCAUUGUGUGAGAACAAUUAUGAACCUUGUCUUUGACAUUACCAAGGUGCAUGGUUUACUCUUUAUCAUACUAACCUAUCUCAUGAAGUUCCGUUAAGUUUUGUGUGAUUGAAUUUUUCAAGCUUUGGGUGAGAUGUUGAUAUGAGGAGAAUAAGGAGUGGAAAGACUCUAAGCUUGGGAAUGCCCAAGGUAAUAUUCAAGGAAUACUCAAGCUCCUAAGCUUGGGGAUGCCCCAGAAGGCAUCCCCCCUUUCGUCUUCAAAACUAUCGGUAUACCUUACUCGGAGCUAUAUGUUUAUUCGUCACAUGAUAUGUGUUUUGCUUGGAGCGUAUUUUCAAUUUUACUUACUGUUUGAAUAAAAUCAUUGGAUCUGAAAUCUUGAAUGAAAAAGAAUCCUCCAAUUGCUAGUUAAUUAUUUGACUACUCAAUGUUCUUCACUUAUAUAUUUUUGGAGUAGUUUGUUGUUUACUCACGUGCUUCACAUAUAUCCUAUGAGUAAAUGGUUGAAUGAAUUGAAUAUCAUAAAUCUUAAUUUAAAUAUGUUUCAUAUGCUUAUACCAUGGGGAGUAAUUACUUCACACAUAAUAAGUAUAAGUGGUAAAUUUAUUGAAAGUUAGCAAACGCAGAAUUGGUCACUUGAACAAUUCAUGAAAGAAUAUUAAAGGAAGAGAGAUUUCACAUAUAAAUAUACUAUCUUGGACAUCUUUUGUAAUUGUGAGCACUCAUUAAAAUAUGACAUGCUAAAAGGUUGAUGUGGGACAAGGAAGACAACUUAAUGGGUUAUGUUUUCCUAUAUCUGAAAUGCUAUAUUUUCUUGGAUCAUCCAACAUGUUGAGCUUGCCUUUCCUCCUCAUGCUAGCCAAAUUCUUUGCACCAAGUAGAGAUACUACUUGUGCUUCUAAAUAUCCUUAAACCCAAUUUUGCCAUGAGAGUCCACAAUAUCUACCUAUGGAUUGAGUAAGAUCCUUCAAGUAAGUUGUUAUUGCUGCAAGGAAUAAAAAUUGCUCUCUAAAUAUGUAUGAUAUAUUAGUGUGGAGAAAAUAAGCUUUAUAUGAGCUUGUGAUAUGGAAGAAAUAAAAGCGACAGACUGCAUAAUAAAUGUCCCUAUCACAAGUGGCAAUAUAAGGUGACGUUCUUUUGCAUUAAGAUUUUGUGCAUACAACGAUAAAAGCGCAUGACAACCUCUGCUUCCCUCUGCGAUGGGUCUAUCUUUUACUUUUACCUUCUACCCUUAUACAAGAGUCAUGGUGAUUUUCACCUUUCCUUUUUUAGACUUUUUCCUUUGGCAAGCACUUUGUGUUGGAGCGAUCCGGAUAUAUAUAUCCACUUGGAUGUAGGUUUUCAUAAAGUAUUAUUGUUGACAUUACCCUUGAGGUAAAAGGUUAGGAGGCGAAACUAUAAGCCCCUAUCUUUCUCUGUGCCUGAUUAAAACUUUGAACCCAUAAAUAUCACGUGAGUGUUAGCAAUUCUGAAAGAUUAAAUGAAAGUUGAGUAUGUGGAUGAUAACCCACAAGUAUAGGGGAUCGCAACAGUUUUCAAGGGUGGAGUAUUGAACCCAAAUUUAUUGAUUCGACACAAGGGGAGCCAAAGAAUAUUCUUAAGUAUUAACCGUUGAGCUGCCAAUUCAACCGGACCUGGAAGACUUAAUAUCUGCAGCAAAGUAUUUAGUAGCAAAGUAAUAUGAUAUUAGUGGUAACACUAGGAAAAGUAACAGUACAGUUUUGUAGUGAUUGUAACAGUGGCAACAGAAAAUUAACUAAGCAAAGAACAAAAUGUGAAAAGCUCGUAGGCAUUGGAUUAGUGAUGGAUAAUUAUGUCGGAUGCGAUUCCUCAUGCAACAGUUAUAACAUAGGGUGACACAGAACUAGCUCCUGUUCAUCAAUGUAAUGUAGGCAUGUAUUCCAAAUAUAGUCAUAUGUGCUUAUGGAAAAGAACUUGCAUGACAUAUUUUGUCCUACCCUCCCGUGGCAGCGGGGUACUAUUGGAAACUAAGGGAUAUUAAGGUGUAACAUCCCAAAUUUUCAAUUUGGAAUGUUAUACAUCAGAUCAUCAUGCAUAUCAUAUUUUAUUUUGCUUUUGGUUUUGAUCCUAGAAAAUCCUAAGAAACUCAAGGACCCACGGAGAGAGUUGGGGAUUUCGUUAUUUACAUAUUUGAGUUUUCUCAAAUUGUGUAAACAGGAUCAUUUGAUUUUAUUUAUUUUAUCAUCAAUUAUUUCUAUUACAAAAAUAUGAGAGAGGGAAUAAAAUGACUUUCCCAAAAUAUAGAGAUAUUGAGGAUUUAAUAAAAAAAUCAAAUAAGUUUUAUUUCGGAGUUUUUCGGUAUUUUAUUUAUGCGCGUUUUUCAAAAUUUAGUUUAGGGCCCAAAUAAAUGUUCACUUUAUCGGGCUUGAUUUUAGAAGCCCGGGAAAAUUUAUUUCGUGAUUUUUGGAGUCCGUUUAGUAGUUCUUUUUAUUUUUCUUCCGAGCGGAAUUAUUAAAAAAAACAGCGGAACCGACUAUGGGCCGUACUCGGCCAGGACACCGCUGGCCGGGGCCUUUAUAAGCCGGGGCAAGCUAGCCCAAAGGCCAGCCGCCCCGAAACCCUAACCCUAGCCGAGCCCUGCCCCGCCGCCGCCGCCGCUGCCGCCGGCCGCCGACGCCGCCCCACCGCCGAUCCGCCGAAGCCGCGCGCCGCCCAAGGUUCGCCGCCCUCGAAAUCCGUGCUGUUAUAAAAAAAUUCCGUUCGUCGUUUUUCUUUUCCGUCGGAUUUUUCCGCGGUUAUUUUCUGAUCGCGAUAUCUGAUCCGAUUUUCGUUUUAGUAUAACUUUUCGCUCGUUUAUCGGAAUCAGGCGAUUCAAGCGCCUGGAGUUUCGUCUCGAAACCCUCUUUCCGAAUAAUCAACUUAAACAAGUUUUUGCUACUGUAAAAUUUGACUUAGAUCCAGAUUACUAGAACGAAGUUGUUUUCUUUCGCCGUUUGAUUUCUUUUGCUUCGUUCGAUUUGAUUCUUUUUGCAAACCAGGGUUCUUAAGUUGAACUUUCUGGUUAGAUCUUCUAUGUGAGUUUUACCCGUGCAUUAGAUGAGUACUUAUUGUAUGCUUGUUUGUUUGUCUGCGAUAGAAUACCCGGAGUGUGCUGCCUGUUACUUUGAAUCUCUAGGUUUCGCGGAUCAUCAGCAAGGCAAGUAACACUUUGAUCAUACCUUUUUCUACAACCUAGUUUUAUUGCAUUAGAUCAAUCCUCACACAUUGCAUGAUUAGGAUCUAAUUUAAUUGUGGGAUGGGGAGUAGAUGAGGUAGUACCCAUUACCUGUUUAUUUAUGAAACCUUUGGGAGUUACUUCUACGUUUGCUUAUUAUGCCAUGCUAUGCUAGUAGACGUGGAUUGGGUGAGUGAUAUCCAUGACAGAUGUGAGAUUGAUAAUUAAUGGUUUAUCUAAGGUGGCAACUUAAACACACAUCUGGGUGGAUUGAGGCACCUGGUUUCCAGGACUUGCCUGUUUUUCUUUUGGACCGCCACCCAGGCUCAAAGGGAUCAUGAGAUUAUUCAUACUAGAAACUUCCGUGUGUAGCCACAAGCCAUUAUGGGCUCUGGCAUAGUUGAUUAAGUUGUGCGAACUCUUACAGUGGUAGACUAGCAGAUGUAGGGGAUGUAGGUGGUACGGUCUACCCGAUCGUAAGGUGCUAGCGCUUCUGAAAGACUAUGUCUCGGUCAUCCGUUUCUCAAACACCAUGUAGUGCGAGAAAACAAACGGAGGCGAUCGAGUCUUGUGGGGAAAAGUGCGCAAACCUCUGCAGACUGUAAUAAACUAAUCAUGGUUAGCCGUGUCCCCGGUUAUGGACAUCUUGAGUAUCUAGUACCUGAAUUUUCAUGUGAAUCUCAACAUGUUACUCUAAAGUUAAUUUUUGUUGGGUUAAUGAUGCUUAAUUGGGAUUGAGAAUGCUGUCAACCAUUCUCAAUGUUUAAUAACCACCAUGAUAGUAAUUAAAUUUAUUCCUUUGAAGUAGGGAAAAAUUGGCUUUAUGCAAAAACUGUAACCAUAGAGCUUUCCACCAGCCAAAUAUGCAUAUAGUAUAGCUGUUGCAUUCCAUUACUCUCUAUGUGUUACCUUGCCAGCAUAGUCCAUGUGCUGACCCGUUUUCGGGCUGCAACGUUAAUGUUGCAGACUUUUCAGACGACGAUUAAGGAGUUUCAGGUCGUGGUUCUAUACUCAGUGAUGCCGUUGGAGUUGAUGGACUCACCUAUGUUCCAAGCCUUCCGCUAUUAUCGUUAUUAGAUGGCCUUAAGCCAUAUUUAUUGUAAUAAGUUCUCUUUUGAGACAUUUGAUGUAAUAAGUGUGUGAUUGCUACUCUACUAUAAAUCCUUCGAGUACUGUGUGGUGUCAGCUUUACUGAUCCAGGGAUGACACCGGAGCACAGAGAUCACACUGUUUGAGGUCUGGUCGCUACAUAAGGCCUCCUUUUAAUAGAGUACCGGACCAAAGCAUUAACACUUAGUGAAUACAUGAACUCCUCAAACUACGGUCAUCACCGGUAAGUAUCCGAUUAUUGUCACUUCGGGGUUAACGGAUUAUAACACAUAAUAGGUGACUAUAGACUUGCAAGAUAGGAUCAAGAACACACAUACAUUCAUGAAAACAUAAUAGGUUCAGAUCUGAAAUCAUGGCACUCGGGCCCUAGUGACAAGCAUUAAGCAUAGAAAGUCAUAGCAACAUCAAUCUCAGAACAUAAUAGAUACUAGGGAUCAAACCCUAACAAAACUAACUCGAUUACAUGAUAAAUCUCAUCCAACCCAUCACCGACCAGCAAGCCUAUGAUGGAAUUACUCACACACGGCGGUGAGCAUCAUGAAAUUGGUGAUGGAGGAAGGGUGAUGAUGACGAUGGCGACGGAUUCCCCUCCCCGGAGCCCCGAACGGACUCCAGAACAGCCCUCCCGGGAGAGAUUAGGGCUUGGCGGCGGCCCCGUAUCGUAAAACGCGAUGAAUCCUUCUCUCUGAUUUCUUUCUCCCCGAACGUGAAUAUAUAGAGUUGGAGUUGAGGUCGGUGGAGCACCAGAGGCCCCACGAGGCAGGGGCGCGCCCCCACCCUCGUGGACAGGGUGUGGGCCCCAUGGCCUUGAUUCUUUCGCCAGUAUUUUUUAUAUAUUCCAAAAAUAUUCUCCGUUGGUUUUCAGGUCAUUCCGAGAAAUUUUAUUUCUGCACAAAAAUGACACCAUGGCAAUUCUGCUGAAAACAGCGUCAUUCCGGGUUAGUUCCAUUCAAAUAAUGCAAGUUAGAGUCCAAAACAAGGGCAAAAGUGUUUGGAAAAGUAGAUACGAUGGAGACGUAUCAACUCCCCCAAGCUUAAACCUUUGCUUGUCCUCAAGCAAUUCAGUUGACAAACUGAAAGUGAUAAAGAAGAACUUUUACAAACUCUGUUUGGUCUUGUUGUAAAUAUGUAAAGACAUCAUUCAAGUUUUCAGCCAAGAUUGUGAACUAACCAUACUCACAAUCACAUUUAGGUCUCAUGUUUACUCAUAUCAAUGGCAUAAUCAACUAGCGAGCAAUAAUAGUAAAUCUCGGAUGACAACACUUUCUCAAAACAAUCAUAAUAUGAUAUAACAAGAUGGUAUCUCGCUAGCCCUUUCUGAGACUGCAAAACAUAAAUGCAGAGCACCUUUGAAGAUCAAGGGCUGACUGGAAAAUGUAAUUAAUGGUAAAAGAGAUCCAGUCACAGUCAUACUCAAUGUAAACUAAUAAUAAUACAUGCAAAUGACAGCGGUGCUCUCCAACUGGCGCUUUUUAAUAAGAGGAUGUUGACUCAACAUAAAAGUAAAUAGAUAGGCCCUUCUUGGAGGGAAGCAGGGAUUUGUAGAGGUGCCAGAGCUCGAUUUUGAAAUAGAGAUGAAUAAUAUUUUGAGCGGUAUAUUUUCAUUGUCAACAUAAAAACCGAGAGAUCUUGAUAUCUUCCAUGCUACACACAUUAUAGGCGGUUCCCAAACAGAAUGGUAAAGUUUAUACUCACCCCCCCACCAACAAGCAUCAAUCCAUGGCUUGCCUGAAACAACGGGUCCUCCAACUAACAACAAUCCUGGGGGAGUUUUGUUUGCAAUUAUUAUGAUUUGAUUUGACCAUGGGACUGGGCAUCCCGGUGACCAACCAUUUUCUUGUGAGUGAGGAGCGGAGUCCACUCCUCUUGAGAAUAACCCGCCUAGCAUGGAAGAUAUAGACAGCCCUAGUUGGUACAUGAGCUAUUGGAGCAUACAAAAUAGAAUUUCAUUUGAAGGUUUAGAGCUUGACACAUACGAAUUUACUUGGAAUGGCAGGUAGAUACCGCAUAUAGGAAGAUAUGGUGGACUCAUAUGGAAUAACUUUUGGGGUUUAUGGAGUUGGAUGCACAAGCGGUAUUCCCGCUUAGUAGAAGUGAAGGCUAGAAAGAGAUUGGGAAGCGACCAGCUAGAGAGCGACAACAGUCAUGAACAUGCAUUAGAAUUAAUCAACACUGAAUGCAAGCAUGAGUAGGAUAUAAUUCACCAUGAACAUAAAUAUCGUGGAGGCUAUGUUUAUUUUGUUUCAACUACAUGCGUGAACAUGUGCCAAGUCAAGCCAGUCGAAUCGUUCAAAGGAGGAUACCACCCUAUCAUACCACAUCACAACUAUUUUAAUAGCAUGUUGGCAUGCAAGGUAAACCAUUAUAAACUUCGAGCAAAUCAAGCAUGGCAUGAGCAACUAUAAUCUCUAAUUUUCAUUGCAAACAUGUUUAAUUCAUAAUAGGUUGAAUCAAGAAUGAUGAACUAAUCAUAUUUGAAAAAACAAGAGAGGUCGAGUUCAUACCAGCUUCUCUCAUCUCAAUCAAUUCAUCAUAUAUCGUCAUUAUUGCCUUUUACUUGCACAAUCGAAUAGUGUGGAUAAUAAUAAUAGUGCAUGUGCAUUGGACUAAGCUGGAAUCUGCAAGCAUUCAAUUUAAGGGAGAAGACAAGGUAAUAUGGGCUCUCUAUUAGAUCAACAAUAAUGCAUAAAAGAGCCUCUCAACAUUUUCAUUAUGGUCUUCUCCUCUCGACCCCCAAAGAAAAGAAAAGAAACAAAACUAUUUACAUGGGAAAGCUCCCAACAAGCAAAAGAAGAACAAGAAAACUUUUUGGGUUUUCUUUUUAAUUACUACUACUACAUGCAUGGAAAGUAAACUAGCUAAAAGCUACAACUAAUUUUUUUGGUUUUCUUAAGGUUUUUCAAACACACAAGAAGAAAGCUUAAAAAUAAAUUAAACUAGCAUGGAUGAUACAAUGAAAAAGUAUGAGCACCGACAACUGGCAUGAGUGUGUGAACAUGAAUGUAAUGUUGAUGAGAAAUACAUACUCCCCCAAGCUUAGGCUUUUGUCCUAAGUUGGUAUAUGCCAACAGAUCAAAACUUCCUUGUCGGGUGUACUGAGGAGGGUCCUCGGGGUGCCACUGGUUGGCGAUCUCCUCCGGAUCCCACUGAUAAACAGACUCACGGUGAGGAUCAAAUAGUGGCUCCGUCUCUGGAGCUGAUGUCAGGCUCUGGUAUGCCUGAACGGCCUCUGGCAGAACAACGUACGUGCCUGAAAAUAUGUUAAACAUAGAGGGAGCAGGCAAGGUAAUAGUCUCAAAGUAGUUCUUAUCAAAUAUCAGUCUAUAGUUAGGCAUCUUCUUCUUAUUCUUAACAAUAGAAUCAUGUGCUACCAUACUCUUAUAGUCUAGAAAAAUAGGAGGCAGCAACUUUUCCUCUUUCUCAUAAUGCCUAAUAGGUAUGUUAAAGUGUGCAGCAAGGCGCGAAGCAAAGAUGCCUCCAAAGAUGGGACCCUUUGUAUGGUUCGGAUUUAACUGCUUAGCAACAAUAGCGCCUAAACUAAAAGUGGUAUCACGAAACAAAGCAUGGCGGAAAAAAAAUUCUGGGGCACUAAGGUUUCCACAGUUCACGUGACCAAUUAAGAAUCUACAAGCAAAUAUUGCAAAGUAACGUAGAACAGGAAAAUGUAUGCUAGUAAUUCUUGCAUCAGAAACCUUCCUCGUCUCCCCUAUAGCGAUCAUAUCAAUAAACCCUUCCACAUCAUCACUAUGUGGUUCCUGUAUGCUGCCAUCGAAGGGCAACUUGCAAACCCCACAGAAGUUGUAAAGUGACAUCUCCUUAUACUCAUCAUACAAAUAAAAGUCCAUAGAAGGUGGCGACCUCCUAGCAUGGAAAUUAAAAUUUUGCACCAAAAUAUUAGUGAGUAGGAGAUACUGUUCGAGCUGGUCGUGGAGGAAGUUGGUGAGGCCUGCAUUCUCAGCCAAAUAAUAAAAAUAUUCAUCAAUCCCGGUUUCUCUCAAGAACUCAUCAAAAGGCCAUUCACACGGCCGAACCUCCGUAGUACGAGGGAGAUUAUACAUGGGCUUCUUAUUCUCUUCACUUUGCUUAUCCUUCGAGCUUCGGCUCAAUGAGACCCUCAACAAUCUCUUCAUCAUUUCUUGUGAAAAAUUUCUGAAAAUUUUUAGUAACUUGAAAUAAAAGUGAACCAAACUCAACAAGAUUGAUAGCAACUACUCCUACAAGUGCCUAGAGGCUAUAUCAUGCAUUAAAACUACUUUUGACCACAUAAAUUUGACAUGCAAGCUCAAGAACAGGGUCACCUAUGAAGCAAAAAUUUGCAAUAAAUAAAGCACUAGAACAAAAACUAAUUGGACCAUUGGAGGAGUCACAUACCGAAGAACAAUCCCCCAAAGUAGUUUUGUGAAUGGAGCUUUGAGCAAGGAGAUCGAAAAUGGCACCAAGAUGAGCUAAAACUCGGGUUUGAGAUGGUGGAUGAUUUUUUCUAGAGGAAGACGAAGUGUGUGGGUGCAAGAAUAAGUGGAGGGGACCCACAUGGGGUCCACGAGGCAGGGGGGCGCCCAGGGGGUAGGGCGCGCCCUCCACCCUCGUGGGCACAUGGUGGGUCCCCCUGGUGUGUUCUUAGUGCCAAUAAUUCUUAAAUAUUUUUGAAAAAAUCAUAUUAAAUUCUCAGGGCAUUUGGAGAACUUUUAUUUUUGGGGUAUUUUUUUAUUGCAAUGAUAAUUCAGAAGACAGCCAGAAAAUACUAUUUUGGUUUUAUUUAAACUAAAUAAUAGAAAGUAAAAGGAGGGUACAGAAGGUUGUGCUUUCUAACUUCAUCCAUCUCAUGCUCAUCAAAAGGAAUCCACUAACAAGGUUGAUCAUGUCUUGUUAACAAACUCAUUCCAAAUUGCAUGAAACCGGAGAAAUUUCGAAUAACACUAGGUUAGCUCAACUGGGAUAUGCACAUCCCCAAUAAUAAUAAUAUCAUAUUUCUUCUUGACAGUAGGAAGAGGAAAUUCAAAACCUCCAAUAAUAAUUGUUGAAAUUUUUCCAAUAGAAUUGAUACUAUGGACUUGAGGUUGUUUCCUUGGAACAUAUGCUCAUUACCAUUAACAUGAAAAGUGACAUUGCCUUUGUUGCAAUCAAUAACAUCCCCUGUAGUAUUCAAAAAGGGUCUACCAAGGAUAAUGGACAUACUAUCAUCCUCGGGAAUAUCAAGAAUAACAAAUUACAUUAAAACGGUAACGUUUGCAACCACAACAGGCACAUCCUCACAAAUACCGACAGGUAUAGCAGUUGAUUUAUCAGCCAUUUGCAAAGAUAUUUCAGUAGGUGUCAACUUAUUCAAAUCAAGUCUACGAUAUAAAGAGAAAGGAAUAACACUAACACCGGCUCCAAGAUCACAUAAAGCAGUGUUAACAUAGUUUCUCUUAAUGGAGCAUGGUAUAGUUGGUACUCCUGGAUCUCCAAGUUUCUUCGGUAUUCCACCCUUAAAAGUAUAAUUAGCAAGCAUGGUGGAAAUUUCAGCUUCUGAUAUCUUUCUUUUAUUAGUAACAAUAUCUUUCAUGUACUUAGCAUAAGGGUUCAUUUUAAGCAUAUCAGUCAAACGCAUACGCAAAAAGAUAGGUCUAAUCAUUUCAGCAAAGUGCUCAAAAUCCUCCUCAUCCUUUUUCUUGGAUGGUUAAGGAGGAAAAGGCAUGGGUUUUUGAACCCAUGGUUCCCUUUCUUUACCAUUCUUCCUAGCAACAAAGUCUCUCUUAUCAUAACAUUGAUUCUUUGAUUGUGGGUUAUCAAGAUCAACAGCUAGUUCAAUAUCUACAUCAUUAUAAUUGCUAGGUUGAGCAUCAACAUGAACAUCAUUAUUAACAUUAUCACUAGGUUCAUGUUCAUUGCCAGAUUGUGUUUCAGCACCAGAAAUAGAAAUAUCAUUGGGAUUCUCAGGUGUGUCUACAACAGGUUUAGUAGAAGCAUGCAAAGUCCUAUCAUUUUUCUUUUUCUUCUUCUUAGAAGAACUUGGUGCAUCAACAUUAGUUCUCUAGGAAUCUUGCUCAAUUCUCUUAGGGUGGCCCUCAGGAUACAAAGGUUACUGAGUCAUUUUACCCCCUCUAGUCAUAACUCUAACAACAUUAUCAUUUUUUUAUUAUUUAAUUCAUUGAGCAAAUCAUUCUAAGCCUUAAGUACUUGUUCUACUUGAGUGGUAACCAUAGAAGCAUGUUUACUAAUAAGUUUAAGUUCACCUUUAAUGCUAGACAUAUAAUCACUCAAGUGUUCGAUCAUAUAAGCAUUGCGUUUCAAUUUUCUACCAAAUAAGCAUUGAAGUUUUCUUGUUUAACAAUAAAAUUAUCGAACUCAUCUAAGCAUUGGCUAGCAGACUUAUAACAAGGAAUAUCACCUUCAUCAAAUCUAUAGAGAGAAUUCACCUUUAGUACCUGUGUCGGGUUAUCAAGACCACGUAUUUCUUCAAUAGGUGGUAAAUUCUUAACAUCUUCAGCUUUAAUACCCUUUUAUUUCAUAGAUUUCUUUGCCUCUUGCAUAUCUUCAGGACUAAGAAAUAGAAUACCCCUUUUCUUCAGAGUUGUCUUAGGAGUUGGUUCAGGAAGUGUCCAAUCAUUUUCAUUACUCAACAUAUUAUUCAAUAGCAAUUCAGAUUGAUCAACAGUUCUUUUCCCUGAAAACACAACCAGCACAACUAUCCAGGUGGUCUCUGGAAGCAUCGGUUAGUCCGUUAUAAAAGAUAUCAAGUAUUUCAUUUUUCUUGAGAGGAUGAUCAGGCAAAGCAUUAAGUAAUUGGAGAAGCAUCCCCCAAGAUUGUGGGAGACUCUCUUCUUCGAUUUGCACAAAAUUAUAUAUUUCCCUUAAGGCAGCUUGUUUCUUAUGAGAGGGGAAAUAUUUACCAGAGAAGUAAUAAAUCAUAUCCCGGGGACUACACACACAACCAGGAUCAAGAGAAUUAAACCAUGUUUUAGCAUCACCCUUUAAUGAGAAUGGAAAUAACUUAAGAAUAAAGUAAUAACGAGUUUUCUCAUCAUUAGUGAACUGGGUGGCUAUAUCAUUUAAUUUAGUAAGAUGUGCCACAACACUUUCAGAUUCAUAGCCAUAAAAAGGAUCAGAUUCAACCAAAGUAAUUAACUCAGGAUUGACAGAGAAAUCAUAAUCCUUAUCAGAGAUACAGAUAGGUGAAGUAGCAAAAGUAGGGUCAUAUUUCAUUCUAGCAUUCAAAGAUUUUUCAUUAAGCUUAGCUAAUAAUUUCUUAAGAUCAUAUCUAUCAUUGCAAGCUAAGAAGUCUCUAGCAGUUUCUUCAUCCAUAACAUAGCCCUCGGGCACAACAGGCAAUUCAUAUCUAGGGGGAGAAUCUUCAUCAUCACUUUCAUCAAUAUUAUCAGUUUCAAUAAUUUUAUUCUCUCUAGCCCUAGCAAGUUGCUCAUUAAGAAAUUCACCUAGUGGCAUAGUAUUAUCAAGCAUAGAAGUAGUUUCAUCAUAAGCAUCAUGGAAAGCAGAAGUGGCAUCAUCAAUAACAUGCAACAUAUCAGAAUGAAUAGUAGGAGUAGGUGUCGCAAGUUUACUCAAAACAGAACGUGAAUCAAGUGCAGAGCUAGAUGGCAGUUCCUUAUCUCCCCUCGUAGUUGAGGGAAAAAUCUUGGUUCUUUUAUCUUUCAAGUUAUUCAUAGUGAUCAGCAGAUAGCAGACUAAGGCAUAGCCUAGUGGUGGGAAGGGGCUGAUGCCUUCCCACCCACCCAGGUUCAAGGCAUGGUACUUGCAAUUUGGGUUUGUUGCACCAAUUAUACUGUAAGGGGUUCCCUUACAGUCUUUCUGUCAAAAAAAAAUAGUGAUCAGCAAAUAUAAAUACCAAGUGACUCAAAGAAUAGAGCUAUGCUCCCCGGGAACGGCGCCAUAAAAUAGUCUUGAUAACCCACAAGUAUAGGGGGUCGCAACAGUUUUUGAGGGUAGAGUAUUCAACCCAAAUUUAUUGAUUCGACACAAGGGGAUCCAAAGAAUAUUCUCAAGUAUUAACAGUUGAGUUAUCAAUUCUACCGCAGUUGGAAGACUUAAUAUCUGCAACAAAGUAUUCAGUAGCAAAGUAAUAUGAUAGUAGUGGUAACUGUAGCGACCCGACCCGAAUGGAUCAAGUCUCUGUGCUUAAGUGUCAUCCCUGGAUCGGUAUGCUGACACACACAGUACUCGAGGAUUUAUAACAGAGGUAAAUCACAUGUAUAAGUAACGUAAAUACUAUUACCUCAAUCCAAAAAGCGGAAGUAACAAGGUUGUGGAUUCCCAUCAACACCAACGGCAAAGUUGAGUGUAGAAAUCGUAACCCUAACGUAUCACUUACUCGUCGUAAGAUAAUCCUGCAACAUGAGACGUUGCAGCCACAAAGGGUCACAUUGAAUGUACUGGCAAAUUCACACCAUAGAGAGAGAUGAUGAACAAUGGCUAUCACUACAUGCAUAUAUGGCUGGUGGAAAAGCUCUAUGGUUGUAAGGUUUUUGCGAAAAGCCAAUUUGUCCCUACUUUAAAGGAAUAAAUUUUAUUUAACUAUCAUGGUGGUUGUUGAACAUUGAGAAUGGUUGACAGCAUUCUCAAUCCCAAUUAAAUAACAUCAUUAAACCCAACAAACUUAAUUUAAAGUAACAUGAUGAGAUUCACAUGAUAAUCCAAGUACUAGAUACUCAAGAUGUCCAUAACCGGGGACAUGGCUAACCAUGAUUAGUUUAUACACUCUGCAGAGGUUUGAGCACUUUUCCCCACAAGACUCGAUCGCCUCCGUUGGCUUUCUCGCACUACCUGGUUUUUGAGAAACGGAUGACCGAGACAUAGUCUUUCAGAAGCGCUAGCACCUUACGAUGGAUAGACCGUUACACCUACUUUCCCCUACAUCUGCUAGUCUACCCUGUAAGAGUUUGCACGACUUAGUCAACUAUGCUAGAGCCCAUAAUAGCUUGUGGCUGCACACGGAAGUUUCUAGUAUGAAUAAUCUCAUGAUCCCUUUGAGCCUGGGUGGCAGUCCAUAAAAAAACAGGCAAUCCUGGUCUACCCAGGUGCCUAGACAGGCAAUCCUAGAAUAAUCAGGUGCCUCGAUCCACCCAGAUGUGUGUUUAAGUUGCCACCUUAAGUAAACCAUUAAUUAACAAUCUCACAUCUGUCAUGAAUACUCUCAAAACCCAAUCCACGUCUACGUGCAUAGCAUGGCACUAUAAGCAUAACGUAAUAGUAACUCCCAAGGGUUUGAUAAUAAGCAGGUAAUAGGUACUACCUCAACUACUUCCCAUCCCACAAUUUAAUUAGAUCCUAAUCAUGCAAUUUUGGAGGUUUGAUCUAAUGCAAUAAAAACUGGGUAUGAAAGGGAUAUGAUCAAAGUGUGAACUUGCCUUGCUGAUGAUCCGCGAAACCUAGAGAUUCGAAGUAACACGCGGCGCACUCCGGGUAUUCUAUCGCAGACAAACAAACAAGCAUACAAUAAGUAUUCAUCUAAUGCACGGGUAAAACUCAAAUAAGAGAUCUAACCAGAAGGUUCAACUUAAGAACUCCGGUUCGCAAAAAGAAUCAAAUCAAACGAAGCAACGAAAGUCAAACUGCAAAAGAAACAGGCUUCGUUUACUAUUUUGGAUCUAGGGCAAUUUUUACAAUGGAAAUUUUUUUUUAAUUUGGUUAAACGGUUAGAGGGUUUCGAGACAAAACUCCAGGCGCUUGAAUCGCCUGAUUCCAAUAACCGAGCGAAAAGUUAUACUAAAACGAAAAUCGGAUCAGGAAUCACGAUCAGAAAAAUUGCGGAUUUAAUCCGAGAAAAAGAAAAACGACGAACGUUCGCUAGAAUGAAGAAAAGGACGAACGCUCGCUAAUUAAAUAAAUCGGAAAAACCGAUCUAUUUAAAAAAACCGAAACUAAAAAAAACCACGACUUUUUUUUAGUUUCGUUUUUUGAAAUAGAUCGGUUUUUCCGAUUUAUUUAAUUAGCGAGCGUUCGUCCGUUUGUUCAUUCUAGCGAACGUUCGUCGUUUUUCUUUUUCUCAGAUUAAAUCCGUGAUUUUUCUGAUCGCGAUUCCUCAUCCAAUUUUCGUUUUAGUAUAACUUUUCGCUCGGUUAUCGGAAUCAGGCGAUUCAAGCGCCUGGAGUUUUGUCUCGAAACCGUCUAACCUUUUAACCAACUUAAACAAGUUUUUGCCACUGUAAAAAUUGCCCUAGAUCCAGAAUAGUAAAUGAAGCCUGUUUCUUUUGCCGUUUGACUUUCGUUGCUUCGUUUGAUUUGAUUCUUUUUGCAAACCGGAGUUCUUAAGUUGAACCUUCUGGUUAGAUAUCUUAUUUGAGUUUUACCCGUGCAAUAGAUGAAUACUUAUUGUAUGCUUGUUUGUUUGUCUACGAUAGAAUACCCGGAGUGCGCCGCGUGUUACUUCGAAUCUCUAGGUUUCGUGGAUCAUCAGCAAGGCAAGUUCACACUUUGAUCAUAUCCCUUUCAUACCCAGUUUUUAUUGCAUUAGAUCAAACCUCCAACAUUGCAUGAUUAGGAUCUAAUUAAAUUGUGGGAUGGAAAGUAGUUGAGGUAGUACCUAUUACCUGCUUAUUAUCUAACCCUUGGGAGUUACUAUUACGUUAUGCUUAUAGUGCCAUGCUAUGCACGUAGACGUGGAUUGGGUUUUGAGAGUAUCCAUGACAGAUGCGAGAUUGUUAAUUAAUGGUUUACUUAAGGUGGCAACUUAAACACACAUCUGGGUGGAUUGAGGCACCUGGUUAUUCCAGGAUUGCCUGUCUAGGCACCUGGGUAGACCAGGAUUGCCUGUUUUUUUAUGGACCGCCACCCAGGCUCAAAGGGAUCAUGAGAUUAUUCAUACUAGAAACUUCUGUGUGCAGCCACAAGCUAUUAUGGGCUCUAGCAUAGUUGAUUAAGUUGUGCGAACUCUUACAGGGUAGACUAGCAGAUGUAGGGGAAAGUAGGUGUAACGGUCUAUCCAUCGUAAGGUGCUAGCGCUUCUGAAAGACUAUGUCUCGAUCAUCCGUUUCUCAAACACCAGGUAGUGCGAGAAAUCCAAUGGAGGCGAUCGAGUCUUGUGGGGAAAAGUGCGCGAACCUCUGCAGAGUGUAUAAACUAAUCAUGGUUAGUCGUGUCCCUGGUUAUGGACAUCUUGAGUAUCUAGUACUUGGAUUAUCAUGUGAAUCUCAUCAUGUUACUUUAAAUUAAGUUUGUUGGGUUUAAUGAUGUUAUUUAAUUGGGAUUGUGAAUGCUGUCAACCAUUCUCAAUGUUCAACAACCACCAUGAUAGUUAAAUAAAAUGUAUUCCUUUGCAGUAGGGAAAAAUUGGCUUUUCGCAAAAACCUUACAACCAUAGAGCUUUUCCACCAGCCAUAUAUGCAUGUAGUGAUAGCCAUUGUUCAUCAACUCUCUCUAUGGUGUGAAUUUGCCAGUACAUUCAAUGUACUGACCCUUUGUGGCUGCAACGUCUCAUGUUGCAGGAUUAUCUUACAACGAGUAAGUGAUACGUUAGGGUUGUGAUUUCUACACUCAACUUUGCCGUUGGUGUUGAUCGGAAUCCACAACCUUGUUACUUCCGCUUUUUGGAUUGAGGUAAUAGUAUUUACAUUACUUAUACAUGUGAUUUACCUCUGUUAUAAAUCCUCGAGUACUGUGUGUGUCAGCAUACCGAUCCAGGGAUGACACUUAAGCACAGAGACUUGAUCCAUUCGGGUCGGGUCGCUACAGUAGCGGUAGCAAAAGUAACAGUAGCGGUUUUGUAGUGAUUGUAACAGUGGCAAUGGAAAAGUAACUAAGCAAAGAACAAUAUGUGAAAAGCUCAUAGGCAUUGCAUCAGUGAUAGAUAAUUAUGUCGGAUGUGAUUCCUCAUGCAAUAGUUAUAACAUAGGGUGACACCGAACUAGCUCCAGUUCAUCAAUGUAAUGUAGGCAUGUAUUCCAAAUAUAUUCAUAUGUGCUUAUGGAAAAGAACUUGCAUGCCAUCUUUUGUCCUACCCUCCCGUGGCAGCGGGGUCCUAUUGGAAACUAAGGGAUAUUAAGGCCUCCUUUUAAUAGAGUACCGGACCAAAGAAUUAACACUUAGUGAAUACAUGAACUCCUCAAACUACGGUCAUCACCGGUAAGUAUCCCGAUUAUUGUCACUUCGGGGUUAACGGAUCAUAACACAUAAUAGGUGACUAUAGACUUGCAAGGUAGGAUCAAGAACUCACAUAUAUUCAUGAAAACAUAAUAGGUUCAGAUCUGAAAUCAUGGCACUCAGGCCCUAGUGACAAGCAUUAAGCAUAGCAAAGUCAUAGCAACAUCAAUCUCAGAAUAUAAUGGAUACUAGGGAUCAAACCCUAGCAAAACUAACUCGAUUACAUGAUAAAUCUCAUCCAACCCAUCACUGUCCAGCAAGCCUACGAUGGAAUUACUCACGCACGGCGGUGGGCAUCAUGAAAUUGGUGAUGGAGGAAGGUUGAUGAUGACGAUGGCGAUGGAUUCCCCUCUCUGGAGCCCCGAACGGACUCCAGAUCAGCUCUCCCGAGAUAGAUUAGGGCUUGGCGGCGGCUCUGUAUCGUAAAACGUGAUGAAUCCUUCUCUCUGAUUUUUUUCUCCCCGAACGUGAAUAUAUAGAGUUGGAGUUGAGGUCGGUGGAGCACCAGGGGCCCCACGAGGCAGGGGGUGCGUCCAGGGGGUAGGUGAGCCCCCACCCUCGUGGACAGGGUGUGGGCCCCCUGGCCUUGAUUCUUUCGCCAGUAUUUUUUAUAUAUUCCAAAAAUAUUCUCUGUUGAUUUUCAUGUCAUUUCGAGAACUUUUAUUUCUGUACAAAAAUAACACCAUGGAAAUUCUGCUGAAAACAGCGUCAGUCCGGGUUAGUUCCAUUCAAAGCAUGCAAGUUAGAGUCCAAAACAUGGGCAAAAGUGUUUGGAAAAGUAGAUACGAUGGAGACGUAUCAGUGGAGUUUGCUGAAUCAAAGCUCUUACGUAGACCCUUCCCAAAAAAAUAUGAAUUGCAAUGGUUUGAUGACUAGGAGCACGAUUUGUUAGUUUUCAAGAAAGUUUAUGAUCUAUACUUUAACAUGUGAAUAGCUUGAUACUUGAUCAUGAGAAGUUUCAUGAGUUGAGCUACUGUUAUGAUAUAUAAUGAUGAUAGAAAAAGUGAUUGGAACUAUCAUUGAUCAAACUUAUGCACUUGCUAGCAUUCACACUUCAUAAAUUAUUUCUUUUAUCAUUUACCUACUCGAGGACGAGCAGGAAUUAAGCUUGGGGAUGCUGAUACGUCUAUAAAGUAUCUAUUAUCUAUGAAGUAUUCAUGCCAUAUUUACAAUAGUUUUAUAUGAUUUUGGUAUGAUUUGAUUAGAACUAACCCGUACUGACGCUGUUUUCAGCAGAACUAUCGUGGUGUUGUUUUUGUGCAGAAAUAAAAGUUUUCGGAAUGCGCUGAAAAUCAGUGGAGAUUUUUUCUGGAGAAUAUAAAAAAUACUGAAACAAAGAGUUACCGGAGGGGAGUCCCGUGGGCCCCACGAGGGUGGGGGGCACGCCCCUGUGCCUCAUGGACUUCCCGUGGGGCCUCCUGACUUGUUCUCAAUGCCAACCUCUCAUAUAAAAACCCAAAACUCUAGAAAAUAACCUAGAUCGGAAGUUCCACCGCCGUAAGCCUGUGUAGCCACGAGAUAUCAAUCUAGGCCCUCUCUGGCACCCUGCCUAAGGGGGCCAUCAUUACCGGAGGCCAUGGAGGAGGAUCCCGGAGGGGCCAUCAUCGCCAUGAAGGCCAAGGACCAGAGGGAGAACUUCUCCCCAUCCAGGGGGAGGCCAUGGAGGAGGAAGCACAAGGGGGAGAACCUCCCCUCCUCUCUCUCAGUGGCGCCAGAGUGCCAUCGGGAGGGGAAUCAUCGCCGCGGUGAUCAUCUUCAUCAACAUCACCAUCACCAUCCUCAUCUCUUUUACGCGGUCCACUCUCCCGCACCCCGCUGUAAUCCCUACUUGAACGGUGCUUUAUGCCACAUAUUAUGAUCCAAUGAUGUGUUGCCAUCCUAUGAUGGUUUGAGUAGAUAUCCUUUGUCUUUGGGUUGAUUGAUGAUCUAGAUUGGUAUGAGUUGUAUGUUUUAUUUUGGUGCUGUCCUAUUGUGCCCUCCGUGUCGCGCAAGCGUCAGGGAUUCCUGCUAUAGGGUGUUGCAAUAUGUUCAUGAUUUGCUUAUAGUGGGUUGCUUGAGUGAUAGAAGCAUAAAUCUGAGUAAGGGGUUGUUGCGUAUGGGAUAAAGGGGACUUGAUAUGUUAAUGCUAUGGUUGGGUUUUACCUUAAUGAUCUUUAGUACUUGCGGAUGCUUGCUAGAGUUCCAAUCAUAAGUGCAUAUGAUCCAAGAAGAGAAAGUAUGUUAGCUUAUGCCUCUCCUUCAUAUGAAAUUGCAAUGACGACUACCGGUGUUUUUAACGAUUGCCUAGGAUAAUUCCACACACCGGCCCGUCAUUAUUCCACACUCGCUAUUUAUAAUAUUUAGUAAUAUAUUCUAACUUUAUGAUAAUAGCACCUACUUUUAUAUUUUAGCUCUCCGAUACCAUGCAAAGUUAUCCUCUCCAUACCCACAACGUAGUUUUAUUUCUCGUUUCUAGUUGGAAGCAGACGUUCGGUGUACGAAGAGUCGUAUCAGUGGCAGAUAGGACUUGAGAGAAUAUUGAUCUUACCAUUAGCUCCUUAUGGGUUCGAUACUCCAUACUUAUCACUUCCACCAUUGGGAAUUUCUAUGAUGAUUCCCUGCACUUGGGGAUUAUCAAGCUCUUUUCUGGCGCCGUUGCCGGGGAGCAAUAGCGUGGGGUUGAUAUUCUUGUGUGUGCUUGUUUGCGUUCUUCACUAAGUAGAUUUUUUUCCUUUUUGUUUAGUUGUGGGUGAAACAUACAUUUUUUUAAAGAAUGAAAAUACAAAAAAAUUACUUGCCUCUCAUGCCUAAAAAGUUUUUCAAUAAGAGAAGUGAUUGGAAGGUUGUGCAUUGGAGAAGUGAUUGGAAGGUUGUGCAUUGGAGAAGUGAGGGUCGACCUUGAACACUUGUGUUCAUGCUCAUGGAAACAAUGUAGAAUUUUUCAUGGAAGUUUCUCUGAAAAUAAUUAUCCCCUUGUAUAUAUCCAUUGUAUUAUAAAAAUAAUUAGCCAAGCUUUGGUUUUCAGAUGAUUAGAUUGCUUGUUUACUAUGUGCAGUACAAAAACAGAAACUUUGGCUAUAGCACGUGAAUUUAAUUUUUUUUACUAGAAAGUCAAAUGGGUCUGAAACUUUUUGAACAUUACUUCUAUAAAAUUUUUAUAAAUUUUCAUAUGUUUUUAAAUUUUUUUCAAUUUACAGAAGUUAACUAAACUUCCAGAUUAGUACAGACUGUCCUGUUUUUGACAGAUUCUGUUUUCUAUGUGGUGAUCACUUAUUUUGAUGAAUCUAUGGGUAGUAUCGGGGGGUAUGAACAAUGGUGAAGUUGGAAUACAGUAUAUAAAGUGCUAAUAUUAAAUUGGAAUGAAUUUGCAAUAGUACCUAAAGGUAGUGAUUUGCUUUAGUAUACUAACGGAUCUCACAAAGUUUUUGUUAAGUUUUUGUGGAUGAAGUGUUCGAAGAACGAGGAGUUACCGAUGUGAGAAGAAUAAAGAGAGGCAAGAGCUCAAGCUUGGGGAUGCCAAAGGAACCCCAAGUAAAUAUUCCAAGGAUACUCAAGCAUCUAAGCUUGGGGAUGCCCCGGUUGGCAUUCCAUCUUUCUUCUUCAACAAUUAUCGAUAUACCUCGGUUUUUGUUUUGAUCACAUGAUUUGUGUCCUUUGUGUUUUUGUUUCUCCUUUAAGAACCAUGCUAGUAUGAGAUAGCCCUUCAUUUAUGUAUAGAAUGCUUCAUGUGCUUCACUUAUAUCUUUUAAGUAUGAUCUUAUAGAAUUGCUCUUUGUGCUUCACUUAAAUCUUUUGAGUAUGGUUUUGUAGAAUGCUCCAUGAACAUCACUUAUAUCUUUUGGAGUAUGAAUAAUACUAUAAUCUCAAGUGGGGUUGGAAGAGUGUCAACUUUAGGAAUUAGUGAUCCCACUAUUUUGGAGGGUGUUGAAUCUUAGUGUGAUAUUUAUGAAAGUGGAUUUGGAAGGGUGUCAACUUUAGUUAGUAAUGAUGCCACUAUUUCGGAAGAGGUUCCAAUUGAUUAUGAGAACAAAGCUGCUAUCUAUGAUGAUUAUUGUGAUGGCAUGUAUGCUAUAAAUAAUAAUGUUAACCAUGAAACUUGUCAUCAUGAUUUUAAUUUUCAAUUGGAUUAUGCCUCACAUGACCGUUAUUUUGUUGAGUUUGCUCCCGUUAUUCUAAAUGAGAAAAAUUUUGCUUAUGUGGAGAGUAGAAAAAUUUCUAUGCUUGUAGAUCAUGAAAAGAAUUCUUUAUGUGAUGGUUAUAUUGUUGAAUUCAUUCAUGAUGCUACUGAAAAUUAUUAUGAGGGCGGAAUAUAUGAUUGUAGGAGUUGCAAUAAUAUCAAGUUUCCUCUCUAUGUGCUUAAAGUUUUGAAGUUAUCCUUGUUUCGCCUUCCUAUGAUAGUUGAUCCUUGUUCAAAAUUGUGUGCUAAAAAAAUCCCUAGGCAUAGGAAGUGGGUUAGGUUUAAAUGUGCUAGUCAUAUUCUUCAUGACGCUCUCUUUAUGUUCUAAUUCUUAUCUUUUAUGUGAGCAUCAUUGAAAUCAUCAUGCCUAGCUAAAAGGCGUUAAAGAAAAGCGCUUGUUGGGAGACAAACCAAUAUUUACCCUUACUAUUUUUGUGUGUUCACAUGAUUAAGCUACUGUAGUAAUCAUGUACUAUAGCUUUUGUUUCAAUAAAGUGCCAAGUAAGACCUUUGGGAAGACUUGGGUGAAAGUUAAUGUGGUCUUGCUGUAAAAAACUAAAACUUUGCGCUCACGAGAUUAGUUGUCAUUAUUUACAAAAGAGUGUGUUUGAGUUGAUUCUUUUUUCAUAAGAUUAAUAGAAAAAUUCCUCAUGUCCACCAAUUUAUUUCAUAAUAUUUUGAGUAGUAGAAGUAUGGUUUCUGUUCAGAUCAUUAUAGAUUGUUCUGUUUCUGACAAAUUGUGUUUUAUUGCAUAGUUUGCUUGUUUUCUAGUUUCUAUGGCUUAUAUAUCUCAAUAUAAAUUGUAGAAAUGAUAUGGUACAGUAGGCAUUGUGUUAGAAAAAUUAUGAACCUUGUCUUUGACUUUCCCAAAGUGAAUGGUUUACUCUUUAUCAUAGUAACCUAAUGAAGUUCCGUUAAGUUUUGUGUGAUUGAAGUUUUCAAGCUUUGGGUGAGAUGUCGAUAUGAGGAGAAUAAGGAGUGGAAAGACCCUAAUCUUGGGGAUGCCCAAGGUACCCCAAGGUAAUAUUCAAGGAAGACUCAAGCGCCUAAGCUUGGUGAUGCCCCGGAAGGCAUCCCCUCUUUCGUCUUCAAAACUAUCAGUAUACCUUACUCGGAGCUAUAUUUUUAUUCGUCACAUGAUAUGUGUUUUGCUUGUAGCGUAUUUUCAAUUUUACUUGCUGUUUGAAUAAAAUCAUUGGAUCUGAAAUCUUGAAUGAAAAAGAAUCCUCCCAUGGCUAGUUAAUGAUUUGACUACUCAGUGUUCUCCACUUAUAUCUUUUUGGAGUAGUUUGUUGUUUACUCACGUGCUUCACAUAUAUCAUAAAUCUGAAUUUAAAUAUGUUUCAUGUGCUUAUACCAUGGGGAGUAAUGACUUCACACAUAAUAAGUAUAGAUGGUAAAUUUAUUGAAAGUUAGCAAACGCAGAAUUGGUCACUUGAACAAUUCAUGAAAGAUUAUUAAAGGAAGAGAGAUUUCACAUAUAAAUAUAAUAUCUUGGACAUCUUUUGUAAUUGUGAGCACUCAUUAAAAUAUGACAUGCUAAAAGGUUUAUGUGGGACAAGGAAGACAACUUAAUGGGUUAUGUUUUCCUAUAUCUAAAACGUUGUAUUGUCUUGGAUCAUCCAACAUGUUGAGCUUGCCUUUCCCCCUCAUGCUAGCCAAAUUCUUUGCACCAAGUAGAGAUACUACUUGUGCUUCUAAAUAUCCUUAAACCCAGUUUUGCCAUGAGAGUCCACCAUAUCUAACUAUGGAUUGAGUAAGAUCCUUCAAGUAAGUUGUCAUUGCUGCAAGCAAUAAAAAUUGCUAUCUAAAUAUGUAUGAUCUAUUAGUAUGGAGAAAAUAAGCUUUAUACAAGCUUGUGAAACGAAAGGAAUAAAAGCGACAGAAUGCAUAAUAAAGGUCCCUAUCACUAGUGGCAAUAUAAAGUGACGUUAUUUUGCAUUAAGAUUUUGUCCAUCCAACCAUAAAAGUGCAUGACAACCUCUGCUUCCCUCUGCGAAGGGCCUAUCUUUUACUUUUACCUUCUACCCUUAUACAAGAGUCAUGGUGAUUUUCACCUUUCCUUUUUACACUUUUUCCUUUGGCAAGCACUUUGUGUUGGAGCGAUCUGGAUAUAUAUAUAUAUCCACUUGGAUGUAGGUUUUCAUAAAGUAUUAUUGUUGACAUUACCCUUGAGGUAAAAGGUUGGGAGGCGAAACUAUAAGCCCCUAUCUUUCUCUGUGUCCGUUUAAAACUUUGAACCCAUAAAUAUCACGUGAGUGUUAGCAAAUGUGAAAUAUUAAAUGACAGUUGAAUAUCUGGAGAUUGUUGAAUCAAAUCUCUUACGUAGACCCUUCCCGAAAUAAGAUGAAUUGCAAUUGUUUGAUGACUAAGAGCACGAUUUGUUAGUUUUCAAGAAAGUUUAUGAUCUAUACUUUAACAUGUGAAUAGCUUGUUACUUGAUCAUGAGAAGUUCAUGAGUUGAGCUACUGUUAUGAUAUAUAAUGAUGCUAGAAAAAGUGAUUGGAACUAUCAUUGAUCAAACUUAUGCACUUGGUAGCAUUCACACUUCAUAAAUUAUUUCUUUUAUUAUUUACCUACUCGAGGAUGAGCAGGAAUUAAGCUUGGGGAUGCUGAUAUGUCUCCAACGUAUCUAUAAUUUAUGAAGUAUUCAUGCCAUAUUAAUAAUAGUUUUAUAUGAUUUUGGUAUGAUUUUAUUAUAACUAACCUGGACUAACAUUGUUUUCAGCAAAACUACCGUGGUGUUGUUUUUGUGCAGAAAUAAAAGUUCUCGGAAUGCGCUGAAAAUCAAUGGAGAUUUUUUCUGGAAAAUAUAAAAAAUACUAGAACAAAGAGUUACCGGAGGGGAGUCCCAUGGGCUCCACGAGGGUGGGGGCGCACCCACAACCCUGGGGCGCGCCCUGUGCCUCGUGGACUUCUUGUGGGGCCCUCUGACUUGUUCUCGACGGCAACCUCUCCUAUAAAUACCCAAACCUCUAGAAAAUAAUCUAGAUCAGAAGUUCCACCGCCGCAAGCCUCUGUAGCCACGAGAAAUUAAUCUAGGCCCUCUCUGGCACCCUGCCGGAUGGGGCCAUCAUCAUCGGAGGCCAUGGAGGAGGAUCCUGGAGGGGCCAUCAUCGCCAUGAAGGCCAAGGAGCAGAGGGAGAACUACUCCCCAUCCAGGGGGAGGCCAUGGAGGAGGAAGCAUAAGGGGGAGAACCUCUCCUCUCUCUCGGUGGCGCCAGAGUGCCAUCGGGAGGGGAAUCAUUGCCACGGUUAUCGUCUUCAUAAACAUCAACAUCAUCAUCUCUUUUACGCGGUCCACUCUCUCGCACCCCACUGUAAUCCCUACUUGAACAUGGUGCUUUAUGCCACAUUUUAUUAUCCAAUGAUGUGUUGCCAUACUAUGAUGUUUUGAGUACAUAUCCUUUGUCUUUGGGUUGAUUGAUGAUCUAGAUUGGUAUGAGUUGUAUGUUUUAUUUUGGUGUUGUCCUAUUGUGCCCUCCGUGUCGCGCAAGUGUGAGGGAUUCCCGUUGUAGGGUGAGAUGGUGAGAUGUCCCAAUGUGAGAAGGAUCCGUCACGAGCCCUUUCAUGGUUUGAAAUCUACGCAAGAGUGAAGGUGGGGCCAAUUACUUGUGCUGCAACCUUUGAUCGUUCUUCAGAAAUAAAUUUAGUAAUGCAUUGAAGCUAGCGAUAGUAGAGCAUCCAGACCUAUGUAAGCUCACAUGGCAUGGAAAAUUUGUGACAAUAAAACAUCAAGUAGAGGUGCCUUUUGGAUUUUGUGGAUUUACCGAUUCGGUUUUAUGUGAUGUUCUUCCAUAUCAUAAAUAUGUGUGUAGCUUGAUACUUGGUGGAUCUUGGAUAAAAAAGAGGGAGCUGCAGAUUGAUAAAUCUGGCAAUUUUUCUUGGAGGAAAUUUAAGUUUCUUUGUCAAGGUCAGUGGGCCUAUUUUGAAGCAGACUCUUCCAAACAAUAUUUCGAGGAUCGUAAGAGGCGAGACCGUGCACAGGCUGCAACUGAUGCAAAGAAACAACAAGAGAAGAUGGUGUUGUUAGAAAAAUAAAAAAGGUUGAGGAUGGUGCCAUUGUUACUAAAAACAUUUCUGCACAUGAGGAGAAAAAAGAGAAGGUGGUAGUACCAAUGAGUGGGUUGAAUAUACAACUUACAUCAAGGGUACAUCAUGCAAGUUAAAAAUUGAUCGUGGUAGCUGCACUAAUGGCAUUAGCAAGAUGUUGGUGGAUAAGCUUGGUUUGUCGACAUGGCGAUAUUAUGAACCAUAUCAUUUGGAGUGGUUGAACAAUUGUGGGCAUCUCAAAAUUACACAUAAGGCACGUGUAACAUUUUCUGUUGGGAAGUAUGUCGAUGAGGUGGAAUGCGAUGUUUUACCAAUGGAAGUCUACAGUUUGUUACUAGGCCGGCCUUGGCAAUUUGACAGCAGUGCGCAACAUGCUGGAAGGACCAACAUAUACACUUUUAUUCAUAAUGGGAAGCAAAGGGCACUUAAAUCAAUGAAUGAAAAAUUAAUUCGCUCUGAUGUGCUAUUGACAGUGCAAAAGAAGAGGGCUCCCAAGAACAACAUGAAACUAAAGAUGGUUUCUCUUCAAGUGGAGUAGGAUGAUGUUCUUUCAGUAAACAAGGUCUCUAAAGAUACCACGAAGUAGUGGAUGACUUCGUUUUAAGAGGAAGUGGAUGAUGUGCCCAUCAACGUCAGUAUUAUUGCUGAGAAGACAUGCUCGACCAUAUAUAUUGGUCCAUGUGAAUUGCAUGUUUCAAGAUAUAAUCUUCGACAUGUGUUGUAGAUUGGUUCAUUUUGCAUUGAGGUUCCACCAAUUGAACCGAAGAAAGCUAUGGUGAAUCCAAACUUCAGGACUCCUCCAAAAUGAAUUCAUGUAGGCGUUUCUCCUGAUCGGUGAUCCAUAUAGAAACUCCAAGGCGUACAACAAAAAGUAUUUUUGUUUAUUUAGUACUAGGAAAUACGCAUGUGCGUCGCAACGGGAGAUAAACUAUCACAUUAUGCAGGUGUGGUAAAUAUAAAAAAGCCUGAAUCAAAUGCAAGGAUGAGAUAAGGACUUUUAAAAUGUCAUUUCACAAACUAUGUCUGAGUGAUGUCAUGAUGAGAUAGAGGACAUUUGGCGAGAGAAUGCAAAUCUCAGCGUGUGAUGAUUGCUACUGAAGAUGGUGGGUAUGAGUCCGCUAGCGACUAUGAUGAGGAGACUUUGGCUCUUAUUACACAUGAAGAACACGGUGGAGAUGAUUCUGAUCAUGAGAUGCAAUACAUGGCUGCUGAAGAUGCUAACAGGUAUGAAUGUUUAGUUGCUCAACGUGUUUUGAGUGUGCAGGUUACACAAGCUGAGAAAAAUCGGAGGCAUAAUUUGUUCCAUAUGAAGGGAGUUGUGAAGGAACAUUCUAUUCGCGUCAUCAUAGAUGGAAGGAGCUGCAACAACUUGGCUAGCAUGGAGAUGGUGGAGAAUAUAUCUCUCACCACAAGACCGCAUCCACAUCCUUACUACAUCCAAUGGUUCAACAACAGCGGCAAGGUUAAGGUAACACGUAUUGUUCAUGUGCACUUUAGUAUCUCUACAUAUGUUGAUUAUGUUGAUUGUGAUGUGGUUCCUAUGCAAGCAUGUUCCUUAUUACUUGGUAGACCAUGGUAAUUUGAUAAAAAAUUCUAUACACCAUGGUAGAAACAAUCAGUAUACUCUUGUUCGUAAGGACAAAAAUAUUACUCUGCUUCCUAUGACUCCUGAUUCCAUUUUGAAAGAUGAUAUUAAUAGAGCUAAUAAAGCAAAUCAGGAGAAACAUAAGAGUGAAAAUCAGAUUGUGGCAAAAGAAUUUGAGCAAAAAAAUGAAGCCUAAUAAUAAACCAUCUAGUAUUGCUUCAGAAAUUAAAUUGAAAAAUGCAUGUUUACUUGCCACCAAAUCUGACAUUGAUGAUCUAGAUUUCAGCAAAUCUGUUUGCUAUGCUUUUGUGUGCAAAGAGGCGUUAUUUUCUUUCGAGGAUGUACCUUCCUAUUUGCCUCCUACCGUCACUAAUAUUUUGCAGGAGUUCGCUUGUAGCGACCCGACCUCAGACGGUCAAGCCUCUGUGUAUCUGUGCCAUCCCUGGAUCGGUAUGCUGGCACACACAUCACAUCAAUGUAUAUAUCAAAAUGCAAUCACAUGUAUAAAUAACGUAAAACUGAUAUAUACCUCAUAAGUCUCAGCGGAAACAAAUAUUCGGGUGUGGAGUCCCAUCAACGCCAUCGGCAGGUUGAGUGUAGACCGUAACCCUAUGACAUAACUCCUACUCGUCGGAAGAAACAUAUCUGCAACAUGAGACGUUGCAGCCGUGUAGGUCAGUACAUUGAAUGUACCGGCAAGAUCAGAAUAAGAGAAAACAAAUGAUAAACUAUACUAUAUGCAAUAUGGCUUUGUGGUUCUGUAUCUGAGUUUUGUUUGCAUAAAAGAUGGUUCUAUUUUCCCUACAACAAAGGAAUAUCGGGAGUCUAUACUACGGAGUUUUCUGUCAUGACAUGGUUCCGCCAACCGAUGUCUCAUAGCCCAAAUCAUCAUAAGUUGCCCACGAUUAAUUUAGCAGUCCAGUGUUGAGAGUUCCGAGAUAGAUCCAAGUCCAGAGGCUCAAAUUGUCCGUAACCGGGGACACGGCUAAUCGAUUAGGUUUUAACCCUCUGCAGAGGUUUGUACACUUUACCUGGAAGAUUCGAUCCCUCUCUUUACAUUCUCGCACUUCAGGGUGUUUGAGAACAAUAUGACCGAAACAUGGUCUUCCGAAGAGUUCCUCUGAUCACUGUCCGGUGCUCAUCCAAUCCUACCGUAGUUCUACAUCUGCUAGCACUGUCCCAGCCAGAGUCACAACUAAGGUCAACCAAGCCAGAGCCCAUAGUGACUUGCGGUUGCACAGGUAAGCUUCCGGGCAUGAAGUAUUCUUCCGUCUCUUUGAGUCUGAGUGAAGCUUUCCGCAAGAUGUCAUGGCGCUUCUCCAUGCAUCCCGGCCAACCACUGGUUUCUCCAGGGUGCCCGUCAACCGUCCUUCAUCCAGUAGUGUGUAUUGAAUUCUUGUCUCGAGUCUCGAAAUCUUGAAGAGUACUGAAGAUGCAGUCCUUGCAGAUGCCAUCAUGAAGUUGUCGUCUUUGACGUAAAGUCCUUCAUUCUCACACCACUCCCGAGCACUCAUACCAAACCCCGUCUACUACAACGUAGCAUUAAAACUAUAUACAUCUCGGGCUUGGUAACAGGGAGGUGGGUUCCUACCUCAUGCAUUCCACUCAACUACAAGAAUCAAUAUCACUACUGGAGAAGUUGUUGCAUGGAUGACACUAAAUGCAAUAAAAAUAUAGGUAUGAAAAACAUGGUCAAAGUGAACUUGCCUGGUAUUACUUGAUGAAGAUAAUAAUAACGCUCUCAGAAACUUGAUAAGAUUAUAUGCAACUCUCCGAUGAAAUCUAUAAUAAUAAACAUGGCAUUCACAUAAGCAAUCAUUCUAUCACCCAAAAUAACAAUCAAAACAACAAGGAAACUCAAAUAUAGAACUCAAACCAAUUCCAAAGAAAACUCGAGGAAAACAAAAUCAAGGUUUUCAUCACUUCAAGCAACAACAAAGAAAUAGUUUUAUCCUACUAAUACUUUUCUUAACAGAACCAAAACAAGGGUUUUGCUAACUAACAUAAAGGAAAACAGCAUAUAUAGUAGGUGCAAAAGAAUCACAUCAAUAUCUAUUAUAGAACUCCUGUUAUGCCUAAAACAAAACUAUUAAGAAAAUAAAAUAAAACUUUUUAUUUUGCUGUAAGUAAAUGGUCACCCUCUGUAACUACAGAAACUAAUCAAAAAUAAAAUAUAACAUAGGUAAAAUAUAGAUUUAAAAAUAACUAGAACAGCAGAAAACAACAGCAAACUAAAUAAACUAGAAAAACUUGUUUUCGCAUAGAAACUAUUUUUAAUAAAGACUAUAAAUGCCCAAAUAAAUUCCUACUGGUAUGCAAGGUUAAAACAAAUCAGUGACAAAAAGAAUCACUAAAAUAAAAUAAUCCUAACUCAAUUUAUAGCAGAAAAACGAAUCUGACUAAACUAAUAUAACACAAUUUUUAAAAACCUAAACAUGGUCGAAUCUAAUUUUCUACAGCAACUAUAGGAAAUUUCCAAACUAGAGUAAAAAGAAUCAACUAAAAAUAUUAAAUAACUUAAAAGAUAUAGAUUUUUCAAGAUUGGAACUAUUCUGUUUUAAAAACAGAAACUAAAAUAAAACUAAAACAACUAACGCGCUAACGGGCCGAAACAGUGAGCGCUCUAAAACUAUCUAACGCGCGAGCGAUCUUUAACUGAACCGUAAAUGGGCUAGCAGAAUAAACCGAUCGGGCCGGUCUACCUAAACCUAGUAAAUAAACCGGAAACAAACCGUGAAAUAAAAUCGGUCUAAAAAAACUACCCAUUCGCGAGUCUAAUCUAAGCCGUACAUGCGAGAUCUAAUGGUGGAGGAGGGGAGAGGGGCUCACCGCGGCGGCGGCGGUGCAGUCCGGUGAGGUCGACGGCGGUGGCGGCUUCGGAUGCGGCCGGGGAAGGUGCUCCGGUUGCUCCCGAGCUCCGGAGUUUUGCUCCCGAGACGGAGACAACGACGAGGAGGCGAUUGGCAAAGGCGGCGGAGCUCGAAGGUGGCUAACGGUGGCGGAACGGGCGACGGCGUGCAACGGCGGCUUCAGAUUCCAGCGAGCCAAAGCGGCUGCGGUGAGGCGAGAGGGGGAGGGGUCUAGGGGGGAACGGGGUGCGGCGGGGCUGGGCUAUUUAUAGGAGGGUUCGGGCGGCAACAGAGGCAAGGGACAGGCGCGUCCCGGAUCUCCGGCGAGAUCCCGGCGAGGUGGGGAGAGGCGCGAGCCGAAGGAAGGCGACCGCGGGGAUGGCGGGAUCGGUCGGUGGGACCGACCUGCCUGUGAGAGGGAGGUGGCGGAAACGGAUCGGUUGGUCGAUCCGUUCGAGAUUAGGGCGCGGCGCUCGCGGGAUUGGGCCGGAUCUGUUGCUGGGCCACGCGGCGGUUUCCUAUUAAAAGAAAACUUUCCUAAUUUUGAUUAUCUAGCGAAGAGAAAAAGUAAUAAAAGAUAAUAAAUAAACUUUCCUAUAUACAUAUUAUAUAUCAAAAUCUUCAUAAAAAGAUUUCCUAAAAUGUGAACAUAUUUUAAGAGACAAAUAAAAUACAUAUAAAUUCACAAAAUUCAAACAGUGCUGCCGUUGCAAUAAAGCACAAUAAAAAUCAUUUUUUAAAAUAUCAAAAUUAUUUCAAAUUUAACUUUCUCCAUUAUUUCUAAUGUAGGGAAUCAUUUUACCCUAUUUUCCAUAUAGUUUAAUUUUGGAGAAAAAUAUUUUGAAAUGAAACCAAAUAACUCCAAAUGGUUUUGAAUUUAAAAUUCAAACCAUCUUCAAACUUCCAACUCAUAUUUCAUAUACUUGGAAGAAGUCAUGUUUUCUUCACUCAAGGUUAUUGUGAUGAAAUGAAUUUGAAUUUCAUUGAUAUCAAGUGCAAGGAUGAAAGUUUGGGAAGUCAUUUCAUUCCCUCUCAUUUAACUUUCAAAAAAAAUUCACAUUUCACUCAAUCAAUCACUCAUCAAUCAAUCAAACAAUCAUAUAUUUUAAUUAUUAUAACAUUCCAAAAAUUAGAAUUUUGGGAUGUUACAAACUACCACACUUAAAAUGAAUCUCGUCCUCGAGAUUCGAAGAGGCUAGCAAGAAAAGGUUAGGGUUGGGGGUCUUCUAGCAAAUCUUUUGGCCGGAAAGGUCACGGGUGCUACCACACUUAAAAUGAAAUGCACUAGUUCAUCCAUAAAUCAUAUUAUUUUCAUAUCAUAUCUUUUAUUACCUCCUUAACCAUUUUUCAUAAAUCCAAAUUCCAAAGAAAUACUUUAUUACAAAUGCCGCCAUCCACAUGGUUUGGUAUGGUCAAGCAUUACUUCCCACUUUAUUCAUUUUUCCUCCUUGAGGAUUCUUCAGUCCCACUGGAAUUGUGCGACAUGCGCCUUGAAAUCUUCAACCUUCUGUUUCAUUGUGGUGGCCUUGAGCUUCAUUUCCAUCAUCUCUGCAUGCACUUCUCUUAGGUAUUCCUGAGUAUAACGGAGUCUUGCUUCAAGUAUAUCUCCGAUCUGGCAUAUGGCUUCCAUGGCUGCUUCACGAACAACGUCGAAGAAAGUUGCUUGUGGUACACGUGAGAUGAAAAAGUACUGCCCCAUUGUCUUUGGGCAAACUCCUUUCAUUCGGUGGAGGUGUACCUCCACAUACCAAAGUUCCACUCCCUUUUGCAUGAAGGGGUAGCCUUUGUAGACUGCAUCUCCUUCAAGGUGAAUAUGCUUCAUCAUGUCCUUCAGGAUCUUCGGGUAAUCAUGAUCACUUGUUAGGGUCAUGAUCGUUUCCGGACCUUUAAGGAAAGAUUCAUAAAGGGUCGUCAUCUGCGGUUGUAAAACAAAAAUGGUGCUCAGAAUAAGGUACAUAUCUCCUUGGGUACACAUUCAUAUCAUCCAAACAAAACUUCAAACUCAAUUUCCAACAUCCAGUUUAUGCAUCACAACUCAUUUUCUUCCAUGUUCACCCAGAAUAUUAAUUUCCAAGAUAAAACAUAACAACUCCUUAAAACCUUUCAGCAUAUGACAUAUCAACUUUAUUGAGUCAUGAAUUAUUACAAUCUCUGAGUAAUCUAUUACAUAACUCAACCCGGCAUUCUCAUGAAAAAGUGUUUUCCUUACUACCCUUAUUACUGAUAUCAACAUCUCCACUACUCAGCUCUAGCUUUCUCAUGAUUUGAACAAUCCCUAGCAAAAUGUCCCGCUUCCUUGCAACGAAAACAAAUAACUUCCGGCAUGUCUCGAGGCUUCUUGGUGAUGGUGCCUGCUCCUUGAGUUCCUUGCUUCCUUUCGAGACAAUCAUUGGCAUAAUGCCCGACGUCCUUACAUUCAAAACAGGUAAUAUGACUCUUGUCCCUCUUUGCAGAAAUUGGGUUGUUCUGAGGGUGUCUUUGUUUUCUCUUCCUGGUUUUCUUCGUUCUGAUCAAAUGCUCUAUUCCCCGUGGAUCAAACUCCACUGCUUCUGUCGGGAAGUAUCCCAGAUACUCUUUUCUUUCCUUGGUGCAAUACUGUGAAAAAUGUCCUUCUUCUCCACAUGAAUAACAGGCAUUGGAGUAAAAUCUAUUGAGGCUUUCUCCAUCAGGGUCUUCAACACUUUCCUUAAUCACAUGUUCUUUCAUAACUUCUCGGAAGGCUUCUGUCAUUCCUUCUUCUUGCCUCUGAAUAAUUUGUUGCAUCGUGGUGUAAAUGUGACACUGAGCUGGGUAGUGGGUGGUUUCUUCACACAAGAAACAAGUCACCUGACUAGGGCAUUCCUCAGCUGGGUGUUUCUCCUCACAAUGAGGGCAUCCAUCCUUGUGUUCCUCCUUGGUGUGUCCUAUUUCUUCGCAAAUCUUGCAGGCACAAGGUUUAUUUCUUGGGAUAUCAUGGUGCUUCCGGAUAAGACGAGAUCUUGUCAGAGUCUUCUUGAAUUCUUCCCAAGUCCUUGCUCCAUUCCAUCCCUGUAUAGCUUGAUGCAUCUGCCACCAUGUUGCAGCACUUCCUUCAAAGCACUGAAUAGCAUACGAUACUUCAUUCUUCCUUGAAACCAAAUUGCUCCCGAAGUGAUUCUCCAUGUUCUGAAUCCAUAGCUCUGCCUCCGGCUGGGUUUUCGGUCCAGAGAAUACCAGUCCAACUUCAUUCAUCAUCUACUGGGUCCAAGGGUUUUAGGGUGAGAUAAGAGAGAGGUGGGGAGGAAUAUACACAAUACAAACAAUAGUUUUGAAAAUGGGUUUUAUUUGGGGCUGUCGGAAAAACAUCAAACAAAUGACAGCUCACAAAUCGUCGCAUCUAACGUAAGUAUAUAACAUGGGUUUGGUCUUCUAAAGGUCAAAUAAUUCUUCAGAUUCUUCAAGUCUUCGGAGUCUUCAACUGUUGUAGCUUUAACUCUUCUAAUGCAUGGUGAAAUCCUAUUUACUCCGAAAUGGUCAUCGGUUGUCCGAUAUCUUGUCCUUCUUGGAGCGGCUUUAGUUGAUCCUCCGUGUGUUCAAAAGGAAAGGGGUAUAUUCUAACUAUUUGAAGUAAGAGAGGUUAUUUGAUAAAAUCGGAAAAGAUGAGAAGUAAUAGAUUCUUUUGAAAAUAAAGUUUUUAGAGAUUUCCUGUCCUAGGGGCUUUCCGAUUUCUAGGGUCACGUCCUACAGUCAACAUGUGCUCUGAUACCAUAUCUCUAGCGACCCGACCUCAGACGGUCAAGCCUCUGUGUAUCUGUGCCAUCCCUGGAUCGGUAUGCUGGCACACAAAGUACAUCAAUGUAUAUAUCAAAAUGCAAUCACAUGUAUAAAUAACGUAAAACUGAUAUAUACCUCAUAAGUCUCAGCGGAAACAAAUAAUCGGGUGUGGAGUCCCAUCAACACCAUCGGCAGGUUGAGUGUAGACCGUAACCCUAUGACGUAACACUUACUCGUCGGAAGAAACAUAUCUGCAACACGAGACGUUGCAGCCGUGUAGGUCAGUACAUUGAAUGUACCGACAAGAUCACAAUAAGAGAAAACAAAUGAUAAACUAUACUAUAUGCAAUAUGGCUUUGUGGUUCUGUAUCUGAGUUUUGUUUGCAUAAAAGCUGGUUCUAUUUUCCCUACAACAAAGGAAUAUCGGGAGUCUGUACUACGGAGUUUUCUGUCAUGACAUGGUUCCGCCAACCGAUGUCUCAUAGCCCAAAUCAUCAUAAGUUGCCCACGAUUAAUUUAGCAGUCCAGUGUUGAGAGUUCCGAGAUAGAUCCAAGUCCAGAGGCUCAAAUUGUCCGUAACCGGGGACACGGCUAAUCGAUUUGGUUUUAACCCUCUGCAGAGGUUUGUACACUUUACCUGCAAGAUUUGAUCCCUCUCUUUACAUUCUCGCACUUCAGGGUGUUUGAGAACAAGAUGACCGAAACAUGGUCUUCCGAAGAGUUCCUCUGACCACUGUCCGGUGCUCAUCCAAUCCUACCGUAGUUCUACAUCUGCUAGCACCGUCCCAGCCAGAGUCACAACUAAGGUCAACCAAGCCAGAGCCCAUAGUGACUUGCGGUUGCACAGGUAAGCUUCCGGGCAUGAAGUAUUCUUCCGUCUCUUUGAGUCUGAGUGAAGCUUUCCGCAAGAUGUCAUGGCGCUUCUCCAUGCAUCCCGGCCAACCACUGGUUUCUCCAGGGUGCCCGUCAACCGUCCUUCACCCAGUAGUGUGUAUUGAAUUCUUGUCUCGAGUCUCGAAAUCUUGAAGAGUACUGAAGAUGCAGUCCUUGCAGAUGCCAUCAUGAAGUUGUCGUCUUUGACGUAAAGUCCUUCAUUCUCACACCACUCCCAAGCACUCAUACCAAACCCCGUCUACUACAGCAUAGCAUUAAAACUACAUACGUCUCGGGCUUGGUAACAGGGAGGUGGGUUCCUACCUCAUGCAUUCUACUCAACUACAAGAAUCAAUAUCACUACUGGAGAAGUUGUUGCAAGGAUGACACUAAAUGCAAUAAAAAUAUAGGUAUGAAAAACAUGGUCAAAGUGAACUUGCCUGGUAUUACUUGAUGAAGAUAAUAAUAACGCUCUCAGAAACUUGAUAAGAUUAUACGCAACUCUCCGAUGAAAUCUAUAAUAAUAAACAUGGCAUUCACAUAAGCAAUCUCUUGCCGGUACAUUCAAUGUACUGACCUACAUGGCUGCAACGUCUCAUGUUGUAGAUAUGUUUCUUCCGACGAGUAAGAGUUACGUCAUAGGGUUACGGUCUACACUCAACCUGCGGAUGGCGUUGAUGGGACUCCACACCCGAUUAUUUGUUUCCGCUGAGACUUAUGAGGUAUAUAUCAGUUUUACGUUAUUUAUACAUGUGAUUGCACUCUGAUAUAUACAUUGAUGUACUGUGUGUGCCAGCAUAACGAUCCAGGGAUGGCACAGAUACACAGAGGCUUAACCAUCUGAGGUUGGGUCGCUACAGAGGCAAGGGACAGGCGCGUCCCGGAUCUCCGGUGAGAUCCCGGCGAGGGGGGGAGAGGCGCGAGCCGGAGGAAGGCGACCGCGGGGAUGGCGGGAUCGGUCAGUGGGACCGACCUGCCUGUGAGAGGGAGGUGGCGGAAACGGAUCUGUUGGUCGAUCCGUUGGAGAUUCGGGCGCGGCGGUCGCGGGAUUGGGCCGGAUGUGUUGCUGGGCCACGCGGAGGUUUCCUAUUAAAAGAAAACUUUCCUAAUUUUGAUUAUCCAGCAAAGAGAAAAAGUAAUAAAAGAUAAUAAAUAAACUUUCCUAUAUACAUAUUAUAUAUCAAAAUCUUCAUAAAAAGAUUUCCUAAAACGUGAACAUAUUUUAAGAGACAAAUAAAAUACAUAUAAAUUCACAAAAUUCAAAAAGUGUUGCCAUUGCAAUAAAACACAAUAAAAACAUUUUUUAAAAUAUCAAAAUUAUUUCAAAUUUAACUUUCUCCAUUAUUUCUAAUGUAGGGAGUCAUUUUACCCUAUUUUCCAUAUAGUUUAAUUUUGGAGAAAAAUAAUUUGAAAUAAAACCAAAUAACUCCAAAUGGUUUUGAAUUUAAAAUUCAAACCAUCUUCAAACUUCCAACUCAUAUUUCAUAUACUUGGAAGAAGUCAUGUUUUCUUCACUCAAGGUUAUUGUGAUGAAAUGAAUUUGAAUUUCAUUGAGAUAAAAUGCAAGGAUGAAAGUUUGGGAAGUCAUUUCAUUCCCUCUCAUUUAACUUUCAAAAAAAAAAAUCAAAUUUCACUCAAUCAAUCACUCAUCAAUCAAUCAAACAAUCAUAUAUUUUAAUUAUUCUAACAUUCCAAAAUUUAGAGUUUUGGGAUGUUACAUCGCUGACAUCUUUCCAAAAGACGUGCCACCAGGAUUACCACCUAUUCGAGGGAUUGAGCAUCAGAUUGACUUAAUUACCGGUGCUUCGCUGCCUAGCCGUGCGCCAUACCGUACCAAUCCAGAGGAGAUGAAGGAGAUUAUGCACCAAGUACAGGAGCUGCUCGACAAAGGUUAUAUACGCGAAUCUCAUAGUCCUUGUGAUGUUCCUAUUAUACUAGUGCCCAAAAAGGAUGGUACAUCGCGUAUGUGUGUUGAUUGGAGAGGCAUUAAUAAUAUUACUAUUCGUUAUCGUCAUCCUAUUCGUAGGCUAGACGACAUGCUUGAUGAAUUGAGUGGCUCUACAAUAUUCUCCAAAGUUGAUUUGCGUAGUGGAUACCAUCAAAUUUGUAUGAAAUUGGGAGAUGAAUGGAAAACAACAUUUAAAACUAAGUUUGAAUUAUAUGAGUGGUUAGUCAUGCCUUUUGGGUUAACGAAUGCACCUAGUACUUUCAUGAGAUUAAUGAACGAAGUUUUACGUGCUUUCAUUGGACGAUUUGUGGUAGUCUAUUUUGAUGAUAUACUGAUUUAUAGCAGAUAUUUGGAGGAACAUUUGGAACAUUUAUGUGUUGUUUUUAUUGCUCUACGUGAUGCAUGUUUGUUUGGUAACCUUAGGAAGUGUACCUUCUGCACCGACCGAGUAUCUUUUCUUGGCUAUGUUGUUACUCCACAGGGAAUUGAAGUUGAUAAAGCCAAGAUUGAAGCUAUUGAGAGUUGGCUGCAGCCCAAAAUGGUCACACAAGUGAGGAGUUUUCUUGGCCUCGCUGGAUUCUAUAGGCGUUUUGUGAGAGUUUUCAGCACCAUUGUUGCACCUCUCAAUGAGCUUACAAAGAAGGAUGUACCUUUUGUUUGGGGUACUACACAGGAAGAAGCCUUCACGGUAUUGAAAGAUAAGUUGACACAUGCUCCUUUACUCCAACUUCCUGAUAUUAGUAAGAUAUUUGAGCUUGAAUGUGAUGCUAGUGGAAUUGGAUUAGGAGGUGUGUUAUUACAAGAUGGCAAACCUGUUGCAUACUUUUCUGAAAAAUUGAGUGGGCCUAGUCUGAAUUAUUCUACUUAUGAUAAAGAAUUAUAUGCUCUUGUUCGGACUUUACAAACAUGGCAACAUUAUUUAUGGCCCAAAGAAUUUUGUAUACAUUCUGAUCAUGAAUCAUUGAAACAUAUUAAAAUUCAAGCUAAACUGAAUCGUAGACAUGCUAAAUGGGUUGAAUUCAUUGAGACUUUCCCCUAUGUCAUUAAACACAAGAAGGGCAAAGAAAAUGUUAUUGCUGAUGCAUUGUCUCGUCGCUAUACUAUGCUUUCACAACUUGACUUCAAAUUAUUUGAUUUGGAGACCAUCAAAGAUCAAUAUGUGCAUGAUGCUGAUUUUAAAGAUGUAAUGCAGAAUUGUGAAGAAGGAAGAACGUGGAACAAGUUUGUCGUUAAUGAUGGAUUUGUGUUCCGUGCUAACAAGCUAUGCAUUCCAGCUAGCUCCGUUCGUCUUUUGUUGUUGCAGGAGGCGCAUGGAGGAGGAUUAAUGGGACACUUUGGCGUGAAGAAGGCGGAGGACAUACUUGCUACACAUUUCUUUUCGCCAAAGAUGAGACGGGAUGUUGAGCGUUUUGUUGCUCGCUGCACUACAUGUCAAAAAGCUAAGUCUCGACUCAAUCCUUAUGGUUUAUAUAUGCCUUUGCCUGUACCUAGUGUUCCUUGGGAGGAUAUAUCUAUGGACUUUAUUUUAGGUUUACCUCGAAAAAAGAAGGGGAGGGAUAGCAUAUUUGUUGUCGUGGAUAGAUUCUCGAAAAUGGCACACUUUAUACCAUGUCAUAAAAGCGAUGAUGAUGUUAAUGUGGCUAAUUUGUUCUUUCGUGAAAUUAUUCGCUUGCAUGGUGUGCCAAAUACUAUUGUUUCAGAUCAUGAUACUAAAUUUCUUAGCCACUUUUGGAGAUUUUUAUGGGCUAAGUUGGGGACUAAACUGCUUUUUAGUACUACUUGUCACCCCCAAACUGAUGGACAAACUGAAGUAGUCAAUAGAACAUUGUCUACUAUGCUUAGGGUUGUUUUGAAGAAUAAUAAGAAAAUGUGGGAAGAAUGCUUGCCUCAUAUUGAAUUUUCUUAUAAUCGUUCAUUGCAUUCUACUACUAAGAUGUGCCCUUUCGAAAUUGUGUAUGGUUUCCUACCUCAUGCACCUAUUGAUUUGUUGCCUCUUCCAUCUUCGGAGAAGGUUAAUUUUGAUGCUAAAGAACAUGCUGAAUUGAUUUUAAAAAUGCAUGAGUUAACUAAGGAAAACAUUGAGCGUUUGAAUGCUAAGUAUAUACCUGCUGGAGAUAAGGGUAGAAAACAUGUUGUGUUUGCACCUGGAGAUCUUGCUUGGUUACAUUUGUGUAAGGAUAUAUUUCCUAAUUUGCACCAAUCAAAGCUAAUGCCACGUGUUGAUGGUCCUUUUAAGAUGUUAGAGAAAAUAAAUGAUAAUGCAUAUAAACUUGAGUUGCCUGCAGAUUUUGGGGUUAGUACCACUUUUAACAUUGCAGAUUUGAAGCCUUAUUUGGGUGAGGAAGAUGAGCUUCCGUCGAGGACGUCUUCAUUUCAAGAAGGGGAGGAUGAUGAGGACAUCAAUACCAUUGUUACACCCACAGCCCCUGGUGCUAUACAUACUGGACCAAUUACUAGAGCUCGUGAACGCCAAUUAAAUUACAAGGUACUUCCAUUUCUUGGUAACGAUUCUAAUGUUCAUGAGAAUAUGAUGCUGCCUAAAUUGGAUAAAUAUGUUUUGCUUACAAAUGAAGGGCCUAGCUUGGACAAGGAAGAUGAACCUUGGAGCAAGUUCAAGCAUGGAGAUGAUGGCGUGCACAAGGGGAACAAGAACGAAGUUACACGUGAUGAUUCCAGGACUUUGAAGCCACCAUAAUGAGUGCAUGAAGCCUUGGACGAAAUAUAAAAGAUGUCAUUUCAUAAAUUUUGUCUAGAGGCUAUUCUAGGUGCGGCGUCACCUUAUUUUUGGGCCAGGCCCAUGUAAUUUCGAAAUACUUGAUUAUAGGUUGUUCUUAGAGUCCGUAUGUGUGGGGAAACAAGAGUUAGGGUUGGUUUUGGACCCCUCCUCCAAGGGACACGAAAUUCCCCCCUCUCUCCUCCAUAUAUACAGCCCUUAGGGCAUCGUUUAGACUUCGGGUUUUGUUUAGAUUAAAGUUCGCUAUAGCUACAACUUUGCGUCCUUUGUUUGUGUUCAACAACCAGACAAAGGCGUCACAGAACCCCACCUUGAUCAAUAAAUCUUUCCUCUUAUAUUCGCAAAUCCAGAUUGCAAUCUUAGUUUCUUGCUUGUUCUUCGUUUGCCUGCAGGAAAUAGACCUUCGUGGUCAGGUUGAUCGUGCUCCGGCGUGGUAAAUAACCUCUCGAAGUUGGUUUAGCGAUUGCUAAGGAGCGACGUCCUCGCACGUUCAUAGUUGGAUCGUCAAAGUCGACCUCCUCCAAAACGAUAGCCACCAUCACAUCGAAAGACGGGACACCUUUGCCUCUAUCACAUUGGCCCUUCCUUUUGAAGGAAAUUCGAGAGAUUACAUUGAUUGUAGACAUUAGUCCCCCUGGCAAGGACAAACAUAGCUUUGUGUAUAUGAUUUAUGAUCCAGGAAUUCCUAUUUCUUCGUAAAUUCAAAAAAAAUCCAGCGGCUACAAGCCUUAUACUCCUUGUUUUUGUCGUCUGGCAUGCUGUAACUUACGUGUGUGACAGCCAAGAACCAAAGGGCAUUCCUGGCAUCAAUCAAUAUAUACGUGGAAACAAUAUCUCCAGCAUCGAGGACACAAAAUUUCGGGGCGGUUCGGCAAAAAGCGUCACGGGAAAGUGAAAUUCUUUCAAGGACUGCCAUAUAAUGGACUAGUGUUCACUAAAACGGUCAUAACUUUGUCAUUCGGAGUCCGUUUCGGACACACAAAUAUUCAAAAUGCUCGCGGCGAGCGUGCGAAUCCAGAAAAUACUCCCAACUUGCACCAGGAGGCAUGGGGUGCCUCCAAAUUCAGCCUUAAGGAGGACUUUUUGGCCCUAAAAGUCAAAUAACAUCAUUCACCGCUCCUUUUCGGACAAGUUUCUGAACCCAUUGGCCCUUCCUUUUCAAGAAAAUUCAAGAGAUUAUGUAGAUUUUAGACAUUAGCCCCCCUGGCAAGGACAAACGUAGCUUUGUGCAGAUGAUUUAUGAUCUGGGAAUUCCUAUUUCUUCGUAAAUUCAAGAAAAUCCAGCGGCCUUGUUUUCGUCGUGUGGCAUGCUGUAACUUACGUGUGUGACAACCAAGAACCAAAGGGCAUUCCUGGCAUCGGUCAAUAUAUACGUGGAAACAUUAUCUCCAGCAUUGAGGACACAAACUUUCGGGAUGGUUCGGUGAAAAGCGUCACGGGAAAGUGAAAUUCUUUCAAGGACUGCCAUAUAAUGGACCGGUGUUCACUAAUACGGUCAUAAAUUUGUCAUUCCGAGUCCGUUUCGGACCCACAAAUACUCAAAAUGCUCGCGGUGAGCGUGCGAAUCCAGAAGAUACUCCUGCCUUGCGCAAGGAGGACCGGGUGCCUUCAAAUUCGGCCUUAAGGAGGACUUUUUGGCCCUGAAUGUCAAAUAACAUCAUUCACCGCUCCUUUUCGGACAAGUUUCUAAACCCAUUGGCCCUUUCUUUUAAAGGAACUUCAAGAGAUUACGUUGAUUGUAGACAUUAGUCCCCCUGGCAAGGACAAACGUAGCUUUGUGCACAUGAUUUAUGAUCCGGGAAUUCCUAUUUCUUCGUAAAUUCAAGAAAAUCCAGUGGCUACAAGCCUUAUACUCCUUGUUUUCGUCGUGUGGCAUGUUGUAACUUACGUGUGUGACAGCCAAGAACCAAAGGGCAUUCCUGGCAUCGGUCAAUAUAUAAGUGGAAACAAUAUCUCCAGCAUCAAGGACACAAAAUUUCGGGGCGGUUCGGCAAAAAGCGUCAUGGGAAAGUGAAAUUCUUUCAAGGACUGCCAUAUAAUGGACCGGUGUUCACUAAAACGAUCAUAACUUUGUCAUUCAGAGUCUGUUUCGGAGCCACAAAUAAUCAAAAUGCUCCCGGCGAGCGUGCAAAUCCAGAAAAUACUCCCGACUUGCGCCAGGAGGCCCGGGGUACCUUCAAAUUCGGCCAUAAGGAGGACUUUUUGGCCCUGAAAGUCAAAUAACAUCAUUCGCCGCUCCUUUUCGGACAAGUUUCUGAACCCAUUAACCCUUCCUUUUCAAGGAAAUUCCAGAGAUUACGUUGAUUUUAGACAUUAGUCCCCCUAGCAAGGACAAACAUAGCUUUGUGCAGAUGAUUUAUGAUCUGGAAUUCCUAUUUCUUCAUAAAUUCAAGAAAAUCCAGCGGCCUUGUUUUCACCGUGUGGCAUGUUGUAACUUACGUGUGUGACAUCCAAGAACCAAAGGGCAUUCCUGGCAUCGGUCAAUAUAUACGUGGAAACAUUAUCUCCAGUUGAGGACACAAACUUUCGGGGCGGUUCGGCGAAAAGCGUCAUGGGAAAGUGAAAUUCUUUCAAAGACUGCCAUAUAAUGGAUCGGGAUUCACUAAUACGGUCAUAACUUUGUCAUUCGGAGUCCGUUUCGGACACACAAAUACUCAAAAUGCUCGCGGCGAGUGUUUUAAUCGAUAAGAUACUCCCGGCUUGCGGAAGGAGGACCAGGGUGCCUUCAAAUUCGGCCUUAAGGAGGACUUUUUGGCCCUGAAAGUCAAAUAACAUCAUUCACCGCUCCUUUUCGGACAAGUUUCUGAACCCAUUGGCCCUUCCUUUUGAAGGAAAUUCAAGAGAUUAUGUUGAUUGUAGACAUUAGUCCCCCUGGAAAGGGCAAACGUAGCUUUGUGCACAUGAUUUAUGAUCCGAGAAUUCCUAUUUCUUCGUAAAUUCAAGAAAAUCUAACGGCUACAAGCCUUAUACUCCUUGUUUUCGCUGUGGGGCAUGCUGUAACUUACAUGUGUGACGGCCAAGAACCAAAGGGCAAUCUAGGCAUCGGGCAAUAUAUACGUGGAAACAAUAUCAACAGCAUCGAGGACACAAAAUUUCGGGGCGGUUUGCAGAAAGCCUCAUGGGAAAGUGAAAUUCUUUCAAGGACUGCCAUAGAUUGCACUGGUGUUCACUAAAACGAUCAUAACUUUGUCAUUCGGAGUCCGUUUCGGACCCACAAAUACUCAAAAUGCUCCCGGCGAGUGUGUGAAUCCAUAAAAGACUCCCCGCUUGCACCAGGAGGCCCGGGGUGCCUUCAAAUUCAGCCUUAAGGAGGACUUUUUGGACCUGAAAGUCAAAUAACAUCAUUCGCCGCUCCUUUUCAGACAAGUUUCUGAGCCCAUUGGCCCUUCCUUUUGAUGGAAAUUCGAGAGAUUAUGUUGAUUGUAGACAUUAGUCCCCCUGGCUAGGACAAACAUAGCUUCGUGCAUAUGAUUUAUUAUCCAGCAAUUCAAAUUUCUUUGAAAAUUCAAGAAAAUCCAAGGGCUACAAGCCUUAUACUCCUUGUUUUCGCCGUGGGGCAUGCUGUAACUUACGUGUGUGAAAGCCAAGAACCAAAGGGCAUUCCUGGCAUUGUUCAAUAUAUACGUGGAGACAAUCUCUAUAGCAUAGAGGACACAUAAGUUUGGGCCGUUAUGCGAAAAGUGUCACGGGAAAGUGAAAUUCUUUCAAGAACUGCCAUAUAAUGGACCGGUAUUCACUAAAAUGGUCAUAACUUCGUCAUUCGGAGUCUGUUUUGGACCCACAAAUACUCAAAAUGCUCUCGGCGAGCAUGUGAAUCCAUAAAAUACUCCUGGCGAGCGUGCGAAUCCAGAAAAUACUCCCGGCUUGCGCCAGGAGGCCCGGGGUGCCUUCAAAUUCGGCCUUAAGGAUGGCUUUUUGGCGAAAAAAGUCAAAUAACAUCAUUCGCCGCUCCUUUUCGGACAAGUUUCUGAACCCAUUGGCCCUUCCUUUUCAAGGAAAUUCGAGAGAUUACGUUGAUUUUAGAAAUUAGUCCCCCUGGCAAGGUCAAAGAUAGCUUUGUGCAGAUGAUUUAUGAUUUGGGAAUUCCUAUUUCUUCGUAAAUUCAAGAAAAGCCAGCGACCUUGUUUUCGCCGUGUGGCAUGUUGUAACUUACGUGUGUGACAACCAAGAACCAAAGGGCAUUCCUGGCAUCGGUCAAUAUAUAUGUGGAAACAUUACGUCCAGCAUCGAGGACACAAACUUUUGGGACGGUUUGACAAAAAGCGUCACGGGAAAGUGAAAUUCUUUCAAGGACUGCCAUAUAAUGGAGCGGUGUUCACUAAUACGCUCAUAACUUUGUCAAUCGGAGUCCGUUUCGGACCCACAAAUACUCAAAAUGCUCACGGUGAGCGUACGAAUCUAGAAAAAACUCCCGGCUUGCGCAAGGAGGACUGGCGUGAAAUCAAAUUCGGCCUUAAGGAGGACUUUUUGGCCCUGAAAUUCAAAUAACAUCAUUCGCCGCUCCUUUUCGGACAAGUUUCUGAACCCAUUGGCCCUUCGUUUUCAAGGAAAUUCGAGAGAUUACGUUGAUUUUAGACAUUAGUCCCCCUUGCAAGGACAAACGUACCUUUGUGCAGAUGAUUUAUGAUCUAGGAAUUCCUAUUUCUUCAUAAAUUCAAGAAAAUCUAGCGGCCUUGUUUUCACCGUGUGGCAUGCUGUAACUUACGUGUGUGACAACCAAGAACCAAAGGGUAUUCCUGGCAUCGAUCAAUAUAUACGUGGAAACAUUAUCUCUAGCAUUAAGGACACAAAAUUUCGGGACGGUUCAGUGAAAGCGUCACGGGAAAGUGAAAUUCUUUCAAGGACUGCCAUAUAAUGGACUGGGAUUCACUAAUAGGGUCAUAACUUUGUCAUUCGGAGUCCGUUUCGGACCCACAAAUACUCAAAAUGCUCGUGGCGAGCGUGCAAAUCCAGAAGAUACUCCCGGCUUGCCGUAGGAGGAUCGGGGUGCCUUCAAAUUCGGCUUUAAGGAGGACUUUUUGGCCCUGAAAGUCAAAUAACAUCAUUCGCCGCUCCUUUUCGGACAAGUUUCUUAACCCAAUGGCCCUUCCUUUUGAAGGAAAUUCAAGAGAUUACGUUGAUUGUAGACAUUAUUCCCCCUGGCAAGGACAAACGUAGCUUUGUGCACAUGAAAUAUGAUUCGGGAAUUCCUAUUUCUUCGUAAAUUCAAGAAAAUCCAACGGCGACAAGCCUUAUACUCCUUGUUUUCGCCGUGGGGCAUGCUAUAACUUACGUGUGUGACAACCAAGAACCAAAGGGCAUUCUUGGCAUCAGUCAAUAUAUACGUGCAAACAAUAUCUCCAGCAUCGGGGAUACGAAAUUUUGGGGCGGUUCGGCAAAAAGCGUCAUGGGAAAGUGAAAUUCUUUCAAGGACUACCAUAUAAUGGACCGGUGUUCACUAAAACGAUCAUAACUUUGUCAUUCGGAGUCCGUUUUGGACCCACAAAUACUCCAAAUGCUCCCGGCAAGUGUGUGAAUCCAUAAAAUACUCCCCGCUUGCGCCAGGAGACCCGGCGUGCCUUCAAAUUCAGCCUUAAGUAGGACUUUUUGGCCCUGAAAGUCAAAUAACAUCAUUCACCGCUCCUUUUUGGACAAGUUUCUGAGCCUAUUGGCCCUUCCUUUUGAUGGAAAUUCGAGAGAUUACGUUGAUUGUAGACAUUAGUCCCCAUGGCUAGGACAAACAUAGCUUUGUGCACAUGACGUAUUAUCCAGGAAUUCCUAUUUCUUCGUAAAUUCAAGAAAAUCCAACGGCUACAAGCCUUAUACUCCAUGUUUUCACCGUGGGGCAUGGUGUAACUUAUGUGUGUGACAGCCAAGAACCAAAGGGCAUUCCUGGCAUCGUUCAAUAUAUACGUGGAGACAAUAUCUCCAGCAUGGAGGACACAAAAUUUUGGGGCGGUUAUGCGAAAAGCGUCUCGGGAAAGUGAAAUUCUUUCAAGGACUACCAUAUAAUGGACUGGUGUUCACUAAAAUGGUCAUAAAUUUGUCAUUCGGAGUCUGUUUCGGACCCACAAAUACUCAAAAUGCUCCCGCGGAGCUUGCGAAUCCAAAAAAUACUCCCGGCGAGCGUGUGAAUCCAGAAAAUACUCCCGGCUUGUGCCAGGAGGCCCGGGGUGCCUUCAAAUUCUGCCUUAAGAAUGACUUUUUGGCCAUAAAAGUCAAAUAACAUCAUUCGCCGCUCCUUUUCGGACAAGUUUCUGAACCCAUUUUCCCUUCCUUUUCAAGGAAAUUCGAGAGGUUACGUCGAUUUUAGAAAUUAGCCCCCCUGGCAAGGAUAAACGUAGCUUUGUGCAGAUGAUUUAUGAUCUGGGAAUUCCUAUUUCUUCGUAAAUUCAAGAAAAUCCAGCGGCCUUGUUUUCGCCGUGUGGCAUGCUGUAACUUACGUGUCUAACAACCAAGAACCAAAGGGCAUUCCUGGCAUCGGUCAAUAUAUACGUGGAAACAUUAUCUCCAGCAUCGAGGACACAAACUUUCGGGACGGAUUGAGGAAAAGCGUCACGGGAAAGUGAAAUUCUUUCAAGGACUGCCAUAUAGUGGAGCGGUGUUCACUAAUACGGUCAUAACUUUGUCAUUCGGAGUCCGUUUCGGACCCACAAAUACUCAAAAUGCUCACAGCGAGUGUACGAAUCCAGAAAAUACUCCCUGCUUGUGCAAGGAGGACCGGCGUGCCUUCAAAUUCAGCCUUAAGGAGGAAUUUUUGGCCCUGAAAUUCACAUAACAUCAUCCGCCACUCCUUUCGGACAAGUUUCUCAACCCAUUGGUCCUUCCUUUUGAAGGAAAUUAAAGAGAUUACGUUGAUUGUAGACAUUAGUCCCCCUUGCAAGGACAAACGUAGCUUUGUGCACAUGAUUUAUGAUCUGGGAAUUCCUAUUUCUUCGUAAAUUCAAGAAAAUCCAGCGGCUACAAGCCUUAUACUCCUUGUUUUUGCCAUGUGGCAUGCUGUAACUUACGUGUGUGACAGCCAAGAACCGAAUGGCAUUCCUAGCAUCGGCCAAUAUAUACGUGGAAACUAUAUCUCGAGCAUCGAGGACACAAAAUUUUGGGGCGGUUCGGCAAAAAGCGUCACGGGAAAGUGAAAUUCUUUCAAGGACUGCCAUAUAAUGGACCGGUGUUCACUAAAACGGUCAUAACUUUGUCAUUCGGAGUCCGUUUUGGACCCACAAAUACUGAAAAUGCUCGCGACGAGUGUGCGUAUCCAGGAAAUACUCCCGGCUUGCACCAGGAGGCCCGGGGUACCUUCGAAUUCGGCCUUAAGGAGGAAUUUUUGGCCCUAAAAGUCAAAUAACAUCAUUCGCCGCUCCUUUUCGGACAAGUUUCUGAACCCAUUGGCCCUUCCUUUUCAAGGAAAUUCGAGAGAUUACGUUGAUUUUAUACAUUAGUCCUCCUGGCAUGGACAAAUGUAGCUUUGUGCAGAUUAUUUAUGAUCUGGGAAUUCCUAUUUCUUCGUAAAUUCAAGAAAAUCCAGCGGCCUUGUUUUCGCCAUGUGGCAUGCUGUAACUUACGUGUGUGACAACCAAGAACCAAAGGGCAUUCCUGGCAUCGGUCAAUAUAUACGUGGAAACUUUAUCACCAGCAUUGAGGACACAAACUUUUGGGACGGUUCGGCGAAAAGCGUCACGGGAAAGUGAAAUUCUUUCAAGGACUGCCAUAUAAUGGACCGGUGUUCACUAAUACGGUCAUAACUUUGUCAUUCGGAGUCUGUUUCGGGCCCACAAAUACUCAAAAUGCUCGCGGCGAGCAUUCGAAUAUAGAAGAUAUUCCCGGAUUGCGGAAGGAGGACCGGGGUUCCUUCAAAUUCGGCCUUAAGGAGGACUUUUUGGACCUGGAAGUCAAAUAACAUCGUUCGCCGCUCCUUUUCGGACAAGUUUCUGAACCCAUUGGCCCUUCCUUUUGCAGGAAAUUCAAGAGAUUACGUUGAUUGUAGACAUUAGUCCCCUUGGCAAGGACAAACGUAGCUUUGUGCACAUGAUUUAUGAUCCGGGAAUUCCUAUUUCUUCGUAAAUUCAAGAAAAUCCAGCGGCUACAAGCCUUAUACUCCUUGUUUUCGCCGUGUGGCAUGUUGUAACUUACGUGUGUGACAACCAAGAACCAAAGGGCAUUCCUGGCACCGGUUGAGCAAACUUGUUCCUUGGGUCCGCCAUCUAUAGAGUGGAAAGUGGAGAAGAGUCGGAAAUGAGUAGAGAAGAGUGUCCUAUGGCUCAUCUUUGUGGUCGCGUCCUACAGUCAGCGUGUGCUUUGAUACCAUCUUGUAGAGAUCCGACCUCAAAUGGUCAAAUCUCUGUGUAUAAGUGUCAUCCCUGGAUCGGUAAUGCUGACACACACAGUACUCCAGGAUUUAUAACAGAGUUCAAUCACACACUUAUUACAUCGAAUGUAUCGAAAGAGAGUACUUAUUACAAUAAUAUGGGUGAAGGCCAUCUAAAGAAGAUAAUACCGGAAGCUUCGAAGGUAAAGUGAGUCCAUCAACUCUAACGGCAUAGCUGAGUGCAUGACAACGACCUAGCGCACCUUACUCUUCGUCUAAAAACGCUGCAACAUAAUACGUUGCAGCCUGUGUAGGUCAGCACAUGGAAUAUGCUGGCAAAAUAACACUAUAGAGCAAUGAACAUGUAACAGAUAUAACUAUAUGCAUAUUUGGCUGGUGGAGGCUCUAUGGUUAUUGUUUUGCAGAAAGCUAGUUUUCCCUACAACAAAGGAAUAUAUUUUAUUUAACUACAAAGUUUGUUGAAAACAUUGAGAAGGUUCCUUCAACUCAAUCCCAAAUUAAUAAAUCAUCAACCCAACAAAAUAAUUAAAUAGAGUGAUAAGAUCAAACCAAUAAUUCAAGUACAAGAUACUAAAGAUGUCCAUAACCGGGGACACGACUAACCAUGAUUAGUUUAUACACUCUGCAGAGGUUUGAGCACUUUUCCCCACAAGACUCGAUCUCCUCCGUUGGAUUUCUCGCACGACAUAAUGUUUGAGAAACGGAUGACCGAGACACAAUCUUUCAGAAGCAUUAACUCUUUACUCUGGGUAGACAGUACCACCUACAUCCCCUACAUCUGCUAGCCUACCACUGAAAGAGGUCACACAACUUACUCAACUAUGCCAGAGCCCAUAAUGGCUUGUGGCUGCACACGGAAGUUUCCAGCAGGAAUAAUCUUGUGAUCCCUUUGAGCUUGGGUGGCAAACCGUAGGAUGAUCACACAGGUACUCCGAGAUAUCCCGGGAGAACACUGGAUUGCUCCAGGUGCCCAGACAACCACUGGGUGCUCCAGGGUGCCUCAACCAAUCCACCUAGAUGUGUAUUAAAGUAGCCACCUUAAGUUUAACCAUUAACUAAAACUCUCACAUCUGUCAUGGAUCACUCAAACCAAACCACGUCUACAAGCAUAGCAUAGCGAUAUAAGCAUAACGUAGAAGUAACUCCCAAGGUUUGAAAAUAAAGACGAUAGGUUCUACCUCAUCAUCUACUUCCUAAAACCCACAAGUAUUCAAAUCCUAACCAUGCAAUGUUUGAGGAUUGAAACUAAUGCAUAAAAACUGGGUAAUAAGGGGUAUGAUCAAAGUGUUACUUGCCUUGCUGACGAUCUGAAAACCCUAGUGACUCGUAGUAGCACACUUCCCACUCCGGAAACUCUAUCGUGAACAAACAAUAACAUACAUAAGGACUAAAGCAUAAGAUGAAAACUCAAAUAAAAAAUCCAAGUGAAAGUUCAACUGAAGAGUUUCGAUUUGAAAAAGAAUCAAUCGAAUCGGAGAAACGAAACUCAAACUACGAUCAAAAGAAAUUCAAAUUCAAAUCUGCUUGAAACCAAAUUUUAAAUUGUCAAAACCAUGUUCAAGUUGAUUAUCUGGAAAGAGGGGAACAAGAUGAAUAUUUUGGCGUUGGUUUCACUGGAUUUGGACGAACGAGCAAAAAAUUGCGAAGGUUUGAAGAUCAGGGACUGAUCUGUGAGAAAAGUAUUCACGGAUAGGUCCCUGGCCGAAAAUAAAAUAAAAGAAAAACCUAUCGAACGAAUGUUCGCUAACAGAACUAAUCGGACGAACGUGUUCGUUAAAACGUACUAAACAGAGAGUGUUCGCUAAAUAAAAUCGACCGGGAAUAAACCGAGAAAAACCCUAACCCAAAAAAAUAAACCGAUCUAAACCGAAGAACCAAAAAUAAACCGGCGAACCGAAACGGUUUUGUACCGGUCUACGGCGGCGGCUCCGGUGGCGCGGGGCGGGCGGUGCUGGGGGGCGGCGGCAUCGGCGGNNNNNNNNNNNNNNNNNNNNNNNNNNNNNNNNNNNNNNNNNNNNNNNNNNNNNNNNNNNNNNNNNNNNNNNNNNNNNNNNNNNNNNNNNNNNNNNNNNNNNNNNNNNNNNNNNNNNNNNNNNNNNNNNNNNNNNNNNNNNNNNNNNNNNNNNNNNNNNNNNNNNNNNNNNNNNNNNNNNNNNNNNNNNNNNNNNNNNNNNNNNNNNNNNNAGAGGAGGCGGCGGCGGGCUCCCUAUAAAGGCCCGAGGGGGUCUGCCUUGGGGAGGAGGGCGUUGGGAGGAGUCUGGCUCGGACUCGAGCUCCGGCGGUGGCGGCGCGGGGUCCUCGCAUGGGAGGGAGGCGGCGCGCAGGUGGGCCAGCCUGCUCGGCUGGGCCUUUGGCCCAGUCAGACGGGAAGAAGAUUUAUUUUUAAAUAAAAUUCCGCCCAAUUCUAAUGAAAUAUAAAAAAAAUUGUAAAAAUACCAGAAACAAUUUUCACCGUCUAAACCUAUUAUUUAGAACAAAGUGAACAUUUUGCUGGCCUAAAAAUGCAAUUUUUAAAAAUGCAUAUUUUUCUAAUUUAAAUAAAAUAGCAAAUAAAAUCCAAAUAAAAUGUAAAUUUGAUUUUAAAUUUUCUUCUCCAAUAUUCCUUUCUUUUGAAGAAGUCAUAUUAUCUUCUCUUUUUUAUUUUAAAUAUUGAAAAUAAUUGGAGAGAAAAAUAUUAAAAUAACAUUGAUCCUCUUUUCAAAUAUGAAAAUUCAUGAAAUCUCCAACUCUCUCCUUGGGUCCUUGAGUUGCUUAAGAUUUUAGGAUCUCAACGAAAAAUGCAAAUGAAUUAUGAUAUGCAUAUGAUGACCUAUGUAUAACAUCCAAAUUGAAAAUUGGGAUGUUACAGCCGGCGUCGGAUGUGACGGCGUCGGCCAGGGCACAGAGGAGUCACUGGAGUUUAAGGGAUGAGGUCAAGGUCGGACGAGGAGAGGACGGGGGUGUGAGGACGAGAUGAGGGCAGCCGUCGGGAGGAUCGCGUCCAGGCUCGCGAGGAGGGCAGGGUCAAAGGGAUCGCGUUAGCAGGAAAGAUAAGAAUUGAUGUGUUAGGAAAGUUAAGAUUUUGAAAGCUCCUUGAAAAUGCGUAUUUAUUGUUUGUAACGUCAUAUCAAUACCUGCCCGUCUGUGACGUGCCUGGUUAGGAAAAAGUUUGUAAAUGUUAAGAAAGUUUUUAUUGGAAGGGAAAAAAAUCAAUGUGAAGAUAUGAUUAUGGAAGGUGAGACGAAACUAAACCGGACAAAAAUAAACUAGACGAAAAAAAAACCUUGAAGGCUAUUCUAGCAACUGAGACAUUAGAAGUAGAGAUAUCUGCUCUAUUGCAUUCUAGCUCUCGCAUGAUCAAACAUAAAGCAUGAUCAAAUGUUUGAUGUUGUUGCAAAAUUUCAUCCACAGAGAACAUUCGAGGAGCUCUCGACCAAAAAAACUUGUACUCGGAAAUGCAGAAAACAUUGACGACUGAUUUUGUUGUUUUUGUGAGAGCGCCUCGAAUGUUAGCUGUGGCUGAAAUUUUGCAAGUGUCUAAAACAUUUGGUCAUGUUUGAACAUGUCUGAUGUGGCCCAAAGACAGAUAUCAUUCUAUAACUUUUGCAGUUUAUUCCUGUAUAAAACACGUUAAGAUGCACGUUAAGAUGCCUUUCAGUCUUCACACACAAGCCCAGUAUGAGCUAAAAAAAGCUCAUAAUAAGUGCUGAGAUCAGAGUAAACAAAUCAAAACAACAACAAAGAAGCAAAUUUUAUCUGAUUUCUAUACCCAUGCGUUUGAGUUCUCUAACAUUUUGGCUUCCUCCAAUAUACAAGCACUUCCUGCAAAGUUUUUGCAUACAUCUUAUUUCUAUAUAAUGCAUCCUAUCUCGGCAAAACUACAGUACAUAACUACUGAUAUAAUUUAAGCCAUAUAGAACAGGAUAAGCAUCUCUAAACUCUAUAAGAUCAUAUGUCAUACGACUUGUCAAUAGAAGGAUCAAAUACUAAAAUUUAUCCUUCCAUAGAUGUUCCUAGUUUAACCUGAAUUAGAAACAGAUUGGUACUGCUCCUAAUGUAAACAAAAUAGCUAUAGGUCUUGUACUUACACAUGAACUCUUGGAGUGCCUCUCCUUCAUAUUCAUUGUGUCGAGAAGUACAAAGUAACACACGGAACAACAUCAAAUCGAGCAAGAUAGGUAUGAUCAGCUCUCUGAAAGUGGAAUCAUCUAUUGUUAUGUAAGAUAAUACUAUAUGCCAUUGUUUCAAGCCUGCACGAUAAAACUGAAACUGAAAUUUAGAUUUCGCUUCCCAAUUGCAAAAGUAAAUGUACGACGCUCCAAGAAAAUAAUGAGGCAAUAAACCAUUUGUAUUGUGGUACAUUUUGGUAAAGUUUGCGCCUGGGAAUAAACUGCAAAUCAAGCAAUGUUGGAUAUAGCCUUCAUGUAUGCAAGUCAUUGUUCUCUUGCUGUCUGAAUGAUGAGGAGAAGCACCAAAUAUUAUGUCAAGAAAAUUCUAGUAAAAACAAAGCUACCUACUACUACUUAACUUGUAGAAAUAAUAAAGGAAUACAUAAACAUGAUACACCUUCAAACCGAGAUAGCUAAUGGUCUUCUGAAAAAUCAAGGUAGCUACAGCCAAGGAAUUGAAACCAGCAAUUGAAAAAGCAAGAAAGUCACAUGAGAUAGGUUACCUCAUUAGUCAUUACUCCUGUCAUAUACAUACGUGUAGGUUAACUGCAGUUCAAUAACCAAGGAAAUUUCCUCAUUCAUUUUAUUUCGUAAUUAGCCCCCUGAAAUACAUUAAUCUCUUGAAGGUUAGUAUUGUGGUACACUUCUACCAGAAAAAAUUGAAAACUAAAGAAAGAAGUGUUGCCACUUUGUAACUAAUGAAACAAAUAGAUAACAACUUCAUAGCAGUACAAGUCUGUCGCUGUUAUUUACAGUUAGAAGGUGGUAAAAAAUAAAAUACACAAGGUCGAUUCUUACAUCAAGAGGUGGAUCUAAAUCAUGCAGUUUGAGCCAAGGAAGUGGCAUCAUCCCUCAUCAGCGAUGCUUGGUUAAGGUCUGGAAGACAUGGAAAUUGAUGGCCUUUAGUAUAGACGUUCCUGCUUCUUGAUAUGCAAGAACACGACAUAGAGAUGGGGGGCUGAGACUUGGGACAUGCACUGCGGCGGCUGCCACUAUGAAGUUAAUCGAAAGAGACCUCGCCAAAGAGACCGACGG
Molecule: long non-coding RNA, 126834 nt
Filed under: Triticum aestivum (bread wheat)
Lineage: Eukaryota; Viridiplantae; Streptophyta; Magnoliopsida; Poales; Poaceae
Description: long non-coding RNA (TAES_LNC020630)
Source: RNAcentral